Molecule: long non-coding RNA, 116916 nt
Filed under: Medicago truncatula (barrel medic)
Lineage: Eukaryota; Viridiplantae; Streptophyta; Magnoliopsida; Fabales; Fabaceae
Description: long non-coding RNA (MTRU_LNC004547)
Rfam family: MIR5298 microRNA precursor family (bases 48349-48439)
Source: RNAcentral
ACAUCUCUUGUCCAUUUUGUCGAGACUCUUCAUGAACUUGUGAUCCAUAUCUUGUUUCUUCUCUCUGAAGUAGUUAUGAAUGAUUUUGAUUGACGUUGCGGUUGUGUCCCAUCUUCAAUUUCCAAAAUCUUGCACUUCUGAGCCAAGGAAGCUUCAUGAUUCAUUAUUGUUAAACUGAACUCUUGUAGGUCUUGUUUACAUAUUCAACGAUGCACGCAACUCUUCACCUCCGUACCCACAUCCCUAAUAAUUUCAACACAGGUAGGGACAAAAUCAAGAUGAUCAUCGGGCGACUGAAAUUGAAACCUUCACUCGAGCCUUCUGUUUGUCCAUUAGAAUUAGAUAUGCUGUUUGUCUCGGAUGCAAUUGCAACCUCUUCAACCUGUGCUGCGACAGGUGUUUGUUCUUCUUGCACUUCUUCAGUUACAUCUAUUAAUAGAGGAUCCAAAGUUAAAGAAAACUAUAAUGAUGUCUUUCAAUUGCUUUGGUUGCAUAAAAUUGAUUGAUGCGGAUCGUGUAGAAAAUGAAAUGGGUACUAGAUCAUGCAAUAUGUGGUUUAUAUAUAACAAAUUCAGAAAACAUACGAUCAAUUUCAAUUCAUUAACCAAAACUCAUUGAGGCAAGCGAGACUUGAAAAUUAAUAAAGCAUAACCUUUAUUCGCGCUUCCUUCAGGAGACAAAUCAUCACUUUGUCCACUCAAACUAGCAUCGAUCUCAUUGUUAUCUGGAACAGCUUCAACAUUGUCAUCUACUUGAAACAGAAAGGAAAUAUUAUUAUUCAGAAAAUGACAUACAAUCAGUAGUUCCAAAUGCGAUAAAUUAGCAGAAAAAGUGUGAGAUAAAAAAAUAAGAACCUUCUGAUUCUGUGAUAACAGAGCAAGGCUCAACUGCAUCGAUAUGUGAUUGUUGUUUAGCUUCGGCAACAAUUUGAUCAACUCCAUUUUCUGUUACACUUUCAUCAGCCACUUCAGAUGUAGAGGUUUGAGAUUUUUUCUUGUGGAUGACAUGAAUGCAGAUUUCCGUGAUAAAGUGUUCCUUAAAAUGUUGUCUAUGAAACACAGACACCAGACGCAGCACGGAAAUUACAACCUAACACAAAUUUAAAACCCCCACUCGGUAAAUCAUAAAAUUCAGUCUAAAAAUUAAAAUAUAAAGUUAACAAAAUUCUUUUGAAUUAUCUUCAGUACCUCUGCUUGCAGUUGACAACAGAGAUUGUUUUUGCGGUUGACUUGUUAGCACUUGUUGACAUUUAAAAAUUAGAAAUCUUAUGUAAGAAUUCAACGAUAUGUCCAAACUCCUAGUUUGAAAUAUGAAGCAAAUAAGAUGAAAUUGCAACCUUUGCUCAGGCCUUCAUCUAAAGUUGUAAUGCCAGUUUGUCUAUUAGAGUUAGAUACACUUCUUUUUUUUUAAUGCAAUUGCAACUUCUUCAACUUGUGUUGCUACUGGUGUUUGUUCUGGCACUUCUUCAGGUGCAGGACUUUCAGGAGAGGGAACUUGAUAAUUUUCUUCUGUUACAUCUGUCAAUAGAGGAUUCAAGGUUAAAUGAAACUCCCUUCAUAACAAAAAGAAAAAAAUCCUCCAUCUCCAUAUAGGAAAAAAAAAAAUCCUCUAUCCGUUAUGUGUAAUAAGCUAAAUAAGCUAGCUAUUAUGUGUAAUAUCAUUCUUGUUAAAUAGCAGCGCUAUAUUGCUACAGCGAGUGGACUAUGAACAAAUUGCUAUUAUUCAGAAUUACGAUAGUUAGUGCAAAAUGUUGUGAAAUAGCAUCUAUAGUGGCGCUAUAAAACUAUUGUGUAGCGGUAAGAAAUUGUUACUUUCAGCGAUACACGAUUGACAACACUGAUUCAAUCAAGCAAGCAGGAUUUGAAAAUGCAUUAAGCAUAACCUAUAUUCAAGAUUCUCUCAGAAGACAAAUCACCACUUUGUCCUGUCAAACUAGCACCGAUCUCAUUGUUCUCUGGAACAGCUCUAUCAUUGUCACCUAUUUGAAAUGCAAAGGAAAUAUUAUUCGGUAAGUUAAUCGGAAAAACCAUGUACAUGUAUGUUACUGCAAAAAAAUAUGAUUGAUUUUUGUUGUAAUUUCGAAAGAGAAAAAAAAUACAUACAAUCAGUAUUUCCAUAUGUAAAAUACUAAUGAGAUAAAUUAUUAGAAAAAGUGUGAGAUAGAAAAGAAGAACCUUCUCCUUCUUGAGGAGCUGGUGCAUUUGAGGUAAUUGUUUACAGCAUCCAAGUCUUCUUCAUAAACUAAACUUUCAGCAUCUGAGUUUACAGUGUCUGUGUCGUAUCUGAUGUCCGUGUCCGUAUCCGUGCUACCUUGUUGGCAACAGUUUUCGAGGAACCGACCAACUGGUAAGUCAGUUUCGACAUUGCAUGUUGCAAUAUCUGUCUGAAUAGCUUCUUCAAUAAUUGAAAUUACAGCAUCUGAAUCUUCCUGAGAAACCAAACUUUCAGCAUCUGAAUCUACGGUGUCCGUGUCCGUAUCCGUGUUACCUUGUUGGCAACAGUUGCUGAGGAACCGACCAAUGAAUCGACCAAUGAUAUGGAGGUUCGAGAUUUUUUUCUGUUGAGAUUCAGUAGAAACUUCAUCUGCAACAGGUGAAUCCGGUGCCUCCGCGGAUACUUCUGUUUCUGUGGCUGAUAUGGAGGUUCGAGAUUUAUUUCUGUGGAUGACAUGAAUGCAGAUUUCAGUGAUAUAGUGUUCCUUAAAAUGUUGUUGUCUAUGAAACACAGACACCGGAAACGGAAAUGAAAUUACAACCUAACAUAUUUAAAACUCCCACCCCGUAAAUUAUAAAAUUCAGUCUAAAAUGCAAGUCAGACAAAGAAAGUGUCACUUCUGCCAACAAAAUCAUACAACAGAGAUUUAUAAAGUGAUGAAUAAUAUAAAAUUAACAAGAUUCUUUUGAAUUAUCUUCAGUACCGCUGCUUGCAGUUGACAACAGAGAUUGUUUUUGCGGUUGACUUGUUAGCACUUCUUGACAUAUUUAAAAAUUAGAAAUUUUAUGUAAGAAUUCAACGAUAUGUCAGCAGGCUGAAAAACCAAAGAAAUGUCUUUAACCCCCCAAAGGUAAAGCAUUGGUUGGUCCAAACUCCCAGUUCUACCGAGGGAAAAGAGAUCCAAUUAAAAAUCGCCACAGAUGAUUCUGUUUGGAUAAACAACUUAAUUAAGCGCGUAUGGCAUACGCACUUAAUUAAGUUGUUUAUCCAUGCAAAACCUAUGUAAAAACUAUUUUAAUAGAAAAAUAUAAAAUAAAGUAAAACAGUUUACAUGCAAGCUAUAAGCUUUUUUCAUAAUUUGAAAACAGCUUAUGGAAAUGUCAUAAGUUGUUUCCCUAAGCUAUCCAGUCAGUCUCUCAAGUUCUUAUGUUGUUAGGUAAGCUCAAAUAAGCCAAUCCAAACAAGCCCACCAUAAAAAAACUGUUCUCUUUUACAUGUAAAAACUAAAAUACAUAUUUACUUCUGUUCUAUGGAGAAAAAUGAGAGUGGAAAUAUGAAGCAGAUAAGAAGAAAUUGAAACCUCUUCAACUUGAUCGCUUUCUUUGGUAUAAUAAAUUGAAACCUGGGGAAGUUUGUUCCUCCUGCACUUCUUCUGUUACAUCUGUUAAUAGAAGAUCCAAAGUUAAAGAAAAAUAUAAUGUUUCUUUGGUACAAUAUCAAAUUCAUAACAAAUUCAGAAAACAUGCGAUCCAAACAUUGAGGCAAGCAGGAGUUGAAAAUUAAUUACACGCCUAAUCUUCCAAGUGUAUGUGCUCCAUAGGCUGUUGUUAUUCACACCCAAAACAUUGAAUUGUGUAAUUUUUUUAAAUUAGUAUUGGUGUCAACGUUUCAAUAUAUUCGUGUUGAGUCAUGUAUCCAUGCCGGUGCUUCAUACAAUUUACCCAAAGAAAAAGGAAAUAGAUAAAAAAUUCAAACUCAAUUAUUGAAAAAAAAAACUUACUUUACAAAUCCAAACGUGUCAGGUUGAGACUCUUCAUGACCUUCUUGUUCUGGUUGUUCAAUUGCCAUAAUCUUACACUUCGGAGCCAAGGAUAUUUUGUGAUUCAUCAUUGUUAAAUUGAACUCUUGUAGGUCUUGUUUACAUACCCAACGAUAUCCACAACUGUUCACCUCCAUACCCAAAUCUUCACCCCCAACAAUGUAACAACUGAUUUUUUCAAAUUUAUCAUAGGACUCUCUAGAGAGGUAGAUUAUCCAUAGAUGACUUGAUUUGGUCGUAAUAAGAUAUCUCUUAAGAAUUACUGGAACACUAAAGGAAGAAAGAGAAUCAAUAACCAAUUUUAUAUCGGCUAUCCACGGAAGGAUCUCUUGAUUAGGUGCCACGGAAAACACUGCACAACAUACAAAGCCAAUGAUAUUAUUGUUAUUGUCAUGCAUAAUAGGAGAUCUGUCUAUUGGUAUUGAACUACCCACGCUCUGAUUAUUAAUCCAACUUGGUAUUUCACUUCCUGGAGUAACAAUAUGAAUCCCUUCAAAUAAGGACGCAGGGUAAAAGUGUUGGUAUGCCUGGAUGAAUUGUAUCAUCCAUGAAAAUGCCAUGCUACUGCAACGUUCCCUUUCACCUAAUUUUGGACAGUUGAAAAUGACCAAUUGUGUAACUUUUCUAGUAAAAAGGUCAUGAAACUUGUUGUUGUUCUCACGAUGAUCCUCCCCAAUAUUGGUAGGAAAAGGAAGUUGAGGCAAAGAUUCCAACAACUUGCAAUGCUCCAAAUUUAAAUAUACAAGUUUGGACAGCUUUCUCAGGCUAGGUAGUGUCACAAAAUUGUUUCCCCCUAAGUUUAAUAUUUCUAGCCAAUAUAAACAUUCAAUUGCAUAUGACACUUGGCUUAGACGGCAAAAGCUAAUGUUAACUUCACGCAAACAAUAUAAGCUAUGCAAGGAUGACAACACAUAUGAUCGAGAAUGUGAUGCACUUUCACUUAUAUCCGGGUUCUUCAAAUCCCUUUGAUUGGUAAACGCUUUGUGACAGUUCCACAUAUAUAGAUAUUUAAGAGAGCUUAGACCGAAUAUGUUGUUGGGUAUGCUUACAAGAUUUUUGCAAUCUUUUAAAUUCAAGUAAACAAGGUUUCUUAGAAGUCCAAUAGAUGGAUCCAACUCCAAAAGGCUGAUACAUCCUUCCAAAUUUAACCACUCAAGAUUCGGGAACUCUCCGAAAUCUACUAUCUUUACUAGUUUUUUGGAGUAUCGUAGAUCCAAUCCCCUCAAAUUGGGAAGAUACUGUAAUAUGAAAAACAAACAAAAAUGGAGCCAUUAAUUUGAUUUUAAGAGAAUUGUUUCAAAUUUGUUUAUAUUUCUAAGAUGAACAUUUAUAAUAAGAUAAUUUAUAGUACCUUCUUCUUUCUCCAUAGUUGUUUAAUGUUGCUACUAUGCAAGAUCAAUUCUACAAGUUCAUUGGGGUGAAAAUUUGAUGGCAAAUAUUUGAAAGGAUAUCCAGUCCACUGAACAUAUCUUAAUUUGUUUGAAAGACUCAAUAGGCUUCCGGAGAUAUUCACACCCCACAUGAUGAUGAGCAAUCUAAGAUUACUCAUUUUUGACAAGUGUUCAACAUUCAAUCCAACCUCUUCAUCAUUCAAAACUAAGGCUUUAACAUGCUUUUCCUAAAGCAUUGCAAACAAUAAAAGAAAAAAUAAAUUACUUGUUCCUAAAGCAUGCUGUUUAUAAAACUGGAAAUAUGUUUUUUUAUUACUAAACAACAACUUUACCAUAUUCUCCAACAUAACAUUGUAGAGUUGUUCUGUGGACCACAACCUGCUCCAUUUUCUUGGCUCUUUGCUUGAACUAUUUUGCACAAUUUUUCUGCCUAGCUCUUCCAACAAAGAAUGCAUUUCAAGAUUUUGACCAUUAAUGUUCAUAAGUGAUUUAUCAAUAAGAACUCUUAAUCCAAUAUCAGCAUGAAAUCUACAACAAUUUAGAAUGUUUUUAGCAUAUUUUUCCGAUUUGCGGUUGAAAAAACAAGCAAUAUCAAGAAAUAUUUCUUUUUCAGUCUCCUUUAGACCAUCAAAACUUAACUGCAGCACAUCCAUGACAUCAUUAUCUGGACUUUCUCUUAAUCUAGUCAAUGCACUCUUCCAUUCCGUCACAUUACGACCAAACAAAAAUGAGCCCAAUACUUUAAUUGCUAACGGUAGACCAUUAGCAUAAUCCAGUAUCUCAUAUACCAAACUUUCAUAAUUUCUCAUAAUAAUUUUCUCUUCUUUGAAAGCUUUUCGACAAAAUAACAUGUGAGCUUCAUUCCAAUCCAAGAGUGGAACUUUGUAGACUACAUCCACUCCAUACUCUUCCAAUAUAUGCUCAUCUCUAGAAAUGAUAAUAAUUCUACUACCUACGCCUAAACAUUCACGAUGCACACCUAUUUUUUCCAAUUGUUCAACUCGAUCUACAUUAUCAAGAAUAAGAAGGGCCCUUUCACGACGUAGCCUACUUUGUAUCAAAUUAGUUGCACGGUGACGAUUGCAUAUAUGAUGGUCUUCUAUUCCGACGGUUUGAAGUAGGAUUUCCUUUUGUGCAUCGAGGGGACCAUCAUGUAAUCUAAAUUUUUUGGCAACAUCUUCAAUAAAACAAGAUCCACUAAAUCGAUGGGAUAUUUGAUCAUAUAAAGCCAUAGAAAGGGUUGUUUUCCCUAUUCCUCCCAUUCCACAAAUUCCUAUUGCACGAACUCCAUCAACCGAAUCCAAAUGCAAAUGACUUUGUAAGGCUUCUAUAGGAGAAUUAAUCGCAACUAAAUCUUUUGAAACCCAUGAAGAUUUGCACUCCAAUAUAUUCAUUAUCGUCUGAACAAUCAUUCUAAUCUCUGCAGAUUGUGGCCUGGACGUUCAAAAAGUUGUUCAAUAAUAUUAAAUUAUCACGUAGAAAAACCAAAAAAAGAAAAUUAGUUUCAACUCCAAAUAUUUGUUCAAAGGGGUUAGACUAUGAGAUUUUAGGUAAAUAUAAAUCUUUCCUAAGUACUCUUUGAAUUUCUAUCUUGGACUCGUGCACCAUCAUUUCACCGUAUAUUUUCUACCAAUUACAAAAAAAGUAAACUAUAAAUUACUUACUUAUCACAUAGAUCCCAACCAGCGAUACUCCCCACUUGUUUUAGGGCUUCCCUCCAUCUUGACACCAUCUGAGAGUCUUGUUGGAAUGUUUGUUCAUGUAUGGUAAAGGCUUCACCAUAAAUCCCACUUUGCUUUCGCACCUCAGAAGGAUCAACAUCAUAGAAAACUGGAAGAAUGUGUUUUCUUGAUACAUGAACACAUUCACAUAUCUUUUCUAAUUCCUGCAAGCACCAUGUUGAGGAAGCAUAGUUUCUUGAGAAUACUGCAACGAAAACCUGGGAUCCUUCGAUUGCUCGAAGGAGCUCAGGUCCUAUGGAUUCACCUUUUUGAAGAUUGGUGUCAUCCCUAAAUGCAUAAAUACCGUUUGUUUUAAGAGCAUCUAAUAGAUAACCAGUGAAAUUGUUGCGAGUGUCAUCGCCUCUAAAGGUGAUAAACACGUCGUAAUGAUUUCUCCUUCUAGAUGUCACCAUAGCUAUGGAUGAGUUGCUGCUGCUAGCCAUCUGAAUAAAAAAAUUUAGAUUGAUUGGAUUGGACAAAGUGAGUCUCUAUCACUUGACGGAUUGGAAUAUAUUUUAAACUAUCAAACAUAUAUAUUAUAAACAACGAACAUUAAGCGUUGGUUUCGUGGCACCUUCUUUUCAAAAUUUAUUGGUUUAUGUUUUAUGGGAAAUUCCGGCAUUGUCCAAUGACUGGAAUGGAAUAUAAUCUUUAAAAAAAGUGUGUGCAUCAUUGGUAGGGAUUGCAUAAUAUAGUGUUCUCACCGUCGACACCCUAUUUUUUCAAAUUUAAGAUGUGCGAGCUCACAUUAUAAUAUCUGACCAAGCAUAUAUUUACAAUAAUCCAAUCUUUUUAGGCAAAGUGUGGACUAAAUAAAAAUCAAUUUUUCUGAAUCAUAAGCGUUGAUUUCGUGCCAACUUUAAUUUUCACACGCUUCUUUUCAUUAUUGAUUGAUUUAUUUAUUUACAUUUUAUGGGAAACUUCUAGCGUUGAAAUGUCAAGGAUUGAUAAAAUAUGAAGCUUUGGACUAUGUGUUAUUUUAAUCUACACUAGAUCGUCCACCCGUGCUGCCGCACGGGUCAUAUAGAUUGUAAGUGUGGUAGACAAAAGCAACAUUUGAUAAUAUAGUCCCAACUUAUAAUUUUAAUGUCAAAAUUAUAAAUACAACUAUAGAAGAAAUUUGUAUAAUUGAUUCAAAAUAUGUUAUUGUAUAAUUGAUUCAAAAUAUGUUUAGUUAACUUUAAUAUAUAAGAAGAUGUAUCGAGAAAUUGAGAAGGGGGAAAAUUCAAUAAGGUUAAACAAAGGAAUUUAGCAUCAGGAUUAAAAUAGUAAAUUUAUGCAAGAGGUUUAGGUUAAAAUUAGGGCUAAAAUAUGUUUCUGUGUUAACUUUAAUAUAUAAGAAGAUAAUAAGAUGUAUCGAGAAAUUGAGAAGGGGGAAAAUUCAAUAAGAUUAAACAAAGGAAUUUAGCAUCAGGGUUAAAAUAGUAAAUUUAUGCAAUAGGUUUAGGUUAAAAUUAGGACUAAAAUAUGCUUCUGUAUUAACUUUAAUAUAUAAUAAGAUAAGAUAAUUGACUAUAUCUUUUGGUUGGGUCAUGUGCUAAUAAAUGCUCUAAGAUUAUUGUUUAAGAAAAUUAUUUAAAAAUAAAUAUGUCUAGGAAUUAUAAGUUAAAUAUUGAGAAAACUAAUAAAUAGAUUUAAGUAUUUUUGAUUUUUUAAACAAUGGUUUAAGGAUAUUUGGUAGCAUUUAAAAAAAUAAUAAUCAAUUCAAUCUUAUUUUAUUCGAAAGUUCAUAGACUUUUCAACAAUUUUAGAUAUGUUAUCUAUAUAUGUACACAAGUCGGACACGCUACAUUUCCGAUGUGUGUAUGUCAGAAUCGAUAAGAGAGAAGGAAAAAAAACAAUAUAAAGGUUGAAAAUAAUAUAAAUAUAUUAUCUUGAUGUCAUAUGUUGUGUAUGAAAAGUUAGCACAAAACUAAACAAGUCCUUGAAAUUGAAUUAUAUGGUGACCGUUCAUAUGGCCAACAUAUGUAUUAGUCUCAUGACACGUAAUUCAUAGUGACGUUUUUGUAAUCUACACCAAAACACACAUGAUCUUGUUGUAUAACAUCAACUUUUGUGGAGCUAAUUUAGAGAAUUAAAAAACUGAAAAGAUUAAUGUUUUUAUGAAAGUAAAAUGGACUUGUUAACUUGUCAUCGUACAAAAUCGAACAUAUAGUUAGCAUGAGAAUGAAAAAGUGAAACACAAUGGUCCUGGUUUAAUAUAGCAAGUUGUGACUUAUGUCACAAUGGUCUCAUGAUUUCCAAAUUAAUUCUACAAAAAAAUGCUACUAGCAAAAUUUAUCUAUAUUUUUGUUGCUUCUUCAAACCCUGCUACAAAAUGCCCCCUUUAAUAGUACUCAAUUUGGCUCUUAACAGCGCUUCCCAAUCGCUAAGAAAGCCCCGCUAUAAUAGGUCAGGAGCCUAUAAUAGCGCUUUCUAAACGCUAUUAAAGAGAAAUACGUCAAUAGCGCUUUUAGAAAAGCGCUAAUAUAGCCUUAUUCUAGUGCUAUUAAAAUAGCUUUUCUAACAGUCUUUUUUCUUAGCACUUUAUGAGAAGCGCUAUGUUACUCAUACAGGGGAAUCUUAGCGUUUUAUUAAAAACGCUAAUAAAACUAGUCUUUUUUUUUUUUUGUAAAUCUGUAACCAAAACUGCUGCAAUAAUACUAAUUGAUAAUCUGUAGCAAAUUACAUUUAUGAUAAUCUCAAUACAAAUUGAUCAUAAACUUAAUCCUGAAUGUCAUAUACUAGUCAAACCAAAGUUGCCAAAUAAAAAAAAAAGACUCCUAAAAGCAGCCACAAUUACAAACAAAAGAACACCUAAAUUUUAGAGGACUCGUGACUAGUCCAGCACAACCAAUUAGAGUGUAAGUCUCUGAGCAAUAUAGUCUCCUAUGUCAUAAAAUUAAUUAACAUAAAAUUUCCAGCACAACCAAUUGCAAUUUAAAAUAACUCAAUUAAAAAACGCAAAUGAAAAUUGUUGGAAAAGAAAAUGAAACUCACUAAGAUACUCGACCACAAAGGUUGCCCAAUCCUCCUCGACCUCAACUAACUUAUCUUUAGAAUAGAUUUUACAUUUGUAAUCUCCAAAGUACUUCAAUGAUAAAAGUAUCAAAAAAUUAAGUUAGAAAAAGAAUGCAUAUAUAUAUAUAUAUAUAUAUAUAUAUAUAUAUAUACAAAUUAACAGUAUAUUAAAAAUCAUAUACAUAUAUUUUCGGGGAUCAUGUCUUGAUUUGCCAAUAUUAUCUCUUUCAUAAAUCGCAUGACAAAAUAACCACAGUCAAUGCCAUUAGUUUGCAUAGGACACUGGAAAAAAAUUACAUAAUUGAAAUUUAAUCCACAUGAUGAAUUAAAAAUACCAUUGAUUACGUUGUCAAAAAAAAUAUCAUUGAUUAGAAAAUAAACCUUUAUUUCUUUCCAUGGGAUUAUACUUGACUUUGAUUUUAACUUGGGAUUAAGGGAACGGCAAAUACACAUGGCACUAUCAAAAUUAAAUCAACUUCAAAUGAGUAAUAGCACUCAAUAAUCAUACUUAUGUCAAUUAUAAAUCAAAAGAAUCAAUACUCACUUCAUGAACUUUUUUCUUACAACGUCAAUGUUAGGAUGUCCCGCCGGCAAUGAAUCCAUAUAAUAUAUCAUCUCAGCUCCGGGAUUGAUGACAAGCAACACCCAAUGAUUUAGCCUGCAUUCAUCAUAAUUUACAUAUAUUUCAAUUAUAAUUAAAAAACCACAUUUUCAAAUUUAGUCAUCUUGAAUAAUGUUUUGUAAAGAAAACUCACCCUAAAUUGACCGGUGCAAAAAUCAGCUUAUUCUUAAACUUGUGUGUCAAUAGGAUGUCUGCUAUUUGUUGCCCUUGUUUAUCCUCUUGAUAUAUAUGUCGGGAUAAAAAUGAGAACUUAUUUUCCAACCCACGAGGCUUGAUCAAAUUUUCGUACAAGAAUCUUGAAACAUAACAAACAACAUAAAACAGAAACAUAAAAAACCAAACAACACACUCCCAAAAAUAGGAAUAACAGAACGACAGAGUUUGUAACAGAAAACCAAUAUAAUAAAUCCCUGUAAUAGUCCUAAAUAACAACUAUUUAACAGAGGUACCUGACAUAUACAGCUACAACAGUGGCACUUAACCAAUUAUGUUGCACAAGCUCUUCUAUAUUCUCUAUUUCUACUUCGUCUGUAUAGGCUUUGCCAUAUAUAAUAUUGUCCAUGUAAAUUGGGACUGUUUGUCCUUUGAUCAUUAUUGCCUUCAUAUAAGUAUCAAGGAAUGGUACCAUAGCAGGUUUCACAGUUUUUAUCUUUGUUUGGUGAAGCAACUGAUUCAGCACUACGUUGGGGUCUCUUGCAAUUUUUUUUAGUUUUAGCGCUUUCUGAAGAGUGCUAUAACAGAUCUAUAAUUUGCAUUUUUAAUAGCAUUUAUCCAAAAACGCUAUUAAAAUUGUGCUAUUAAAAGCCAAAAUUGUGGUAGUGAAACCUCCAUUUGGAUGGAGUUGAUGACAAAUUGAUUAGGCGAAAAAAUCCAUUGAAUAAUUAUUAUAGUGACAGUUCAUGUUUGAGGAACUGAUUUAGAGAUUAAAAAACGUAAAUAUUAAUGUUUUUUUUUUAAGUAAAAUGGAUUUGUUAACUUGUCCUCGUACAAAACCCAUAGUUAGCAUGACAAGGAAAAAGUGAAAUACAUUAGUCUAUGAUAUUACCUAAUUCAUAAGCUAUAAUGUCCAAAAAAACUUCUGUCAAAUGAGCAAUCUAACAGCUAUACUUUGCCUCUCCAAGUCUUUCAAAGAAACACUGUCAUCCUUAAUGAAAGGCUGCUCUAUAAGAGAAAGCCCUCCUAACCUCUUUGAGAUUCUUCCCUCAACAAUUUUCUCUCUUAUGUUCUCGGGUUUCAAAGCAAGGUCUUCUCUUUGCAUCUUAAGUUCUUUUUCCUUCGCGACAAUGGUUUUGAGAAUAUCUUCAAUAGAUACAAACUGAACCUGAAGAAUAGCAGCAACUUGCAUUGCAAGAUCAUUAACCAACUCCUUGAAUUUUACCGAUGCACGAAUCGUGAAUGUAUGUACCAAUUCUUCCUUCAGCUGCUAGUCUUCUGGAUUUCUUAUCAGCGAAUGAGAGACCCUUUUUUCUGAGGUAUGCUUUCACCUUUUCAAGAUCACCUUCUGUUUCAGCAUGAGCUUUCUUACAGUCCAUCAUCCCAGCACCGGUUUCUUCUCUUAAUUGUUUAUCCAAUGAGUCUGAAACCACUACUGUUGAUUGCUUGUAACACAACAUUAAACAAUUUACGACUUGCAUCAAACACUUCCAUUUUUUUUCUCCAAAUUUUUGUCCACAACCUACACCUACACAUGUUGCAUACAUGUCACUGUUAGUGUCGUGUCAAAUGUCUGUGUAAUGACCUAAAAUAGGCCCAAUAUAAUAGAGUAGUCCAAGUAACUAAAGAUUAUGAUGAGUUAGUUGUAUUAGGUAUUUUAGUGGAUGAGUCACCAUGCUCUAGAAGGAUCUAGAGAGAUCCUUUUUGUGAUGAGUCAUUGGAAUGCCAAUGCUAUAAAUAAUGGGUUGAUCAUUGUAAUCAUUAUCGAAAUGAAUGAAUGAAGAAUUUAGUUGUUAGAAUAGCCAUAGUUGUAGCUUUUAGUCCUUUAGAGUAAUUCUCCUCCAUUAAUGAACAACACAAAAAGUUGUUCAUAACACUGUGUGUCAGUGCUUUCAUAGACUGACGCUCACACGUUAUCCAGUCACAACAUAGGUUAAGUUGUCUAUACCAAGAUUAAUUGAAAGAUAAUAUUCAACAUAUAUAUAAAUAUGUAGGGAGGGUUAGGGUAGAAGUAUUCAAGAAAACUUGGUAUACUGAUAUAGUUUGUAGUUCUAAUUCCUUUAAUAGAUUUCAAAAGUGAGUCAGUUAGUACAUAAAUUUAACGCAAUCACCAAGAAAUAUCUACUUUAGCAUGAUUAUCGAAAUUUUAUAAUGGGCAAAACUACACUGAACCAGCUUCAUUCUUAGUCUAUUUUCUUUUGCAAACCCUCUCUCUCUGAGGUUGAACCGAACAAACCUUGUAACUUUCAUAUUUUCUCCAAUAGUUGCAAUUAUCAGCUUAACCAUAUCUUUUCCUGUCACUUUAUCAAUCCUGCUCAAGCAAUGCUAAAUCCUCAAGUCUUUUCCUUAUCCGUCCUUCAACAAUCCUUGAUCUAAUUUGCUCUGGUUUUGACGCAAGACAUUCUUUUUGCAUCUAUCUCUGUUCCUUUCUUCACGAAUUCCUCAGGAAUGUCUUCGGUGACAACGUCUCUACGUGGGGGCACGCAGCCACUCUCAUGGCUAUAUAAUCGACAAGCUGUUUGAAAAUUUCACCUCGGGAGAGAAAACCUGUCUUGCAGUUUACUUCUACCAAAACACCGAUCCUGCUGUCAUGGAUGUAAGAACCUAUCCUUCCUUCGGCAGUAGCUCUGGCUGCUUUCUAUUCUGCACUCGCUAAGCCUUUUUUCCUAAGAAGCUUAUGUGCUUUGAUGAUGUCACCUUAAGUCUCAGAGAGCAUUUUUGUAGCUCAUCAUUCCAGCUCCAGUUUCUGUAAUAACCCCUCCAUGAGGGAAAAAAAAUAAAAUUAAUUAAGACCAAGGGCAAAAAAGACAUAUCUACCAAAUGGGGUAUAAAGACAAAUUUUAUGAAAAUUUUCUACAAGUUUCUACAUUCUUCUCCCUCAAAAAAAUCUGAAUACCUCCCUUCAUUCUCUCUUCCUCUUACAUGCCCUCCCAUCCUCUUUCUCUCAAACUUCAUUAAACCCACCUUAAGCUUCAAACAAUUCAAUAUCAUGGUCCUUAUACCCUCAAUUUCCUUAUGCAAGCUUGAAUUUAAUCUUUUUCCAUCUCUUUUCCUAAUCUAGCCUCACCACCAAUCUCAUAAUUAUUGAUGUUUUAAGCCAAGUUCAAGCUUCAAGAAUUUAUACAUGUUUGGAUGGUGAUAGUAGUGGUUCAAGUUUCAAGUUUUGAAGUAGAAAUUCAAGUGGGAAGCAGGGAGAAGUGUCUAAGAUUGAGGUAAGGGCUGUUAGUAGAAUUAGUUAGUAUUGUUGUUGUUGCUGUUUGAAAUGAAAAGCUAGAACCUAAAAGUCAUAAGUUGUUCCAAAAGCUUCAAUAUUUGAUUAUUGAGUUAAAUAUGUUAGAAUUUCUGUAAGACUGGUGUAGGAGCUGUGUAUACAUAUUUUCUUUGAUUCUGGAAAAUUUGAGUUGAAAUUGAAUUGUCUAGAGGUCAUAAGCUGUCAGUAAGCUGUUUUGGGAAUUUUGCCUUAAAUAACUAAGUUGUUGAUUAACCUGCUGUAUAAGUGGUUCAUGGGGCUGAGUAUAUAUGUUGGAACAUCUUUGUUGAAGGCUGGGUCGAAAUUAAUUUGAUAGAAGCCAUAAGCUGCUAAUUAAGCUGUUUGGAAGUGCUUAAAUAGCCAAACGACGUACUUCUGGUGCAAGGACUGAAAUUGAAAUUUUCGUGUAUGCUGGUUGAUGAAGUAAGAGUACGUCACAAAUGAGUUGAGUUGUUUUGGAAAGAGCAAGACCUAUAAGCCAAGACAUAAGCUAUUUUGGAAAAUGGAUUAUGGAGUUUUGGAGCUAGUAAAAGCUGCAAAUUGUGGAUAAGCUGCUUGCAAUUUCGGGACUAAUGCCAAGGUGAGUUCCUUUAGCUUAGAACCCACCUUUGGAGAUCGAUUAUGAUUAUGCUACAUUAUUAAGAUAACAUGAAUAAUUAGACCAUUUUAUGAUUACUUGCCUUUUGUACAAACAUGUCUGUUAUGCCAUAUGAAUGGUACAUUUGAAGUAGAAUAAAUAUAAGAUAGUUAGGAUGAUUAUUUCUUCAUUAGGCACCCUUGCUUGUUUAUUCUAAAAUCUAUUUUAUGUUAAUAAGUAUGUUGAUGUUAGUAUAAAUGUCGGAGGGAAAUUAGCCACACAAUUGAUGUAUAUAUACUUAUAGAAAUGAUUUGAAAGAAAAGUUGAAAUGCAACAAGAAACUCGUAGAAAAAUUGAAAUGGGUAACAUGCUCAUAGUAAAAAAAAAAAAUCUAAAAAAAUCAGUUUGCUACAACGAAGAGAUAAUGUAGCCUAUGAGAUACGGAUAGUAACAAAAUGAAAUAGUUACCGUUCGCCACAACGAAGAGAUAAUGUGGUAUAUUUGGCGAAGAGAUAAUGUGGUAUAUCCGUUCGCCACAACGAAGAAAUAAUGUGGUAUAUUUCCGUUCGCCACAACGAAGAGAUAAUGUGGUUUAUGUACAAAUAAUGAAAAGAGAUAAAUGAUGAGAUAGUUUAUAUUGAGUGGUACAAAUGAGAAAAUAAUUUAUAUUGAUGAGAUAGUUUUUAUAUUGAGUGGUAUAAAUGAGAAAAUAAUUUAUAUACUUUUACUUACUAUCUAUUAAAAGAAAUGAUUCAUGUUUUUACAUUUUUGCCCUCAUUAUGGGCAAUUUAGUAAUUUACUAAUUUUUAGACUUAGGUGAAUGCCACCUCACCAAAAAAAAUUCCACCCAAGAUUUUUUUAAUGGGCCAAGCCCAAUUUUUUCUCCAUUUCUCCUCCUACACUAAAAAUUCAACCCUCACCCCCACCGCCUUAACCAUGCCAAACUUCAUCAAACCUUCAUGGAAUCUUAGUGAAAUUUGUAGGUUUAAAGAAUUUAAUUUCUUUUUUACUGUAUUUUGAUUUUGAUACUAUAAAAAUUGUCUCUAUUACUUCACUUCAGAAUUUGUUUUAUAUGUUAAUAAGCCAAAUAUGCAAAAUGAUUAAUAUUUGUUUAGGUUUUUUCAUAUUAUUUCAUUCUUUUGUUUCAAAGAAAAAUGAUGAUGUAAGUCAACAAAAUUCGCAAGAUUCAAGUUGAAAGCGUGGUACUGCAUGUUUUAUGUCUUUAUUUUUGUUAUAGGAUCAAUUGCAUUGUCAUUAUUUUUGCAGGCAGUGAGUAACAAGUCGCGCAUCAUUCUUACUAUCUACUAACUAACAAUAAAAAAUAUGGCAGGUGGUUUUCCAAUUUUGCCCUUCUGGAGGGCAAUUUUGUAAUCCAAUAACCCUUUGAGAUUUAUUUGUUGCCACGUCAUAUGCAUUUUGUUAUAUAUUUCCUAUUUCACGAUAUAAUUGUUGUAGUGGUGUAGUGACAUUCUCUCUAAAUCACAUCGCAACACUCAUCUCUCACCGCCGUCAACCUUGCCAUCAAACACACCGAUCUCCACAUGUCUAAGAGUAUAUAUUCACUAAUAUAUAUCAUUUAAUUCCAUGCAAGGCUACUGUACGUCCAGAUCUGCUGUUGCUAAAUUUUGAUCUAAAGCAAUCUAUACCGAGUUCAUGAACCAAUGAAAUUGGAAACUUAGAGAGUAUUUUGAUUGGAGGUGAUUCUUAUCUUUAAGAUGGUCAUAACUUUCUAAGAAUAUCUGAAUUAUUAGUUAUAUGGAUCUCAUAUCUUCAAUUGCCUCAGGUUUCAGGAAAUAGCAGGGUCUUUAGAUUCUGUGCUGACAACAUCCAGUCUUGUACCCGUUCAAAAUUUAGAUCCUAACAAAGUAAAUUAUCAGGACUUAACGCUAAAAUCAAGUGUAACUCUGUUGGAGAGUUUGAGAUUGUGUUGGAGAGAAGAAAAUGGUUGUGUAGUAACUUGCUGUCAGGACAGGUCUUUGUUUUCAACAACAACUUGGAGAGCUAGGAAGUAAUUAAGACUAAUUUUCAAGCAAGAAGAAAAAGGGAAUAUUAGAAAGAAAAAAAAUAUGAUAUGAAGUGAAGAGAUGAUGGGUAGAGUUUUAAGGGUUUUAAUUUUUCUUUUUGUUUUUCUUUGUUUGAAGAAAGAGUUUACGAAUAUAGUAAUGAGUUUCAUCAUUGUCAAUUUACAGAUACUUUUAUUUUCCUACUUGACUGCUACUCAUUUUGUUCUUCAUGAACUCCUAUACUCUAGCCUGUCUGGUACUUGAAUGUAUAAUACUUUGGACUUACCCUUAACUCUAAUCCAAAACUAUCUUAACUUGGAAAUGUUGUUUCUUUGGUUCAUUUUGUGUCAUGCGAAUGUAAUCGUAAUUUGGACAUCAUUGGUUCCUUUAUUGGUUCCUGUCAUACCCCAACUUUUGACCACUUUUCUCUAUCCUUACCCAUUUUAUUCGUAUUUUUAAAGUCGGGAAUUUUCGUCGUUUCAGACGAAAUUUCGACAAAGAGUUACUUUGAAGUACCUCAUUUUUUAUUCCGAGUAGGACCCUUUUCUCUCUUUAUUUUAUUUUUAUUUCAGUAUUUAAUUCCCAUCUUUUAUUAGUUUUGAUUUUAAAAUUAGUUACUCUUUUUUUAGUUUAUUUUCUGUUUUUGUGUUAUAAUGUCAAUGAGUCCAAAAAAUCCCAGCAAGGGUCCAAAAAAUAUUUUUUUCAUUCACGCCUCAUAUUCAGGCAGAUUCAUAGAAGUCAAAUUUUUGUUUCCAAAUCCAGGACACGGUUACUUUUUCUGAAGUUAUUUCCUCUUUCCCUUCAACCCUAAUCCUAUAAAAUCAAACCUGCAAAAGAAAGAAAGGGAGGCCGCACUGAAUUUCACACUAACACAUUUUUACGGCCGCAAAAAAUUAUCAACCACAAUUUUCCAGCAAUCUCAACAUCACAAAUUCCAGAAUCACAAAUCUUCACAAUUCAUAAACCUCAACACAAAUCCAUCACUCAAAUUCCAUUUUCCAGAAUCAACCGUUUUCGGAUUUGAACAUCACAAACACUGUCCAGAUACGAAAGAAGAGAUGUAACAGAGAAAGAAGAUUGGAUCGAAACAAAGAGAUCGGACCAGAACAGAAAGUAGAUCAAACCGGAACAGAUCGGAAUAGAUGAAGAAGUAGAAGAGCAAGCUUCAUACUAAACCGAAUCGAAAGAAACAAGAGGGAAUCGGAGCUGAAACGCGCGCUUAAAGAAAGAACAAGAGCAAAUCGGCACCGGUCUCAAGGUAAAAAGAGGUAAAAAAAAUUCGUUUCUAUUUGUGUAGAUCUAGGACGAUUCAAGCUUGUUUUCAAAAUUCUGUUUGUGGAUUUGAACUUAGGAAGAAAAAGGAUAUCUAAAUAUGUAAAAAGAUUUGAAAACGGAGAAGUUUCGUUUUCCGGUGCGGCGGCGCCGCCCUGUUGGGCCGGCACACCACCGUACCGGAGCGGCGAAACUCACCGGAGAAGAUGAAGAUCAUCUUUUGUUCUUUUCCAGAAUUUUUAGAGAGAAGGGAGAGUUUUUUGGUUUAGAGAGAGAAAGGUUUGAGAGAAAUGAAGGUUGAUGAACCGAAUUUGGUUAUAUACUUGUUGUUGAACCGGUUUUUAUUUCAUUUGAACCGCUUUUUUUAAAUCAAACCGGAUUUCAUUUUAACCGUUGGAUCUCAGAUCCUGUGGCUGUGAUGAGACUUCCUGUGAUUAGACCUAGACCUUCCGAUUCAUCAGACGGUCCAGAUUUAUCCAGUCUGAGCCCACCAUUUUAAAAUUCACUACUGUUUUACUUUUGUCACCACUGUUUUUACUUUCUGCACCUUUUUACUUAAAAUUUCCUGAAAGAGUUUACAAAUACAUUCUUCUUUGUGUUAAUUGUUUUAUUUACUGUUUUAUCGUUAUUAUUGUAGUAUACUUGAAUCAUCUCAUGCAUAUUUAAUUUUUUGAUCAUUUCAUUUCAUUGGUAUUAUUUUUAGUACGUAUAAUUAGGAAGUUGAUGUAAUUUAUUUUGUGCAUUUUUAUUUCUUGCCAUUUAUAUUUCUCUUGAGACCAUAGAAUGUAUCUAGGAAUUGAUGUAAUAAUGUAGGUAACACAAGCACCGACACAUGCACCGGCACUUCACAUUUAUUUCUUGUUACGUUAGUUUUCUCGUUAGUCUAAAAAUAAUCAUUUUUUCCAAAAAAGUCAAAUAUGAAAAACUCCAAAAAUAUUUUCUUAAUAAACCUUGGUUUGUAACCCAAGUGUUUUUUUUCCUUUUAUUUUCUUAAUCAAAUGCUUAAUUGAAUUAAUAUUCAUAAUAGACUUGAUUUUCUUGUAAUUAAAAUUUGACCAACCUCACUUUAUUUUCUCUCAUGCCUUGAGGCCUCUUAUCCCUUCUUAAAACCAUUUUCUAAAAUUUAAAAUCAACCAACCCACCAAAAAGAAACUUUUUAGGUGAACUACAUUGGUUUUGAUCCCUUUUCUUUAAGGGUAUGUAGGCAUGAGAUUUUUAUCCUUCCAAAUCAAAUAAAAAUAACCAAAAACAUACUUCUUCUCCCCCAUUCUUUCACUUAGAUUUUUAGGUAAUAAUUUUCAAAUAAGCAAAUCAAUUUAGCACAAGAUAAAUUAGGUAAGAGGUUCAUAUGGAAUACCAUAGACGCUUAGGGUGCUAGUACCUUCCCUUCGCGUAACUAACCCCCGAAUCCAAAGUCUCGACAAGGGUUUUUACUCAUUUUUUCCCUUCCCACGAAUAAAAAUCGAGAGUUCAAAGAUUAACGAUUCAAAUCAAUUAAUGGUUUGAUAUCCGAAAAUCACGAGCACAGUUCCAAUUAGUUUAAUCUUAAUUAUUAUGUUGUGUUCUUGAUCUCAUGAACAAAAUAUAUGCUCUUUUCAUGAAUCAAGACCAGGUAAGGCUUUGAUAAGACACAAAUGAUAAAUAUUUCUAAUGUUUGUGAAAUAUUCCUUAAUUUACUCAUUUUUCCUUUGAAACAAUAUUUUUACAAUAUACGAUAUUCAACCCGUGCGAAGUACGGGUUUGUAACUAGUUAUUGAUAGUAAAUUCACAUCAUGGGAUGCGAUGAUAAAGUAUACGAGAAUGUGUCAAAUUCACAUUAUGUUUGGAAUGAAUUAGCUAUGAAGCAAUAUUUUAUGUGCAUUUUACCGAUCGUUGGAAAUGAGAAAUUUUAGUUAUGGAACUCCGGCUUUGUUAGCCGAAACUAGUUGUUAUCGGAAAAGAAUCAGAGACAUACUCAAAUAAGUAUGUCAAAGUAUAAGCUAUACUAGUAUACGAUAGAUUGGACAUAUAUUUAUGAUUAUUAUUAUGUUUAUGAUUAAAGUUAUGAGUAAGACUAUAUUUAUUAUAUAAUCAAAAUAGUAUUUCAGACGGCGAUUUUAUUAUCCCCUGAUCGCUCAGUUAUGCAUAAUGAAAUCGUUUAAACCCAAAAUGGGUUGAGGUUAGAAACAGAUUGCGAUCCUAGGUUCCCCCAGGUUGCCUACAACCUAGGAUAGAUGGAACUCACUGAGACAUCUUGUCUCACCCCAAUCCUUUUUAUUUAUUUCAGAUGUACAAGUUAUUAUACGAUAAGAUGGCUCGUGAUGAAGAGGCAGACGUAGCUGGAUAUGUAAAGUACACGUCAGUGGAACUAUUUCUGAGGUAAUAGGCGAGAAAUUCUAUGAUUUGUUCAUAGAAUAUUUAUUUAUUGUAACUUCAAUGUAUCCAACGCCAAGUUUAACACACAUGCUAGAUAUCCUAGGUGAUUUCUAGUAGGGGUGUUACAGUUUCGUCCCGAAGUUGCUUCACAAGUGCUGGUGAUAUAGUUGCUGCAAUUAAAAGGAAAAGCAUUGGUUGGUCCAAACUCCCCGUUCUACCCAAGGACAAGAUAUCCAAUUAAAAAUCGCCACAUACAAUUCUGUUUGGAUAAACAACUUAACCAAGCGUUUAUGCUAUAAGCAAUCAAUUAAGUUGUUUAUCCAUAUAAAACCUGCGUAAAAACUUUUUUUAUAGCAAAAUAUAAAAUAAAGUAAAACUUUUUACAUACAAGCUAUAAGCUUUUUCAUAUGCUAUCAUGGGUAGCUUAAGCAAAUAAGCUGAAAACAGCUUAAGAACACGACAUAAGUUGUUUCCUUAAGCCAAUCCAAACAAGCCCAACAUAAAAAAAUUGUUCUCUUUUACGUGUAAAAACAGAAAUACAAGUAUAUAUAUUUUCUUCUAUUUGAUGGAGAAAAAUGAGAAUGGGAAUAUGAAGCAGAUAAGAUGAAAUUGAAACCUUUACUUGAGCCUUCUGUUUGUCCAUUAGAAUUAGAUAUGAUGUUUGUCUCGGAUGCAAUAGCAACCUCUUCAACUUGUGCUUGUGCUGGUGCUACGACUUGUGCUUGCAGGACAUCUGUUUAUAGAGGAUCCAAAGUUAAAGAAACCUCCAUUUGUUAAAUAACUAACUAUAAUAAUGUCCUCUAAUUGCUUUGUUCGCAUAAACUUGAUUUAUUCGGAUCGUGUAGAAAAUGAAAGGGGUACAAUAUCUAGCAAUAUGUGGUUUAUACAUAACAAAUUCAGAAAAUAUGCGAUCCAUUUCAAUUCAUUAACCAAAAUUCAUUGAGGCAAGCAGGAUUUCAAAAUUAAUAUAAUUAAGCAUAACCUUUAUUCCUUCUCGAGUAGCUACUGCACUUGCUGUGAAGUCUGAUUCUAUGAUAACUUCAUCAGGUCCUUCAUUCUUCAUAGUCAACGCCUCUUGUGAUACGCAAAAAUGGUACGCUAAUUUCUUGACCAAUCUCCAUCGUCAUCUUCCUCAGCUAACGGUAUAAAUACUUCCUCCCCUGCAAGAAGUGAUAUAAAAGUACCACUCCUCGUCAUAUUCUUCACUGAACCCAGCAACUCCUGACCUAAAACAAAUUUCAUGAUUUUCUUAUCUUUCCUUGGACCAGAUUUCAAAGAAUCCCUCCUCCCAGGGCCGGAUUUCUCUGUAUUGUUUGGUGCAUCAUUAAGUUUACCAGCAUCGGUGCAUCAUUAAGUUUACCAGCAUCGGUGUUUUCACCGUAACUUCUUGUCCAAGAGACGCAACACUUGGGACAUCCUUUACAAAGCUAUAACACAACCCGGGAACCAAAUCCUCGUUCUUUACAGGAGGCUUCUCGCUUUUUCUUGCAGGUCUUGAACGUUUGGCUUUCGUAGAACCAGCAUUGGCAUCGGACCUAGGCGAUGAGUCUUCACUUGUUCCAACUUCAUUUGAAGGAGAUUCACUAGAAACUUCAUCGAUAACAGGUGAAUCUUGUACCUCCACAGAUACUUCCGUUUCUGUGGCUGAUUUGAAGGUUCGAGAUUUUUUCCGGUAAGAGCAUAUUCGUUUGUUAUGAGGAAAAACAUUAUUGACGACAAAUGAAGGAAAGAGAAAUCUCCGAGUUGAUCCGUGUCCUAAAGAACUCCUUGAAAAGUUGAGUCUAGUUAACGAGUUAUUCUUUCUUGUCAAAUAGGCAACUCCAGGAAUAACCGAAGAAUUUCCGACAGAGCAUGAUAUUAUGGGAUUCAUAUGGAUUUGAAUUAUUCAACUUUUUUAUUUUUCAGGAUCAGUUCAUAAUGACAGUAUUGACGACACAGUUAUAAAUCAAACACCUCAGUAGCCACCAUAAUGACAGUAUUGCAUAUAGGAAUUGUAUAAAUACACAAAUCACAUUACAUAAAUCAUCAUCAAUUUACUUGCAACUACUUCAAGCAUAAUAUCAUCUUUUACAAAUUAUAAGCAACUAAGUGACGAUGACUACAUUGCAUAUAAGUAUCUACAUGAAAAAUUAGUCAAAAACGAAUUUUACUGCAACAAAGAUACUCAAUAAAUUAAACUACAUGAAAAAUGCUAGGAGCCUGGGGUAUUCAAGAACUUCGAUUUAUUGUAUCAAUGGAAAUUAAAUUCAUAAAUGCUGCUUUCACUGAUAAAGUGUUCCUUAAAAUGUUUUUAUUUUAUCAAGCACCCAUACGGACACCAGACACGAUACGGACACUGACACAUCGACACUAAUAAUAAUUUGAAAAAAUGACAUUACUUCAAAAAAAACAAAAAACGGAGAUGAACAUAAUGUCAAUGCUCUUCAUUGCAGAUUGUAUUUUGCAGGUUGAGACUCUUCAUCACCUUCUUGUGAUCCAUCUGUUGUUUCUUCUCUGUGAAGUUUAUGACUCUUGAGAUGAAUGAUUCUUGUUCUUGUUCCGGUUCUGGUUGUGUCUCAUCUUCAAUUGCCAAAUUCUUGCACUUCCCAGCCAAGAAAUUUUCUUGAUUCAUCAUUGUUAAGUUGAAUUCUUGCAGGUCUUCUUUACAUACCCACCGAUACCCGCAACUCUUCACCUCCAAACUAAAAUCUUCACCCUCAAAAAUAUUAAAAUGGAUUUUUUCAAAUUCACUAUAGGACUCUCGGGGGAAGUAGAUUAUCCAUAGGUGACUUGAUUUGGUCAUAACAAGACCUCCAUUGAGAAUUACGGUAGCACUCCUACAGCUCAUCCUAAUCAAUUUCUUAUCGGUCCACUCUUGAGCAAAUGGAAACAUCCAACAAUCAGGUGCCAUGGAAAAUACCGCACAACAUAGAAAGCCAAUGAUAUAAUUGUUAUUGUCAUGCAUAAUAGGAGAUCGGUCUAUUUGUAUUGAAUCACCCACGCUCUUAUUGUUGAUCCAAAUUGGUAUUUCAUUUCCUGGAGUAACAAUUUGAAUCCAAUCAAAGGACGUAGGGUAGGAUUGUGAGUUUGCCUCAAUGAAUUGUGUCAACCAUGAAAAUGUCAUGCUACUGCAACGUUCCCUCUCACCCAAUUUUGGACAGUUGAAAAUGAACAAUCCUGUAGGCCAGAUCCAGAAAUAUUUGUUGUUCUCACGAAUAAUAUUGGUAGGAGAAGGAAGUUGAGGCAAAGAUUCCAACAACAUGCAAUGCUGCAAAUUUAAAUAUACAAGUUUGGAAAGCUUCCUCAGGCUAGGUAGAGUCACAAAAUUGUUUCCCUCUAAGUUUAAUCUUUCUAGCGAGUAUAAACAUUCAAUUGCAUCAGGAACUUGGCUUAGAUGGCAAAAGCUAAUGUCAACGUCUCGCAAACAAACUAAGCUAUGCAAGGAUGGCAACAAAUAUGUGUGUCUUGUGGGAGCCGAAAACCGUAAGUGGUGAGGUAACAUGAUCCAUUUGAACACAGAGGACAUUGAUCUGGAAUGUGAUGCACUUUCACUUAUAUCAUGCUUCUUCUUCAAAUGCAUUGGAUUUUUAAACACUUUGGAACAUCCAUACAUAUUUAGAUCUUCAAGAGAGCUAAGACUGAAUAUGUUAUUGGGUAUGCUUACUAGAUUUUUGCAUUCAUAUAAAUUCAAGUAAACAAGCUUUCUUAGAAGUCCAAUAGAUGGAUCCAACUCCACAAGGUUUAUACAUCCUUCCAAAUUUAGCUUCUCAAGAUUCGGGAACUCCCCAAAAUCUAGUAUCUUUACUAGUUCUAAGGAGUGUCUUAGAUCCAAAUGUUUCAAAUUGGGCAGAUACUGGGACAUGUAAAACAAACAAAAAUACACCAAUUACUUUGACUAUGAGAUAAUUGUUUCAAUUUUGUUUAUAUUUCUAAGAUAAACAUUAAUAAUAAGAGAAUUUAUAGUACCUUCUUGUUUGUCCAUAGUUGUUCAAUUUUGCUGCUCUUUAAGAUCAAUUCUACAAGUUCAUUGGGGUGAAAAUUUGAUGGCAAAUACUUAAAAGGAUAUUCAUGCCAAUCAACAUAUUUUAAUUUGUUUGAAAAACUCCAUGGACUUCCUGAGAUGCACCCACCGUACUUGAAGAUGAGGAAUCUAAGAUUAUUCAUUUUUGACACGUGUUCAGCGUUCAUAUCUAUCUCUUCAUUCAAAACUAUGGCUUCGACAUGUUUUUGCUAAAGCAUUGCAUUGCAAAAAAUAAAAGAAAAAAGUAAAUUACUCAGUGUUUAUAGUAAUUAUUAUAAAAAUGGAAAUGUUUUUUUUUUUAAAUUUCUAAACAGUUACUUUACCAUAUUCUCCACCAUAACAUUGUAGAGUUGCUUUUUGGACCAGACCCUGCUCCACUUUCUUUGCUCUUUGCUUGAAUUUUCUUGCACAAUUUUUCUGCCUAGCUCUUCCAACAAAGAAUGUAUUUCAAUAUGUGAAUAAUUAGUGUUUAUAAGUGAUUUAUCAUUGAGAACUCUUAAUCCAAUAUCAGCAUGGAAUCCACAACAAUUUAGAAUGUUUUUAACCUCUUCCAUGGGCCAAGAGUUGAAGAAACAAGCAAUAUCAAGAAAUAUUUCUUGUUCCGUCUCCUCUAGCCCAUCAAAACUUAAAUGCAGCACAUUCAUGACAUCUUUAUUUGGACUUUCUCUCAAUCUAGCCAAUGCACUCUUCCAUUCAGUCACAUUACGACCAAACAAAAAUGAGCCCAAUAUUGUAAUUGCUAGGGGUAGACCAUUAGCAUAACUCAAUAUCUCAUCUGCCAAAUUUUGAUAAUUACCCAAUAUAAUGUUCUCAAGUUUGAAAGCUUUUCGACAAAAUAACUUGUGAGAUUCGGCCAUAUUCAAGAGUGGAACUUUGUAAAAUACAUCCACUCCAUACUCCUUCAAUAUAUGCUCAUCUCUAGAAAUGACAACGAUUCUACUACCUGCACCUAACCAUUCGCGAUGCACUGCAAUUUUUUCCAAUUGUUCAACUUCAUUGACAUUAUCAAGAAUCAGAAGGACCUUUUCACGACGUAGCCUACGUCGUAUCAAAUCAGUUGCGUUGUAACGAUUGCUUAUUAGAUGGUGUUCUAUGCCUAGAGUUUGAAAUAGGAUUUGCUUUUGUGCAUUGAGUGGACCAUCAUGUAAACUAUAAAUUUUGGUUACAUCAUCAAUAUAGCAGGAUGCACUAAAUCGAUGAGAUAUUUGGUCAUAUAAAGCCAUAGCAAGGGUUGUCUUCCCUAUUCCUCCCAUUCCAGAAAUUCCUAUAGCACAAACACAAUCAACCGAGUCCAAAAGCAAAUGAUUUUUUAAUGCUUCUAUAGGAGAAUCAAUCCCAACUAAAUCUUUUGAAAUAUAUGAAGAUUUGCACUCCAAUAUACUCAUUAUCUUUUGAACAAUCUUUUUAAUCACUCCAGCUUGUGGCCUGAAAUUAGUUCAAAAAGUUGUUCAAUAACAUUCGUUACAUACAAAAACCAAAAAGAAAAAUUAGUUUGAACUCCAAAUAUUUAUUCUAGAGGCAAACAAAAAAUAGGCAUUCUUUUUGUUUCUAUCCUGGACUCGUCCGACAUCUCUUAACCUUAUAUUCUCUACAAAAAAGAAAGAAAACUACAAAUUACUUACUUAUCACGUAGAUCCCAACCAGAGAUACUCCCCACAUGUUUUAGAGCUUCCCUCCAUCUUGACACCAUCUCAAAGUCUUGUUGGAAUCUUUGUUCAUGUUUGACAAAGGCUUCACAAUAAAUCCCACUUUGCUUUCGAACCACAGAAGGAUCAACAUCAUAAAAAACAGGAAGAAUAUGUUUUCUGGAUCUCUGAACGCAUUUACAUAUCUUCUCUAAUUCUUGCAGGCACCAUGUUGAGGAAGCAUAGUUCCUUGAGAAGACUGCAACAAAAACCCGAGAUCCUUCGAUUGCUCGAAGGAGCUCAGGUUCUAUAGAUUCACCCUUUUGAAGAUUAGUGUCAUCCCGAAAUGCAAAAAUGCCUUUUGUUUCAAGGGCAUCAAAAAGAAAAUCAGUAAAGUUGUUGCGAGUGUCUUCACCUCUGAAGGUGACAAACACAUCAUAAUAGUUGUUUCUUGAAGAAGUCACAAGAGCUAAAGAAGAAUUGUUGCUGCUAGCCAUCUGAUUAAGCUGAAAUUUUAGAGGAUUGGAUAUGGCAACUAUUAUGAAGGAACUUAAAAAAAAAAAGCAUAUAUCAAUGUUAUAAAUGAACUUAAAAAAUGCAUUAUAUAAAUAUUAUGAACGAACAAGUUUAUAAGCGUUGAUUUCGUGGCACCUUCUUACCAAUAAUUGAUUGGUUUAUCUAAAUCAAUUACGCGUUGAAAUUUCAACGAUUUCGUGGCACCUUCCUUGUUAAAAAAUGGAUAUAUAUAAAAAAUAAAUAAAAAAAAAGCGUUGACAACUUUAAUUCCUCAAAAUAAAAAAAAUAAAAGAAGCGUUAUUAAGCGUUGACAACUUUCCCUAAAAAAAAAAAAAACAUUGACAUAUAAAUUAAAUUACACUCCCCUCCUUUGAAAGAUGUUUGAAUUAAACUCUCUUUCUCUCUUAUAUUAAAAUAUACACUACACUCUCCUCUCAUGCUAAAUAUAUUAGAAAUUAUUUCCCUCUCCACCUCUAAAAGAAGCUUGAAUUACAUUCCCCACCCCUCUUAUAUUAAAAUUUACAAUUUCCUCACAUAAUAAGUUCUUUAAUAUUUCUAGUAAUUUAUCAAAAACAUAUCGAACAUACUCCGAAGAAACUAAGUCUACUUUAAUAUAAUCAAAAUUCAUAUUCAUAUUUUUCUCUAUUUUUUAUUCACAAUUUCAUUAGCAUCAAGUUUUAAACUCUAUUAUAAAUUUUAAAAUAUAAAACAACACAAAGUAAAAUUAAAAUGAGUGAAAAAUUACUAAAGCCAAUAAAAUAUGAUUAUUUAAAAAUGAAUUUUAUAUUGUUAAAAAAUUAAUAACAAAAUAUUUAAAUUUAAUCAUCAUUGACAUUUAAAUUACAAAUAAAUAAUUUUUUUCUUAAAUGGUGUUUUAAAAUUAGUAGAGAUUGUAAAAAUAUUUAUUUAUGUUAAAAGAGAAUAAAUUAUAGUGCAUAUUAAAGGGAUGUGGUUGUAAUUCAAGCAUUUCAUGGGAGAGGGGAGCAUAAGUUUUAUGUUUCAAGCGAUGGGAGUGUAUAUAUUAAGUUAAGAGGAUAGGAGAAUAUAAUUCAAAUUUCUUUUAAAGGAAGGGGGUGUAAUUUGCAUUAAUAUAUAAAACUUUAAAUGUGAUGCAUUUAUAUAUUUUAUAGUUUUGGUCCCUAAAAAAAUCACAUUUUUUCGCCCGCGUAAAACUUUCCAUUAGCAUUUAGGGACACUAGCUAACUACAUUUAAUUAACGGAAGGUGAAAUUGUGAGAGUUAACUUAAAAUCAGGUUUCUGCAGAAUCGUGGCACGACGGCUGGGCUUCGUGGCACGAUGGAGGUUUUAGUUUUUUGGGCAAGGCACUGGAAAAAUCGUGGCACGAUGGGGUCGCAUCGUGGCACGAUGGUGCGCUGGCGGAUAAAAAUAAAACAUAUUUUUGGGAGCAGAUUUGUUACAUUUUUUGUUACAGAUUUGUUACAAAUUUUAGGCAGAUUUGUUAUAGAUUUUAAGCAGGACUUUUACUAUAAAUAUAGACCUUGUAUCAAAGCAGAGAGAGAGAAAGAGAGUGGAGAAACACUAUUAGGAUUGGAGUCUCUUGGUUACGGGAAGAGAUUGGGACUUUGGGUAGAAUUAGGCGGGAGACUAUUCUUGUAACCCAUUGAUUUCUCUUUGUAACGUUACUCAUCAAAUAGUGGAUCGGAGGGCUGCUCUCUCCCCCAGACUAGGUCAGAUUGGACCGAACUGGGUCAACAAAUUUCUUUGUGUUCUUCUUCUUCUUUUGUUCUUCUCGCCGUUGUUUUCUACUUUUGGCUUGUAUUUAAUUGUUCCAUACGCUUUGAUUUUGGUUGCUUAAUUAUCCCUUGCUCCACACAUCAAGUUGUUAUUGGUGUGAUUUUCAUCGAAUUCACAACAAUUGGCGCCCACCGUGGGGCAAGGGUCGAAGGAUAAUUAAGUACCAUGGGUUCAAAGUGGGAUAUCGAGAAGUUUACCGGAGAUAACGAUUUCGGGUUAUGGAAGGUAAAGAUGGAAGCGGUGUUAAUACAGCAGAAGUGUGAGAAAGCUUUGAAGGGUGAAGUUCGUUACCGGUCACCAUGUCACGAGCGGAGAAGACCGAGAUGGUGGACAAGGCCAGGAGUGUCGUUGUCUUGUGCCUCGGGGAUAAAGUUUUGAGAGAAGUAGCAAAGGAAGCAACCGCAGCAUCGAUAUGGGCAAAGUUGGAAUCUUUGUAUAUGACAAAGUCUUUGGCUCAUCGGCAAUUCCUAAAGCAACAACUCUACUCAUUCAGGAUGGUAGAGUCAAAGGCCAUCAUGGAGCAACUUACGGAGUUCAACAAAAUCCUAGAUGACUUGGAGAAUAUUGAGGUGCAACUUGAGGACGAGGAUAAAGCUAUACUCUUGUUGUGUGCUCUACCGAAAUCUUUUGAAUCGUUCAAAGAUACCAUGCUCUAUGGCAAGGAAGGCACUGUUACCUUGGAAGAAGUUCAAGCGGCUUUGAGAACCAAGGAGUUGACCAAGUCCAAGGACUUGACUCGUGAAUACGGUGAGGGCCUAAGUGUUACAAGAGGGAAUGGUGGAGGUAGAGGUAACCGGAGAAAGAGUGGAAACAAGUCAAUGUUUGAAUGCUUUAACUGUCACAAGAUGGGUCACUUCAAGAAGGAUUGUCCGGAGAUUAAUGGUAAUUCCGCACAAAUUGUCUCUGAGGGUUAUGAGGAUACGGGUGCUCUGAUGGUGUGGUGUUGUUUGGAGGAAGAAGAAGGUGAUGUGUCUCACCUUGGGAUUGAUGCCUAGUGGAGUGGUGGUCGUCUGGAGAGACGUUAAACACUCAACAUCAGCCUGGAGAGGCGGUGGUAAGAAUACUCAUGAUCUACCUGUUGAGGUGGAGUUUCAAGGUUGAAGACAUAGUGGGAUGUACGCAUUUGCUAGUUGAGGUAGAGUACGCUCAGCGUGAGGUGGAGUUGAACACACCGGUAAUGGUACGACUAUGAAGACCUUGGGUGCUAGGCUCUAUGGUGAGCAAGGGAUUUCUUCAUGAAGUUGGAGAAUGUGUAGCACGGCUUGCGAGAUUACUCUAAAAGAAUGCCAAGGGUGAUUGGAUGCAAGGUGAUCUUCAAGGAAGCAGGAGAUGUUCUGCGUUGAAGAUGGUAUGGUGAAUGCUUGUGGGACUACCUAAAACUCCUAGUGUAGUUGGACUGCAAGGACCUUCGAGAAGGCGGAAGAUAUUCCGAGGGCUGAAGGGGUUGAGGUGUAUACUUGUGGAUUACUCUAAAAGCCAAGGGUGAUUGGGUACAAGUAGAUCUUCAAGGAAAGCGGGAGAUAUCUCGUAUUGAAGAGGUUAUGGUAUAGUCUUGUAGAACUACCUGAAAUUCCUAGCGUAGUUGGACUACAAGCAUCUUCGAGAAGGCGGAAGACAUUCCGAUGGCUGAAGAGGUUGAGGGUGUAAACUUGUGGAGCUACUUGGAGUAGUGGGAAGCAAGGGUUUGAGCAGCAAGGAGGUUGAUGAUCGGCAUCAUCACUGAUUUGAAGUCAAGGUGGAGAAUUGUGAGAGUUAACUUAAAAUCAGGUUUCUGCAGAAUCGUGGCACGACGGCUGGGCUUCGUGGCACGAUGGAGGUUUUAGUUUUUUGGGCAAGGCACUGGAAAAAUCGUGGCACGAUGGGGUCGCAUCGUGGCACGAUGGUGCGCUGGCGGAUAAAAAUAAAACAUAUUUUUGGGAGCAGAUUUGUUACAGUUUUUGUUACAGAUUUGUUACAAAUUUUAGGCAGAUUUGUUAUAGAUUUUAAGCAGGACUUUUACUAUAAAUAUAGACCUUGUAUCAAAGCAGAGAGAGAGAAAGAGAGUGGAGAAACACUAUUAGGAUUGGAGUCUCUUGGUUACGGGAAGAGAUUGGGACUUUGGGUAGAAUUAGGCGGGAGACUAUUCUUGUAACCCAUUGAUUUCUCUUUGUAACGUUACUCAUCAAAUAGUGGAUCGGAGGGCUGCUUUCUCCCCCAGACUAGGUCAGAUUGGACCGAACUGGGUCAACAAAUUUCUUUGUGUUCUUCUUCUUCUUUUGUUCUUCUCGCCGUUGUUUUCUACUUUUGGCUUGUAUUUAAUUGUUCCAUACGCUUUGAUUUUGGUUGCUUAAUUAUCCCUUGCUCCACACAUCAAGUUGUUAUUGGUGUGAUUUUCAUCGAAUUCACAACAGAAAUCACAAUUAAACCACUAAUUCAUCUUGAAUAAUUUGAGGUUAAGUUUUGCUUACAUCAAAACCGAGCUCUAAAAAAUUAAUAAAUACACCUUAAAGUAUAUGUUGCUAUAACACAUCUUCUAGAAAAAGCAAGUGGAGGCUCCGCUAGGGUUUCAACCUUCUAGCAUGAGUGUGGCUUUCUUCAAUAGGAUUACACAAUAACAGUUCACCGUUCAAUUGCAUGUUAAUUUGUGUAAUUGCUUUUUGGUCAAUUGCUUUCAAUUAAGUUUCGUGAGUUAGUUUCUCUCAAUUAAAGCUUCUGAUUCCACCGAUCAGUGCAAUUUGGUUGGUGGGAUUAAUCAAUCAAUUGGUCCAUGGGUUGAAAUUGAAGUUAAUCUUCACGCAAAAAUCUUUUGAGCUACCGAAAAGUUUUCAUCAAUUAUCCAUAUGCUGGUUGUUGCUUUCUGCGCAUCAACUGUUUGUGGAAUUGCCUCUGCUUUGCAUAUCUACGCAAGCAGCCCCCAUGGCCUAUGAGUGCCAAUGGCCAUGUGUGUUGAAGCUGCACUUACGUCAGCUAUGGUGAACCAAUCUGUUCCAGCAAUAACUGAAAAACCUGUUUCACCACCAACAAUGUCCUUUGCAGCAGCUCUUGCGAGGAAGACGGUAAUUGAUGACAAACCCUUCACUUCUCCAUGCAUUAAAGGUGAUGCGUUGAGCAUCAAAAUAUGUCAGGAGGAAUACCGUAAGGGAGUAGAAGAUUGUCAGAAGGUGUUAAGGGCUCGGUUGGCUCUUAACAAAGGAGACAAACCUUAUUUUGCACGUGAUCUUAGUAUUAAAAUUGAUAAGACUUGGAAGACAAAGGCAGGAUGGAAAAUGGUGCCUCUUGGCAAGGGUUAUUAUGACUUUCAUUUUGACUCGGCGGAGGAUUUAAAGAAAAUAUGGGCAGCAGACACGAUAAAUCUCAAGCCUGGUUUGUUGAGAUUUUCACAAUGGACUAAAGACUUUAAAUUUCAGGCGCAGAAACAGACUCAUGUCUCAAUUUGGAUACGUUUGGUGGAGUUACCACAAGAGUAUUGGCGGGAGAGAACCUUGAAGGAAAUUGCAAGUGCCGUUGGUACGCCUAUUGAUAUUGAUGGACCAACUAGAAAUCGUACCUUUGGUCAUUAUGCUCGCAUUUUGGUGGACAUUGACUUAUCGAAGAAAGCAUAUGAUGAGGUUCUUGUGGAACGUGAUGGUUUUGCGUUCAUGGUGGAAAUACAAUACGAGCGGAGACCUUUGUUUUGCCAUCAUUGCUACUCCAUUGGUCAUAACAUCACUACUUGUAGAUGGAUAAAUCCGCAAGCCGCCAAAGAGAAAGAGAAGGUGAAUCGUGGGAAACAAUCAGUAAAAGAACCUGUUGUUGCGCCCCCUAAAGCACCACAUGGGGGUGCAUCUACUUUGGCCGUUGGAGAGAAUGGCUCAUGGAUCCCGAUUGCUGUUAAUUCUACAGUUACCACAACUUCCAGGACGACGGUCCAAGCUCCUCAGACAACACAGGCUGCAUCAAUUCUGGUAUGCACACUUACUCAAUCAAUUCCGGUUUCAUUACCUGCAGUGCCGGUUUCAGACAUAUCAUCAAACUCGUUCAGUUUGCCGCUUCAUAAUGUUUUUGACUGUAUUGAACGUCUUUCGACUGAUGAUUUAGCUAUAAAUAUGCCUGUGUUGGAGAAGGUUGUUUCCUCUGUAGCGCACGAUGACGUGCAACCCGUAGAAGUGGGAAGGUCUCAUCAGACAUCACGGGAGGUGUUGGAGAACCACACGGUGUCUGAACCGCUUCAGGAUGGUGUGAAACAUGAUCAUGUGAGCCCAACGGAGGUGGUGGAGAGUCCCAAGGGUGCUCGUGAGAGUGUUGCAUGAUCAUCCCCUGUUGAGCAUGUAGACAUGCAUGAGGUGUCUGCCGAUUACCAAGAACACCACGAUAUUUCUCUCAUUGCUCCUCCAGUUGUUACAUCUGAGAAUUCUGACGGGUUGCUAGAUGGUACAGAUGAGGUUCUUGCUGGUUCACAAGCAAUGAAAACACCUAUGGUCACUGAAGCAUCAAGUGUAGUUGAUGAGGGGUAUGCUCUCGGCAAAGGAACAUAUUGUGGUCAUUUUGCAAAGACAAGAGGUUCAUCCUAGCAAGAAUAUCCAGCAUGGUUUAGAUUUGUGGGAAAGAGUACGUGAAUAUGAUGCAAGAUCAGCAGCUGAAGCACCUGAUGGCUUCAUGCCUGUUCUUACACGAAAUCAGAAACAAAAACUUAAGGUACAACACGUUUUAUCCAAGCAGCCUUCCAAAUCCCGUGCACGGGGUGACACUAACCCGCAUGCCCAAUGAAUUUUCCUUACAUUUAUUACGGAGCCAAAGAUUAAUUUUGUUAAUAUUCCUGCUUGGUAUUGGCCGAAAAUUGGUGUUUCUAAACAUUGCAUUAAUAAUAGAGGAUUCUUAUUGCCUACUCUCUGGGCUCUUUGUCAAUAGUUGGUGAGAUUUGGGUUGACACUCUUCCAGAUGAGGUGAAGAUUGAUUUUUAUAGGGACAAUUGUGGGUUACCCAAUUAUAGAUUCCCUUAAUCUACUUUUGGGUUGUUUAUUUGUAUUUUUCUGUUUCUUUUUCUGUUUUCUGCUUCUUCUUUUUUGUGGGUUUUGGUAUAGUCCCCCACCUUUUUGUAUGUGACUUUCCCCCCUUUUUUUAAUAAAUUUUUCGAGUUUGACAGCAUAGGAUAUGGAGGUAUCUCGGGAUGCCAACCUAGUUGAGAUGUCGAUGAUGACUCUUGAUGUCUGUCCUCUCUCAUUCAUAUUCCAUUAAUGUGGUUAUUGUUAACUGAUGCUAUUGUAAGUGAAUCAUGAUUUGGGUAUACUUAAUUGUGGAUUGAUGAUGAGAAAUAAAUUGUUGUUGUUGGUUUGGUGAAGUUGAGUUAAGUGGUUCAUGUGAGGGACCAAAAUGAAUUUUGUUCACAUGAGGUUGUUGACUGAAUUUUUGAUGUUGUUGGAUAAAUUGAACCUAUAAGAAUUUCUGUUUUCAUGUUGUGGUUGUGUUAGUUGAGUCGUUUGGGAGAAAACGGGUUUUUCGUGUGAAAUGUCGAUGUUUAAGCAUUUUCGCCAAUAAGUGCUUAUGUGAGGUUUUGGAAAAUGACUUUUGGGAUGGUUGAAACAUGAAAUUUUUAUAGAUUAUGUUAGAGUCAAGUGUCAGGAUCGUGUAGGUGAAAACGGCAUCAAAAUCCGAUUAACGGUUUGCAUUUUAUGCGCGAAAUGGUGAAAAACACACUUUUUGGAAAAGCUGUAAGUGAUCAGGCCAGAAGCACACUUCAGAAGCAAACUUCAGAAGCACACUUCAGAAGCACCCUUCAGAAGCACUCUUCAGAAGCACCCUUCAGAAGCGUACUUCAGAAGCAGGCCAGAAGCUUCUUAAGAAGCAACCGUGCCCAGUUCCAGCACCCCUGUUUUGCGUUCUUGCAUCUUUUUCACCUAUUUAUAUUUCGAAUUGGCCUUUCGUGUAAACAUGAAAGUUUUAGAUAAUUUUGUUAGCUUUCUAAUGGCGUUGGUUUCAGGUCCAAAUGAUUUUUAAAACUUGAGUUAUGAUCAAAUUACUACACAUGGGUCAUGUGGAUUUUUGUGAAAACUUAUCGUAACUUUUUCUUUAAGCCGUGAAACUUUUCCAAACUUGAUAAUGGGUUAAUGAGGUACUUAAAGUGAAUAAUUGAGUAUGCAUUUAUGUAUUUUGAGAAUGUGAAUGUGUUGAUGGUUCAAGAAAUAUUUUGGGCGGGGUUGAAUCGGUGAAAACGGGUUUUGAGCUAAAAUGUCGUUUUGUCUUGGAUUUUUCUCAUAUGAACUUAAGCUAUCCUUUGAACUAAUUUCUAAUAGUUUGUAAGUGGCUUAAGUCCUUGACUACAUGAUUGAUUAAGGUUGAAUUGUAGGAUUUCAAACUUAAAUAAGUUACCUAGCUUUAAAAAUUAUCAAUGUUAGCCGUUUGCCACAUGAUUUGGAUUUUUGUCGGAAAUGUUUCUUUAGCAAAUUGUCUUGUGAGUUAUUGAGAUUAUUCUUGUAUGACUAAGUGAAGUUGUAUGAAUGAAUGAUUGUAUUGAAUAUGAUGUUUAUCAUGAGAUGUGUAUGCUAUCUUACUUAGAAUGUAAGGAAUGCUUGAAUAGUGAAACUAUAUGUGAUAGUUGAUGUUAAUGGUUAUAUGUUGAAUAUGAUAUUUAUCAUGAGAUGUUUUUUUUCCCUAUUACUUGGAAUAUGAGAAUGGUUGAAAUGGUGAAACUAUAUGAUAUAGUUGAUGUUGCAUGACAUGGUUGAUUAUUGAUAAUCAUGUGGAUGUGUGAUGGUGAAUACUAUGAUUUAUUUGUGUGGGCAUGUUUUCUUGAUAAUGCAAUGUUGUGGAGAUAAUCAAUAUAAUUGGGUGUUGUCCUAUAUAUUGAGGUUGAGAUUGUGAAUUGUUGUCGCAUUAUCGAGUCCUUAUACAUGUCCAUGCAUCAUAGUCGAUGUUGCUGUAAAAGGGUUGAGCUCUUUUACUUCGAGAUUAUUGUAAGGCAGAGGUGAGCCUUACAUGCGAUGUUGACUUGUCCAUCGAAGGUGACGACCUUGUUGAGAUUUGGUACCACAUGCAUUUAUGUGUCAAUAAGUGCAUAUCAUAACAUGAGUCUUAUGUGAAAUAUGUGAUUGGUGAUGAAAUGAGAUGAAUGAUUAUUGAUGAUGUUAUGAUUGAUGAUUGUGAAUGAAUAUUUGUGAAUUGAUAUUUGUUUCUGAUACAUGUGAUUGGUAAUUGUUCAUAUGAAAUAUGAUUAAUGAUUGUUCAUGGCUUAUGAUUGGUGAUUGUUCAUGAUGUAAAUGAUUGGUGAUUGUGUAUGAAUAACUGUGAAUUGAUAUUUGUUCAUGACACACGUGAUUGGUGAUUAUUGAUGUGAGAUAUUGGGGUUUGAUGUAAGUAUUGAUGUGGGAAUAUUAUUAUUGAUCAAGUGCAUAAUGUUUAAAUUGAAAUAUCCAUGUUAACUGCUAUUUGGUUUAUGAUAAUGUAAUACUUACCCCCAGUGGAUCUGUUAUGGACCGCCUGCCUAUCUGUAUGGAUGGGUAGACGUUGUGCAGGUUUAGUUGCUUGGUGAGUUCUUGUGCUUGGUGGAUAUCGGGAGCUUUCUCCGAUGUCGGUGUUUAGAUGUUUAGUCGGCUCUGAUCUAGGCUUAGUUGUGUCGGUCUAGAUUAUCCUUUACUUUGGUUUUUGUUAUGUUUGGAGAUGACCCGUUUGUUGGGAUUUUGAGAUGCACCUAUGUUGAUGUAAUUUAUUUAUUCAUAACAUGUAUAUUUGAAUUUACUCUGGUUUAUAUUCCGCUGCGACUGUUGAGGUUUAUAUACAUGUUUAUUGAUUUUUGAGUUUUGAAUGUGGCGUAGCCUCUAUUUCUUGAAUAAAUGUAUUAUUCGCAUGUUUAAUUGCUUAAAUAGAAGUAGGGUGUUACAUAUAUCGCUCUUAGACCUGAAACCACUAUGAUCCCUAGAUGUGGACUCAAGUACUUUGUUUCCAUUCUAACGUUGUCUGUAAAAGGAUAACCAUAACGUUGGUUGAUGGGUACUUGAUGAAUCAUGCUGAGGGACAUGAGUGUCCUAGAUGGGAUUUGUCCCUCCUCAUAAACAGGAGAUAUAUCUUUAGGCCUCUUGAUGAAAUAUGACUGUAAAAUUGCAUGGCCAUGCCGAACUAAGUCAAUAUGAGAUAUUGGACUUAUUCGUUAUUCAGUAUAUUUCGGAAUCAAGAAAUAUAAACAUUGAUCUAUACAAGGGUGACAAUAUCUAUGCAUUGGGAUCAAUAAAGAUAUCGAGACAAAGGAGUAAUUGUACACAAAAUUAUUAUCAUGGAAAAUGUUUCGUCAGAUCACUUGACAUUUUUGUCACUUGGGUAGCAAUGAUGUGUUGCUAGAUACCGCUCAUUAUUUAUAGUAAUAAAUAUUAGAUUUAAUAUUAUUACCAACGUGACUAGAACCUACAGGGUCACACACAAAGAACAGUCAAAAGAGAAAUAUAUAAGCAUGACUUAUAUAAGGGUGCGUUUAGUAAAUAACGCUAAUUAGUUAGCAGAAUUACUAAACAUGUUAUUGGGCUUACUGAAGCCCCAUAGUGGCUUCUGACUUGCAGAGCACACAAGAAGUUCUAUAAAUAGAACCCUAUUGCUGAAGUUUGAGGUUGCACGUUUUUGAGAAACCUUAGCUCUCUGAAACUUCUGAUUCCUUGGCUAGCACCGAGUUUUGGAGGAGCACUGUUCGUUUGGGUUUGCUAGAGGCUUUGUUACUUGCUUUGUUGUGAUCGUGAUUCCAGUUUCCAGUUUUCAGCUUUCAGAUUCCACACUUCGAGGUAACAAUCAGAUCACUGAUUCAUGUGUAAUUCGUAAUGAUCCAAGGAAAGAAAAUCGAAAAUUUUUAUCCGCUGCUUAUUCUGUUUUGAAUUCGAUUUUCCUUCAGUGGUAAGGUUUUGACACAAUUGUUAUUUUUACCUUCUGGUACUGUAGUUGAAAAAUUGAUGCAUGUGGGUUAUUUUAGUUUUUGUGAGUAAUCCUAAAGCUGUAACAGUUUUCAUAUUUGGUUAAUUUUUUUCUAUAUCAUUGAUCAUUGAAAAAUUGGUGAAAUUUUUUUUUGGUCACAUCAUUGAGGUCAAGAAAGUUGAUGAUGCAAAAUUUUGUGCAUUUAAGUUCACGUUGAUUUCAUGAUACAAAAAUUGAUUACAUAGAAAUAUGUUAGAUUCUUUCGAUAUGAGAAUGGACAAAGGGAAUAAAAUUAAAUGAUGUAAUAUUGUAUUUCCAUAUAGGGCUUUCAAUGUCAAAGGAUUAUGACUACAUUAAGAUCUCAAAAAUGAUUUGGACAUUUGAAAAAUAGGAUUUUGAGUGGUGGAUUCUUGGAUUGUGACUGGUAGUAAUGAGAAUCAAAGGACUUCAAAUCUUAUUUUCCAAAUGUCAAAAUCAUAUUUGUUUUAUUUGUUUUUGUAUUUCUAUUUUUAUGUGUGGAUUCUUGGAUUGGACAUUAAGGUUGUUUUUGCUUCUGGUACAAAGGUGUAGAAGUAUGACAAGUUAACUGACAUUGUUACUCAUGAAUAUCACUUUAAGUUAUUUAAGGAAAUUCAAGAUGGAAAGUUCAAAACUGGCGUUUUAUAUUGUAUAGUUAUGUGCUUUAAUUUAUUUACGUGUUUUCUCCGAUUAUAAUGUUCUUAUAGAUGUAAUUUUUUUCAAGAAAUCAUUGUGGUUCUUCAUUAGAUUGUCAUUUAUGAACGACAACAAUUUCUUAAGAAAAUGCAGCUAUUUCCCUUAAUUUGUUCAUUUCUCCUUUAUAACAAAGAUUUUUCUAUUUUAAUCCCUAAAAAAAACAAAGCUUUUUUAUUUUUAUUUUUAUUUUUAAAAUGCAGUAAAAGUGGUUUAUUUAGAAUAUUCGAGUUUGUGCAAUAUUCAUUAAUUUGCACUUUUUUUUUGAACAAAUUUUUUACAAGAUACGUUAUUCAACCCGUGCGAAGCACGGGUUUGUAACUAGUUUUAGUAAAAAACUAGUGGUUGUAAUUUGCUAACUUGCACGCGAGUGUAAGUUAUCAGCCCCAUAAAUAAAUAAAUAUAUAUAUACCCGUUUGCAAAUAUGGGUACGCCAAGGGCACAUUUUUGGAGGUUCCCCUCCUUUAUAUAAACACUUGUUAGAAGAUAUGUCUAUAUAAUGUGGAACAUUUUUCAAUUUAUACCAACACUAGUUCUUUCUUAAAGGACAACACUAAUUUUUUUCCUAAGGGACAUGUGUUUAUUCUUGCCAACUUCCACUCAAACUCACUGGUUGCAACAAAAAUCAAUUUGUUUAUUGGUCUUAUCUCAUUCUAUUGAGAAAAAGUUAUUUCCUAAAAAAAAUUAACGAUAUAUCCCUAAAAAUAAAAUAAAAAAUUAACGAUAUAUGUUUUAGACUAGCAUGCUAAUGCAUGUCAUCAUAACUUUAAUACAUGCACAACAUACUUAAUUUUUAAAAAAACUAGUUACAAAUCCGUGCUUCGCACGAGUUGAAUAACAUAUUUUUUAAAAAAUUUAAUUUCGAAGAAGAAAUCUUAUAAAUUACGGAAAAUUAUUGUCAUUUAUAAAUGUGAAAAUUAAAGUUGCGUAAAUCAAAAUUUUGCAACACAGAGCCUAAAACACAACAUAAAAAAUAACAUAUCAAUUAUUGUAAUCUCUUAUUCCUUAAAGUUAACUCAAUCGCAAAAUUUUGCCCUAUAUUUAACCUAACUUCUUUGCUUAGUUUUGGUUAGUUUUAAUGAAAUGUUAACGUUAAUUGUUAGGGAAAUCAAAAUAAAUAAAUCGCUCAUAAUUUUUCUCCUUAAUUUUACUAAACAAAUUAUAUUAACCCUAGAUUUAAUUUAUGCAAAAUGUCAUCUCUUAUUUAUAAACGUUAACCCGCGUGAAAUAUUAACCCUAGAUUUAACUAAUUUUUUCGUGUGACUUUACUAUAUUAACCCUAGAUUUAAUUGAUGCAAAAUGUCAUCUCUUAUUUCUUAAUGUUAACUCGUGACGCAAUAUUAACCCUAGAUGACCUAUUUUUGCGUGACUUUACUAUAUUAACCCUAGGUUUAAUUUAUGCAAAAUGUCAUAUCUAAUUUUAACCUAAUUUUUCCAUCCACAUUUUUGCAUUUAUUGUUUAUCUAAAGUAAAAUAAAAUUAUGUUCCCAAUUAUAUGUUGGUUUUUUGGAAAGUAAUAACUGUUAACUUGUCUCGCUAUACUUAACCUAAUCUCUUACUUAUAAAUGUUAACCCGUCUUGCUAGACUUAACCUAUUUUAUUUCUUAAAGUUAACCCGAACGCAAAAUUUUGCCCUAGAUUUAACCUAACUUCUUUGCUUAAUUUUACUGUAUUGACCCUAUUUAAUUAACUCUGUUUAAUUUAAUCAAAAUGUUAACGUUAAUUGUUAGGGAAAUCAAAAUAAACAAAUCACUCCUAAUUUUUCUCUUUAAUUUUACUAAACAAAUUAUAUUAACCCUAGAUUUAAUUUAUGUAAAAUGACAUCUCUUAUUUGUAAAUGUUAACCCGUGACGCAAUAUUAACCCUAGAUUUAACCUAUUUUUUCGUGUGACUUUACUAUAUUAACCCUAGAUUUAAUUUAUGCAAAAUGUCAGCUCUAAUUUUAACCUAAUUUUUCCCUCCACACUUUUACAUUUAAUGUUUAUCUAAGGUAAAAUAAUAACCUUAGAUAAUCACGGCAUAAAAAAAAAAAAAAAUCUUCAAAAGAAAAGAUGUUAAAACGACAGAACAUUGUGAUUCAUCAUAAAAUAUGUAUGGGCUGAUUUAGAGAUCAUAUAAUCAGUUUAUGAGAUUAGGAAUUGACAUAAUAUUUAGGAUGAAAACAAUUAGAACCAAAAAGGAACCAAUGAUGUGUUAAUUAUGAUUACAUGUUAUCCAAAAUUAUAAAAAAGAGUGUUGUUGUUGUAGAGUUACCAAAAAAGGAUUGAUACCCAUAUUUAUAUCAGAUGAAAUCAAGCAAAGAAGUAGCAUCGGUGAGUGAAGAUAAUCUUGUCUAGGAUUAAAGUUAAGGUGAUUUGUUGAAAGUGCGGAUCAUGAACACCAAAUCUUUAUUUGGGAACGACUUGAACGUGCAUAUUUUUAGGUGGCUUCUCUAGAUCAAAAAUUAGCUUAUCACCUACCUCUAACAUAUGUUCUCGGCAAAAGUUGAACCAUUGACCGCCUAAAUAUUUUUCGUAACUUGCUCUUUUUGCCGUUAUCAAGCGACAUUUAUACCUUUUUUGAGUUUGUUUGUCGAUGAGUGUGAUUUUUUCCCUGUUCCUAUUAGAAAUGUCAUUGAUAUCUCAUUUGGGAAGUGUUAGGUACAAAACAAAUUGCAGUGUUAAUUAGAUGUUCUAUAUAUAAGUACAUUUCUAAAACAUACCAAAACAUUAUAAAGAUUUGCUGUAGGAAAAGAACAUGUUCAAUUUUGUUCAAGAGAUUAGGAAAAACAACGUUAUAAUUAACUUGAUACUAAUUGGAAUCAAUGAAGGAACCAACAAUGUGCAUAUUAACGUUACAUAAUAGUUAGGUUAAUAAAAAAGGCUGCAAGUGUCAUUGACUAACCAAAAAGGGAUUUUUGCCAAUAUUUACAUCAGACAAAAUGAAAAGAACAAAUGACAUCCCAAACUCAAGAUAGUUUAUGAUUACAGUCCAAAGCGAUGCGUCAAAAUAGUAGAAGUUCAAAUAGUUCAGCAACAAAGAUCUACUUUGGAACAACUCGAACAUGCAAGUUCUUCGGUGACUUCUCGAGAUCAAAGAUGAACUUACCACCUUCUUCCAUCACACGUUCUUUGCAGAAAUUGAACCACUGCCCACCCAAGUAUUUUUCAUAGCUUUCUCAUUCGACGAUAAUGAGGCGACACUUAUAUUUUCUAUGUGUCUGGUCAUCAAUGAGAGUGAUUGUUUUGCGCUUUCCUUUUAUAAUUGUUCUUGACACCUCGUUUGGGAAAUGCGAAACAGAGAAAUAACAACAAUAUUAGUCUAAUGCAUAUUAACAUGGAUAAGACGUAUGCAGAUAUAGUUACAUAUAAUUUAUAAAAUAAAGGUAGCAUAACUGAUUUUAAGCUAAAGAAAAUGUAUCAUGACUUCUAAUUUAUCUUCCUAUUAUCUUCCUAAAAAGGCUAGAUAAAUGCAUUCAUGUGCAUUAUAUGAACCCCGUUGACCAAUUAACAUUGUUGAAACAAAUGGAAAUUAAGCAUCGCUUCCACAUUUGCAUCUAUAGCUAGCACCAUUUGACAUUGAUGUCUUCGAACAUUUGGUGCAACUCUCAUAAUAUCAUCCCAACUGGUUAGGAUUCAAUUUAGUUGCUUUCCAAAUAGUGAUGCAAUAUAUAUCCUAACACAAAUUAUGCACAUGAAAUAAAGAAUAAUGCAAUAUGUAUUUUUAAUUUGUGCCUAAAAAAAUUCAAAGCAUGUUUGUGCAUAAAAAAAGCAGACCUUGACUAAGUUUAUAAAUUCAACAACUGGCCUAACAUUAGACAGAUUGAAAAAAUCAUUGUACGAAAUACAUUGAGAAGAAGCCGAAUGAAACACCCUAUUUCUAUUAAAACAAUAAAACAUGCGAAUAAUAAAUUUAUUCAAGAAAAAAUGCUACGUCAUCAUACAAAAUUCAAUAUUCAACAUGCAUGCAUAAAAAUCUCAACAGUCGCAGCGGAUAUAAACCAGAAUACAUCGAAGCAUACAUGUCAUGAAUCAAAUAAUACAUCAACAUAAAUGAAUCUCCAAAUCCCAACCAUGGAUAAAUCUCCAACAUGAAUAAAUAAUCCAAACAAAAGAUAAUCUAGACAAACACAACAAACGCCUAGAUCAGAGUCAUCCUAGACUCUACAAACACCGAUACCGGAGAUAGCUCCCAAUAUCCACCAAGCCACAAGAACUCACUAGAGCAACUAAUCCUACACAGCGUUUACCCAUCCAUACAGACAUGUAGGCGGUCAAAACCACUGGGGUAAGUAUUACAUCAUCAUAAUCCACACAACAGUUAACAUGAAUAAUUUAAUUCAAAUUUCAUAUACUUAAUCAAUGAUGUUAAUAAUACAUGAUAACAAUUCCAAGUAUCACAACCAAUCACCCACAAUCACAAGCAUGUCAUAAUACAAAUCUAAAUAUCACAACCAAUCACCCACAAUCACAAGUAUGCCAUAAUAAUCAUACAUGAUAACAAAUCUAAAUAUCACAAUCAAUCACUCACAACCACAAAUAUGUCAAUCAUUCCACAAUCGGGACUCAUGCAACAAUGAUAUGUCCCUAAUCAUGACACAUAAAUGCAUUUGGUACCGAAUCACCUCAAGGUCGUCACCUUCGAUGCAACAAAAACAUCGUAUGUAAGAUUUCACACCCGUCUUACAUAAUUUCCGUAGUAAAAAAGCUCAACCCUUUUACAAUUGCAAAACUCAACAUGACUAUGAUGCAUGGACAUACAGUAAGGACUCAAUAAUGCAAUCACCUCCAAUUUUCACAACAAUAUAAAGGACAUCUUCCAAAUAUAUUGAUCAUCUCCACAACAUUCGCAUUAUCAAGAAAUUACGUCCAUACAACAUUCCGGUCAUAAACAAUUAAGAGUCAACAUUCCAUACAUCAUAUAGUUUCACCGUUUCAAAUAUUUCUCAUAUUCCAAGUAAGAGGAAAUACAACAUCUCAAGAUAAGUAUCAUAUUCCACAUCUACAAUUCAUCACACACCUUCAUUUAGACACAUAAGGCUAGUCACGAAAGAUUAUAAGACAAUUGGCUAAAAGAAUCAUUUUUGGUGAAAUUUGUAUCAAGUAGCAAUCGGCUAACAUUUAUUAUACCCAAGAUAAAAUAACUUGUUCAAGUUUGAAGCUCACAAGAUAAUCCUAAUCAAUCAUGUAAUCAUAAGCUUAAGCCACUUACAAACUAUUAGACAUUGGUUCAAAGUAUAGCUUAAGUCCGUAUGAGAAAACCCAAAUUUACAUUUUUCACAUUUCCACCCGAAAUCCAAGUUUGACAUGAUUAAGACAAUCAACCAACAUUACAAGCUUUGUCUAAGUCUAUAGGAACUGUAGGCCCAACUUGUAACCUUAGUUAGUUCACAAAAGUUCGUUUCGACAAAAUCCGACAUUUUCCAAAAUUUCAAGUUCCGAACCAAAAUGAAGAAUCCCAAUUUCGAAUGAGCAAAACUUGUUCCAGUAGAAUUAGGACCCCAAACAGAUGUUUAAUAAGUUGAAAGAAUCAUUUUACAAAGCUCGGAUUGGCCUCCUAAGACCCGAACCAAAAAUCAAGAAGUGCUGGAAAAAGGCAGCUCGCUUAAGCGACCACUCGGUUCGCUUAAGCGAACGAGUUCCAGUGAGCGCAGUUUUGCUCGCUUACCUGGUCGCUUAUGGCUCGCUUAAGUGACCAGUCUUAUGAGUACUCGCUUGGCGUUCGCUUAAGCGAUCAUUCAUAAUUCUGCAGAAAAAUGUUACGGGUUUCACCCCUUUUUCACCCCAAACCCCCAAUUUUGAUCCCCUGAUGGCCAAAUGUGUUUCCAGAAAUUGUUUAUAGGUCAAUAUAACAAAAAGGGUUCCUAAAAACACAAUCAACAUGGAAACUAAGGACAUAUGAGUACAAUUCACCAAUCAACCCAUUUCAACAACAACAACUCAUUUCUCAUCACCAAUUCAUGAAUUAUGAAUACCCAAGCCAUGAAUCAUCAACAACAACAUCACUUAGCAAUAACAACAUCAAUUGAACAUGGUUCUCAUCAUAAUUCAACCACAAUAUAGCAUAAUUCAUCCAAUUGAGCAUAAUUCAUAAGUUAGCACUUAUACACACUUUGAACAUGCAAAUUCACAACAACAAUUCAAUUAUCAACAAUUUCAUGCAUACAAACAUAUCAUCCUAGUUAGAGCACGAAUUUUAACAUCUAUGAACAAUUAAUCAAUUAUCCAAUUAAUCACUUAUUCAUACAUUAAUUGAAAUAAUUACACUAAAAUGAUUAUGAUGAAUUCUAACCCCCUUACCUUAGUUAGAUGAAUUCCCUAGCUCAAGCUUCACUUUAGCUCCUAGCUCUCUUCCAAUCCUUGAAUCUUUAAGUUCCUCUCCUCUCUAACCCUUUUCUUCUUUGCUCCCACUUUCUCUCUCUAACUCCCUCAAAAUAUCUAAGUAAAUGAAAGUGUGACGAAAUUACCUAUAAGACAAUGUUUAUAUAGUAUGUCCCCUUAAUGGGCCUAACCCUAAAACUUAGUGGACUUAACCCACUCCAACUCAAUUCUAAAAUGUUUCCACACUCUAACGGUAAAACACUACAACUGUCUCUUAACGGUAAAAUUCUAAUAACUAAUCACUACGAUAGUACCUUAGCAAAAAUAACGGUUCUCACUAACCACUAAAAGUAAUUCUCACCAAAAGUUACUAAUCUACUCUUACACUCAAAAUGAUCAAAAUACCCCUAAUCCCAAAAUGACUAUAUUACCCUUCUAACAUGAAAACCCAUGAAAAUGCACCCAAUGAAUAAUGAUCAUACAUAAGCACAUAUAAACACAUAAUAAAACAAAUAAAAAUAAAUCUAGCGAAAAUCGGGUUGUUACACCGAACUCUGACUUAAGUUCUGACUCAUGCUUUGACUCUGAGCUUGAGAAGUGUUAAGGUCACGACAAUAUAUGCAUAAUUUGUUACAAUAUAAAGGUGCAAUAUAUAUAUAUAUAUAUAUAUAUAUAUAUAUAUAUAUGGCAUUUCAAAUGAGAGGACUUAAUAAUAACCAUUGGAUCUAAACUAAUCAUGUUACUUCAUCAAUUUUUUUUUUUUUCUAAGCAAGGAGUAAGGACAGACAUUGGGAGGAAACACCGACAUACCAACUAGGCUGGCAUCCGGGAAACCUCCGUCCUAUGCCGUCAAACUCUAAAAUUUUAUUAAAAAAAGGAAAAAUAUAUACAAGAAGAGGGGGGACUAGGCCAAAACCCUCAGAAGAAAAAGCAACAUAAAAUGCUGAAAUAAACUACUACAGACUGAGAAAAUCUGUAAUUAUGCAAACCAACUCUAUCACACUUCAUCAAUAGUUAUGCAGUCAAUUAAAACAAAAAAACACAACUCUUCGUCUUUCCUCUGCACACGCUUCUCAAUGCAACUUGUACAAAACCCUUUAGCUGGCGAUGGCGAUGGCAAUGCUUACUGCUUUUGUUAGAAGAUUUCUAUGGCCACCUAAAUCAUACAUACCCCAAUUGACUGUUUUUUUUUUUCUUUCUAUUUUCUAUUUUUGUGACUCGUUUCUUAUCAAUUGAUUAAAUUUUUUAAAAAGGGUUAAUUUAAGUUGGAUUUGAACAAUAGUAAAACUAAACUAUAAUUUCACUCUUAAUCAAAUCAGCUUGUGAUUAUUUGUUAGGUUUCUACGAAAUUACUCUAACUAAUUGGAAUUUCUCUCCCAAAGCUAUGAUAAUCUUUAUUUUCUUUAACAAAAUCUUAUUAUAUUUUCUUUCUAUUGAACCUAAAUUGAGGGAGAUGAAUGAAAGGAACAGAAGAACGUUGAAGAGAUCGUUUCUAUAGAGAAAAAAAUCAAGGAAGAACAAUACAUGGAAGAGGUAAAAAGAGCAGUCACUUAUGGCUUAUGCAAUAGAGAGAGAAUGAGAUAAGGGAAAUGGAGAAAGCCAAUUUACUCUUAACACUCCUCUCAUUUGAUAUGCCCUAUAUAUAUAUAUAUAUAUAUAUAUAUAUAUAUAUAUAUAUAUAUAUAAUUUUUUUAGGCAUCUAGACCUUUUUUGAAGAAAAGACAUCUACAAUUUUACUUUUAAUUAAAAUCAAAAUUUUAUAAAAAUAAUUAUACGCAUUAUACAACGCCAGAAAAUAUUAUACGCAGUAGUGUAACAAAAAACCAGACACACAUAAAGUAUUACUCUAAACACUAAUGUGUGUGUGUAUAUUUGUGAGGUUGAAGAAAAAAAUAAAAAUAUUUGGUAUCAUUAAAUGACAACAUGAGUAAAAAUAUUUGUGAGGUUGUGAUGAUUAAACGAUAUUGAAAUUAAAUAUAUAAAUGAUAAAAAGAUAAUAAAAUUCCUUUGAAAAAAGGUAAUAAAAUUAAAUGGGACCUCCUUACAAAAAAUUAAAUGCAAUGGUUCAAAAAAAAAUUAAAUGGAAGAAAAAAACGUAUUGAAAUAUAAUAUUAAAAAAUAAAAGAAAAGGUUCCCAAUGUGAAUUGAAGAGAGAUACUUGUGAAAUAAAUUGUCGGAAAGUAGUUUUUUGAAGUAGCAUUCAACAACUUUUGGCCAAAACUCAUACCAUUCAAUUUUAUACAUUAAAAAAAGUACAUUUUUUAGUAAGUACUUAUUUGAUAUUGUAUUUGACCUAACUUCUCCUUAAAAAUGUAGAGAAGAUGAAAAAAAUGGGUCAGACGAUAUCUUAUUCACCCACAACGGCACUGUAGAAGCAACUGAAUUUGGAAGAAAAAAUUGGAAAAUAGUUAAAAAUAAAAACUUGUAAAAUAGUUAAAAAAAAUUGUGAGGUAGCACUCAACCAAGCAACACUAAAAAAAUUAUAUGCAUUAACGUAACAAAAAAAUAGACAGACGAACAUAAAAUAUUACUCUAAAUGUUAAUGUGUGUGUAUAUUCGCGAGGUUGAAGAAAGGAAAUAAAAAUAUUUGAAAUCAUUAAACGACAGCGUGAAUAAAAAUAUUUGUGAGGUUGUAAUGAUUAAACGAUAUUGAAAUUAAAUAUAUAAGUGGUAAAAAGAUAAUAAAUUUUCUUUGAAAAAAAGAUAAAAUUAAAUGGAACCUCCUUAAAAAAUUAAAUGAAACGGUUGAAAAAAUAAAGUUAAAUGAAAGAAAAAAAACAUAUUGAAAUACAAUAUUAAAAAAUAAAGACAAGGUUCCCAGCGUGAGUUGAAAAGAUGUGUUUGUGAAAUAAAUUGUCAAGAAAUAGUUUUUUAAAGUAACAUUCAACAGCUUCUGGUUAAAGCUCAUUCCAUUCAAUUUAUGCGUUCAAAAAAGUUCUUUUUUUAGUAAGUACUUAAUUGAUAUUGUGUUUGACCUAACUUCUCCUUAAAAAUGUAGAGAAGUUUGAAAAAAGUCGGGUCAAACGAUACCUUAAUCUCCCACAACGGCAAUGUAGAAACAACUGAAUUUUGGAGAAAAAAUUGAAAAAUAGUUAAAAAUAUAAAAAUUGGAAACUAAUUAAAAGUUAUUAAAAAAUAUAAAAAUUAGAAAAUAAUUAAAUAAAAUUGGUUAGGGGCAAAAUGAAAAUUCAUAGACCAUUAUUAAAAUAAAAACUCAACCAAUUAGUAGACUACCAAAUUGCCCCUUGUAGGAGCAAAAUGGUAAAUUUAAAGGACAUGGAUUUUCUUAUUUGUAUAUAGAUAAAAGGUUUAAUACAUGCUUUGGUCCCUUAACUUAUUUUUGAAUUUCAUUUUGAUCCCUUAACUUUAAACCGUCUCAAUUUGGUCCCAUAACUUUACCAUUUUGCUCCAUACCCAAUGGUCAUAGGGAUGGCAAUGGGUACCCAAUGGAUAGGGUACUACAAUGUCCGUCUCCAUACCCGCAUUUAUAAAAAAUAUCUGUACCCGUGCCCGUACCCUUGUGGGCAACAACUUUAGUCCCCUUCCCCAUACCCUAUGGGUACUUAAGUAACCAUACCCGCACUCAUUACCCGCACUUUAACUAUGGAAAAACAAAAAAAACAUCACAAAUGAAAUAAAACUACGAUCCUAAUUUUUUAAAAUUAACUCAUAAAAUAAUAUGAACUAUGGUAUUUAGUCAAAUAGAAAACAUCCGAAAUAUUCCUAAAAAAUUAUACACCGGCAUGAUGGAGUUGUUAUUGUAUUAAGUAGUUGUUUGGUUUAAGUUUAGGUUUAGGCUUAAAUAACUAAAUAAAUUAAUUAAUUAUACAUAAAAAAUAAAUAAAUAAUUUAUGAUAUUAUAUAAAUAUGCAUAUGCGGGUCUGGGGGUCUGGGCAGUAUAGUACCCUUACCCGUGCCCAUACCCAUUUAAUUUUUUGGGUAUUACCCGUACCCGUGCCCAGACCCAUAAAAGCGGGGUUUUACCCUACCCAUUAUGGGUAUUUUUUGCGGGUAUCCAUUGGGUCUGGGUCCAAUUGCCAUCCCUACGUGGGAUGAGGCACUACGGCGACACGAUAAGGGAGAGAUGAGGCGGAGACUUCACCUUUCCAAAUCUCCCUCUCCGUUUUUCUUCAUUCAUAAAAGGCUAAAUUGCAUUUUUGAUCCCUUAACUAUUUAGGUAGUAUUGCUUUGGUCCCUUAAUUAAAAUUCGAUUUAUUUUGGUCCCUUAACUUCUCCCCGUUACACAUUUUGGUCCUUUCUAUUAGUUUUAAUUCAAAAACGUUAGGUUUUCUUCAUUUUCUUAUGGAAUUUUUUUGAGAUUCUUGUUCUUGAAGGUUGAUGGAGAUGAUAUGAAGAUGAAAAAGAGGAGACGAAGAUUAAGAAAACCUAACGUUUUUGAAUUAAAACUAACAGAAAGGAUCAAAAUGUGCAACAGAGAGAAGUUAAAGGACACUAAAUGAAAUAUUUUAUCAAAAAAGAAUAGAUUAAAUGAAUAUAUAUAUAUAUAUAUAUAUAUAUAUAUAUAUAUAUAUAUAUAUAUAUAUAUAUAUAUUUGUUCUUUCUAAAGCACAUGCCCUUAGUUUUACGAGAGAAGGCUACCUCCAACCAGCUAUAAGACCAUGUAAGCUCAUAUGUUGCAAGGCCACCAUCUUCAUUCUGUAGUGAUUGGAAAAAUAAAUACAUUUAACACAUAAACUUAGUUUUAUACGAAUCAAAUUGAUAAUUAUCUCAAGUUGCAGUUAAAACUAAUAUAUUUUUUUAAUAAAUUAUAGCAUUAUACUUCAAAUAUUUUAUAGGGAAAUUUCUUCUCACUGCUUUUAUAGUGAAAGAAAUGGGAUUGAAGAAGAUGAAGGCGGAUACAAAGAGAAUGUUGAAAAUUGGCUUCAAAUUUGUGGUUUGGAAGAACAGAGGAAUCGUGUCGCGAUUUGGCAAUCGUGACACGAUCGGAGAUGCCGUGAGCCAAGUUUGCUGGAAGCAAAAUCGUGGCACGAUCUUGGGAAAUCGUGACACGAUUCAGAAACUUGCUGGUUAAGUAUCUCUGAUAAGGACUGGUCAACCUGGGGACCGUUGCAGAUCGUGACACGAUCUAGGGAAAUCGUGGCACGAUUUCUUCAGGGCAGGACUAGUAUUUAAAGUGUUCUUGUGCUUUUUUGAAGACAACCUUAAGACAACCUUGAGAGAACUUAAGAGAGAAAACUUGGAGAUCAAAGAGGGGAUCCUUUGGGGUGUGUUCCUUUGAUGAGAGUGUUUCUUAGGUUGGGAAAACAACAUUGUAAUCACCUUGGGAUUUAGGGUUCAUAGUGUGAGGAUGGGAAAAUACCAAAGGGUAGAUCUAGGGUUUUGUCAUGUGUAAAGCUUGAUAAGCUAGAUUCUUGUAACUCUUUUGUAACACAUUCACAUAUUGGAUUGGAGAGCUGCUCUCUCCCCCAGAUUAGGCCACAUUGGCUGAACUGGGUCAACAAUCUUGCUUGGUGUUUGUUCUUUUCUUUUCAUGGUUUAUCUUGUUAUGCUUGUUAGCUCUUAGUGUGGUUUUUGCUAUACAUUAGGCUUAGGCUGUUUUGUUGUUGUUAGCUUGGAGGCCAUUUGCACUCAUAGAUUAUCUCUAUCACUUGCUCCACACAUCAUUGGUUUAUUCUAAUUGGUGUGAAGGUUCAUUAGUUGAGCCGGAUUCACAACAAUUGGCGCCCACCGUGGGGCAUAGGCGUGAUUGAUAGUUGGUAUCAUGGGGUCAAAGUGGGACAUCGAGAAGUUCACCGGAAGUAAUGAUUUCGGGUUAUGGAAGGUUAAGAUGCAAGCGGUAUUGACACAACAAAAGUGUGUAGAAGCAUUGAAGGGUGAAGCGGCGAUGCCGGCAACCUUGACACAAGAGGAGAAGCGUGAGAUGGUAGACAAGGCAAAGAGUGCCAUUGUCUUAUGUCUCGGAGAUAAGGUCUUAAGGGAUGUCGCGAGAGAAGCUACCGCAGCAUCGAUGUGGGCAAAGUUGGAGUCAUUGUAUAUGAUGAAAUCUUUGGCUCAUAGGCAACUCUUGAAGCAACAACUCUAUUCAUUCAAGAUGGUGGAGUCUAAAUCGAUCUCGGAGCAACUAACGGAGUUUAACAAGAUUCUUGAUAAUUUGGCCAACAUUAAAUUUAACAUGGAAAAUAAGGAUAAGGCUUUGUUGUUACUUUGUUCAUUACCAAAGUCCUUUGAGCAUUUCAAGGAUACCAUUCUUUAUGGUAAGGAGGGCACUACUACUUUGGAGGAGGUCCAAGCGGCUUUGAGAACCAAAGAAUUGACCAAGUUCAAGGACAUGAGGGUUGAUGAAGGUAGUGAAGGCUUGAAUGUUACAAGAGGGAGGAAUGAGCAUAGAGGAAAAGGCAAAGGGAAAUCAAGAUCCAAGUCUAGGUCCAAGGGCUUUGACAAAUCAAAGUAUAAAUGCUUUCUUUGUCACAAGCAAUAGGGAUGGCAAUGGGUACCCAAUGGAUAGGGUACUACAAUGUCCGUCUCCAUACCCGCAUUUAUAAAAAAUACCCGUACCCGUGCCCGUACCCUUGUGGGCAACAACUUUAGUCCCCUUCCCCAUACCCUAUGGGUACUUAAUUACUCAUACCCGCACUCAUUACCCGCACUUUAACUAUGGAAAAACAAAAAAAACAUCACAAAUGAAAUAAAACUACGAUCCCAAUUUUUUAAAAUUAACUCAUAAAAUAAUAUGAACUAUGGUAUUUAGUCAAAUAGAAAACAUCCGAAAUAUUCCUAAAAAAUUAUACACCGGCAUGAUGGAGUUGUUAUUGUAUUAAGUAGUUGUUUGGUUUAAGUUUAGGUUUAGGCUUAAAUAACUAAAUAAAUUAAUUAAUUAUACAUAAAAAAUAAAUAAAUAAUUUAUGAUAUUAUAUAAAUAUGCAUAUGCGGGUCUGCGGGUCUGGGCAGUAUAGUACCCUUACCCGUGCCCAUACCCAUUUAAUUUUUUGGGUAUUACCCGUACCCGUGCCCAGACCCAUAAAAGCGGGGUUUUACCCUACCCAUUAUGGGUAUUUUUUGCGGGUAUCCAUUGGGUCUGGGUCCAAUUGCCAUCCCUAACAAGCAAGGUCAUUUCAAGAAAGAUUGUCCGGAUAAGGGGGGCGAAAGUGGUCCCUCGGUUCAAGUUGCGGAGGCUUCAAAUGAAGAAGGUUAUGAGAGUGCGGGUGCGCUAGUGGUAACAAGUUGGGAACCGGAGAAGAGUUGGGUUUUGGACUCGGGAUGCUCUUAUCACAUGUGUCCUAGAAAGGAAUAUUUUGAGACUUUGAUUCUAAAAGAAGGAGGAGUUGUUCGACUCAGAAAUAACAAAGCUUGCAAAGUCCAAGGCACGGGCAACGUUCGUCUAAAGAUGUUUGAUGGCCGUGAAUUCCUUUUAAGGGAUGUGAGGUUUGUUCCCGAACUUAAGCGAAAUUUAAUUUCCAUAAGCAUGUUUGAUAAUCUAGGUUAUUGCACUAGAAUAGAGCAUGGGGUUUGUAAAAUUUCGCAUGGUGCAUUGAUUACGGUAAAGGGGUCUAGAAUGAAUGGUUUAUACAUUUUAGAUGGUUCCAUAGUAAUUGGUAAUGCAUCGGUAGCCAGUGUUGCAUAUCAUAAUAAUUCUGAAUUGUGGCAUUUGAGGUUGGGGCAUGUUAGUGAGAGGGGUUUAGUUGAACUAGCUAAACAAGGUUUGCUAGGGAAAGAUAAAUUGGACAAGCUUGAAUUUUGUGAACAUUGCAUACUAGGCAAACAACAUAGGGUGAAGUUUGGAAGUGGCAUGCAUCAUUCUAGUAGACCUUUUGAGUAUGUGCAUUCAGAUCUUUGGGGUCCUUCUAAGAGUCCUACUCAUGGGGGAGGUUCCUAUUUUCUUUCUAUCAUUGAUGAUUAUUCUAGGAGAGUGUGGGUCUUUGUUUUGAAAAACAAAAGUGACACCUUUGAAAAGUUCAAAGAAUGGCACACUCUCAUAGAAAAUCAAAUGGGAACUAAACUAAAAGGUUUAAGAACUGACAAUGGCCUGGAGUUUGUUUCAGAGCAGUUUAAUGAGUUUUGCAGGUUGAAAGGAAUCAAGAGGCAUAGAACCGUACCAAGAACACCUCAACAAAAUGGUCUUGCGGAACGCAUGAAUAGGACUCUUUUGGAGCGUGUGAGGUGUAUGAUUCUAGGAGCUGGGUUACCUAAGAGUUUCUGAGGUGAAGCCGUGACAACGGCUGCUUAUUUGAUCAAUAGAUGUCCAUCAACGGGAAUAGACUUCAAGAUACCUAUGGAGGUAUGGAGUGGGAAACCGGCGGAUUACUCCUCUUUGAAGGUUUUCGGAGCUUUGGCAUAUGCGCAUAUCAAGCAAGACAAGCUUGAGCCUAGAGCUUUGAAAUGUGUCUUCAUUGGUUAUCAGGAAGGUGUGAAGGGAUACAAGUUGUGGAAAUUGGAAUCUAGUGGAAGAUCAAGAGUCUUGAUAAGUAGGGAUGUUACCUUUGAUGAGACCCGGAUGGGGAUGAAGUGUAAAGACCUAGAGACUCAAGUACCGGAAACUAUGGUGGAGAGAACUCAGUUUGAGGUGGAGCUUCCAAAUGAAGAAGAAGAAGAUGUAGAAGAUGAAGCUUCAACAUCGGAUACAAGUGGAACUCAACCGGUAGUGGAUCCUGAGUAUCUAUUGGCAAGAGAUAGAGAAAGAAGGACCAUUACGGCUCCUAAGAGAUUCGGUUAUGCGGACUUGGUGUGUUUUGCUCUAAAUGCGGCGGAAGAUGUGCAAGACUCGGAGCCUAGAGACUUCAAGGAGGCAUUUGAGAGCAAAGAGAGCAAAUAUUGGUUGAAGGCGGUGAAUGAAGAAAUGGAUUCAUUGGAAAGGAACCAAACUUGGAAACUUGUGAAGUUACCUAAUCACAAAAGGGUAGUUGGAUGCAAGUGGAUCUUCAAGAAAAAGGAUGGCAUUCCGGGUGUUGAAGGUCCAAGGUACAAAGCAAGACUUGUGGAAAAGGGUUUCACUCAAGUGGAGGGGAUCGACUACAACGAGAUCUUUUCACCGGUGGUGAAGCAUUGUUCCAUAAGGAUACUUAUGGCUAUUGUGAAUCAAUUCAAUCUUGAGUUGGAACAGAUGGAUGUGAAGACCGCUUUCUUACAUGGUGACCUUGAAGAGACAAUCUACAUGGAACAACCGGAAGGUUUUGUGGAGGACAAGUCUAAGGUGUGUCUUUUGAAGAAAUCUUUGUACGGGUUGAAGCAAAGCCCUAGGCAAUGGUAUCGUCAGUUUGAUGAGUUUCUUUUGAAGACCGGUUUUGUGAGAAGCGGAUAUGAUUCUUGUGUGUACAUGUUGAAGAAGAAUGAGAAAGUCAUUCUCUAUCUUCUUUUAUAUGUGGAUGAUAUCUUGAUGGCGAGCUCUAGCAAGGAUGAGAUUAUGAAGCUCAAGGAGAGGUUAAAUGGUGAAUUUGAGAUGAAAGAUCUUGGUCCGGCAAAGAGAGUUCUUGGGAUUGAUAUCGUGAGGAAUCGUGACAAAGGGGAACUUUUCUUAUCUCAACUUGGUUAUUUGAAGAAGGUGGUGGAGCGUUUUAGAAUGUCAAACUUUAAAACCGUAAGCACUCCCUUGGGUCACCACACAAAGUUGUCCAUACAACAAUGUCCUUAAUCCGAGGAUGAGAAGCAAUUGAUGGAAGGUACUCCCUAUGCAAGUGGGGUUGGAAGCAUCAUGUAUGGAAUGGUUUGUAGUAGGCCGGACUUGGCUUAUGCGGUUAGCAUUGUGAGUCGGUUUAUGGCAAAUCCGGGAAUUGUGCAUUGGCAAGCUUUGAAGUGGGUGUUGAGGUAUUUGAAUGGGUCGUUGAAGGGCGGUUUGAAGUACACAAGGGCAGCUCAAGAUGAAGACGCUUUGGAGGGGUAUGUUGAUGCGGAUUAUGCGGGCAACGUGGACACUAGAAAAUCCUUGUCGGGUUUUGUGUUUACUCUUUAUGGCACAGCGAUUAGUUGGAAGGCAAAUCAACAAUCCGUGGUGGCAUUAUCUACAACUCAAGCGGAGUACAUCGCACUUGUUGAAGGUGUGAAGGAGGCCAUAUGGUUGAAAGGGAUGAUUGGUGAGUUAGGAAUUACUCAAGAAUGUGUGAAGAUACAUUGUGAUAGUCAAAGUGCCAUUCACUUGGCAAAUCAUCAAGUGUAUCAUGAAAGGACAAAGCACAUUGACAUUCGCCUGCACUUUGUCAGAGACAUGAUUGAAGCAAAAGAGAUUGUGGUUGAGAAAGUGGCAUCAGAGGAGAAUCCGGCGGAUGUGUUCACCAAGUCAUUGCCUCGAUCAAGAUUCAAGCAUUGCUUGGACUUGAUCAAGUUUGUCGAAGAGUAAUUCCCUUUGGAGAGAGCAGCAUGGUGGUUGAUGGUUAUAUUGACAUCACCACCAAAUUAGAAGUCAAGGUGGAGAAAUGUUGAAAAUUGGCUUCAAAUUUGUGGUUUGGAAGAACAGAGGAAUCGUUUCGCGAUUUGGCAAUCGUGACACGAUCGGAGAUGCCGUGAGCCAAGUUUGCUGGAAGCAAAAUCGUGGCACGAUCUUGGGAAAUCGUGACACGAUUCAGAAACUUGCUGGUUAAGUAUCUCUGAUAAGGACUGGUCAACCUGGGGACCGUUGCAGAUCGUGACACGAUCUAGGGAAAUCGUGGCACGAUUUCUUCAGGGCAGGACUAGUAUUUAAAGUGUUCAUGUGCUUUUUUGAAGACAACCUUAAGACAACCUUGAGAGAACUUAAGAGAGAAAACUUGGAGAUCAAAGAGGGGAUCCUUUGGGGUGUGUUCCUUUGAUGAGAGUGUUUCUUAGGUUGGGAAAACAACAUUGUAAUCACCUUGGGAUUUAGGGUUCAUAGUGUGAGGAUGGGAAAAUACCAAAGGGUAGAUCUAGGGUUUUGUCAUGUGUAAAGCUUGAUAAGCUAGAUUCUUGUAACUCUUUUGUAACACAUUCACAUAUUGGAUUGGAGAGCUGCUCUCUCCCCCAGAUUAGGUCACAUUGGCUGAACUGGGUCAACAAUCUUGCUUGGUGUUUGUUCUUUUCUUUUCAUGGUUUAUCUUGUUAUGCUUGUUAGCUCUUAGUGUGGUUUUUACUAUACAUUAGGCUUAGGCUGUUUUGUUGUUGUUAGUUUGGAGGCCAUUUGCACUCAUAGAUUAUCUCUAUCACUUGCUCCACACAUCAUUGGUUUAUUCUCAUUGGUGUGAAGGUUCAUUAGUUGAGCCGGAUUCACAACAGAGAAUGAUGAGGUUCCACCAAAAAGAAAGAUUUGGAGUAAAGAUGAUUCAAAUGACGAUGGUCGGGAGAAGAUGAUGGGAGACCCUUAAAUAAUAGAGUUAAAAUAUUCAGAAGAACCGUGAUUUAUGUAUGUUAGUAGGAACGUAACAAAUAGCAUAAAAUAAUAACCAUGAUUUAUUUGCUAGGACUUGUAUUCAGAUAAUCUGAUUUGAAUUAUGACUACCUCUAAUGAGAUAAUGACAUUUAAUUACAGCAUCAUAUAUAUAUAUAUAUAUAUAUAUUCUCCUUGCAUCCAAUGGUUCACCAACAAUCUCAGGUGCAAUAUUUGAUUACAACGUUUUCAUAGGAGCAGACUAGCAGUUAUGCAGUUUCACUAACAUUUGCACAUAAAUUUGCGAGCCUGAUUCAAGUCUACAUCAUGGUAUAUGGUACAGUAAAAAGCUCUUUUCUCAAAGAUAAUAUUAUUACCAACAACGACAUUAGAAAUAAAUAAACCACAAUUAAUGCCAUGUCUAUUAAUAAAUAAAUAAAAUCAUAUAAAAUAAGGGUAGGAUCUUUAUGAGCUAAUUCACAUUGGUUAUUUAGAAUAUACUCCUCAAGAUAACCUAAACUCACAAUAUAAAAUUAUUGGCAUCCCUAACUUGUGUUGUGUGAAUAAAAGGCCAGACUCCCCCUUCAUACAUUACAUGCAGAAACUAAACACUAAACACUAAACUCAGUUGUAUUAUUUUAAAUUUAUCUAGCUAAGAAAAUUUCUAGAUAAAGAUGUGGAAGCUGAAAUUUUCAAAAAACAAGGAUGGUACUGAAGAAUUGGUUAGAAGUGUGAAUAAGAACAUUGGAAGACAAUUUUGGGAGUAUGAUCCGAAUCUUGGAACUGAACAAAAACGAGCUCAAGUGGAACAAGCUCGCAAACAAUUUCAUGAAAAUCGCUUCAAAACUAAGAACAGUUCUGAUCUCUUAAUGAGACUCCAGGUAAAUACAUGCAUAAAUAUUAUAACAUAUAAUGCUGAAGGGUAAAUAAUAAUUAAUUUUGGUUUUGUAGUUUGAGAGGGAAAAAGGUUUUUUAAAUAUGAAAUCAGAGAAUAAUAAUAUAAGGUGAAAAUGGAGAAGGAAGAAGUGGGAAAGACACUAAAAAGAGCAUUGAGAUUUUACUCAACACUGCAAACUGAAGAUGGUUUCUGGCCUGGUGAUUAUGGUGGUCCUUUGUUUCUUUUGCCUUCUUUGGUAUGUUUAAUAUCAUUUCCCUCUUUUUCUCUUAUACAAUACAAUGUCCUAAGCACUUUUUUUUUUUUUUUUUUUUUUGAGCAAAGGAAAAAAUCUUUUUAGAGAAUAUGUUCUAAUAAUGAAGAACAAGGAAGAACAUAGGAGAAAUGAAACCAAUUUAGAUCAUUGAAAAAUUCACAUGAUUAGCCGUUACUUUUUUCCCACAACCUCCUGCACAUAAAAGAGAGUCAAAGUGUAAAAUUUCAUGUUGGACCAAGUUGUCCUUAGUUGAAACUCUAUUGUUUGGAAGUCGCCAUGCAAACAUAGAAGUCUUCAACCGAUCAAUGCGAGAGUAUGAUAAAUUUUGAGCGGGUAUUAAUAGUGUAAGAAAAUUAUACUUGUUUAAUUUGUAUCACAGACGUUGUAAAACUUUUUUACAUAUGCACCAAAUCAAAUUAUUUUACAACACCACAUUUUUAACUUAGUUCAUAAAAUAUCUCUUUAAAUAUCUUUUUUUUUAGGGAGUCUCUACAAAUAUCUUUUUCCUUUGAUUUGAUUGAAUAGAUGUGUAAAAAAAAUUCAUAGAAAUUAACCACUUAUUAAAUAUUUGUUGAAGUUUAUAGAAAGUAAACAAUUUAGGCUCUUGGACAUAUUUUGCACGAUUGGCUUGUUUUAAAGGGAAAAAAAUUAGCUUAUGUCAGCAAUUUCUUGAUAUUAUAUCCUAUAAAAACAAGCAUUUUCUUGAUAGUGCACCUUAAUAUAUUUUAACAAGUGCUUGGCAACGUGAUGGGAUCAAUUUUAACACAUUAUAUGUGAUUUAUAAUAAAAAAACUAGUUUUUUAAUAGUUUUAUAUAUUGUCUCUGAUGUGGAGUUCAGUAACAAGAGUUUGAGAUUGCAAUCUAACAAACAAAGUUCAAAUCCCUUUAAAGAUGCUAUACAAAGUUCAACUCCCCAAUUUUCUCAAAAUUAAUAAUUAACUAUACAUUCAACUUCUUGUUCAAAAAAAACUAUACAUUCAACUUAAACAACUAAGAGAUCCGCAAGUGGACGGUGAGACUAGACCUUUCAGAUUAGUCGAUCCUUGAGUUAAGUAUCGAGUUAAAAAAAAGAGGAGAUUUAAAAUAAUUGUUAUAUUUCAACUAUCUUAUAUUAUGUUGUUUUCUUCUUACAUGAUAUUAUAUGACACAAUUAUAUAUGAUAUGAUAUUAUUUUUUUUGAAGAGAUGAUAUGAUAUUUAUUAUAAACAUAAAUAAAUUUAUCGAUAUAUGAUUAACUGAAAAUAUUUAAGAUGAAUAUUGAAAUUCUAAAAAAGGUACGCAUAAUUGAUUCAACUCUUCAACAAAAAAAAGUAUAAUUGAUUCAAUCAGAGUAUUAUAUAGCCUCUUGGUUUUCUUGCUUUUGUUUUUCUCUCUUAUUGCAUUUGUUAUAUUGCUUAAAAAAAAUGAAUCAUCAAUUAUUGGAUUAAUUAUGUGAUAGGUAAUAGGACUAUGGGUGACUGGGGCUGUUAAUGCAGUGUUAACACCCGAGCAUCAAAGUGAGAUGCGACGCUAUGUCUUUAAUCAUCAGGUAAUUUUUUGUAAUUAAGUAGUUUAGUAUCUAGAACUCCAACUUUAAAAUGCAUAAGUGGGGAAUUUUCUUACAAAUAUAAUAUAAUAAAAUGUUUUUAUCAACUGAGCUAUACUGGUGAGGAAUAAUGUUAGCUAGCUAUUGUGAUGAAUAUGACAUUAAUCGUUGAUACAUAUGAUAAUGAUAAGAACGAAGAUGGAGGGUGGGGAUUGCAUAUAGAAGGGCCCAGCACAAUGUUUGGUACAGCUAUGAGCUAUGUGACCUUGAGAUUGCUUGGAGAAGAUAUAGACAGUGGAGAUGGAGCCAUGCAAAAAGCAAGAAAGUGGAUUCUUGAUCGUGGGGGUGCCACUUCUAUUCCUUCAUGGGGCAAACUCUGGCUUUCUGUAAGUGUGUGUGUAUUUAUUUCUUUAUUUAAGGUUUUGAUUGUUAUACUUAGUUUAAUACACAUUGCAAUUGUUUUUUAUAAUAGUUUAAUUUAAUCAAAUGGUACAAGUGUAUAAAUAUAUAUAUAUAUAUAUAUAUAUAUAUAUAUAUAUAUAUAUAUAUAUAUAUAUAUAUAUAUAUUAGGUACUUGGAGUAUAUGAAUGGAGUGGAAUGAAGGCAAUCCCUCCAGAGAUAUGGCUUCUUCCCUACUUUGUCCCUUUGCAUCCAGGCAUGUUCUCAUUAUUUCUUAUUCGGUCUAAGUCAAAUAUGUGGUACCAUAUACUUAUUUAUAUGAUAUGAUAUGACAUAAUACAUAUGAUAUUAUGUGGUACCAUGUAUUUUUUUUAUAUGAUUACAUAUGUUACUAUCCAUGUAUUAUAUGAUGAUAUAAUACAUAUGUUACUAAUUUAAAAAUUUGCAGGAAGGAUGUGGUGUCACACUAGACUUGUAUAUCUACCAAUGUCAUAUUUGUACGGUAGAAGAUUUGUGGGUCCAUUCAGUGCUAUUGUUUUAUCUAUCAGAAGAGAGAUCUAUACCUUACCUUAUCAUAUACUAAAUUGGGACCACGCUAAAUAUCAUUGUGCUAAGGUUCUUGUCUUAAUUAAUUGUGUCACAUAUACCUAUAAUAUUUCCAAUUAAUAAUGAGUAAUAAUUGCAGGAAGAUUUGUACCAUCCAUGUCCAAUGAUACAGAAUAUUUUAUGGGGUUUUCUUGAUAAUGUUGGGGAACCUCUUCUCAUGCAUUGGCCUUACUCUAAACUAAGGAAUAAAGCACUCAAUCAUGUUAUGAAGCAUAUACACUAUGAGGAUGAAAACACUAACUAUAUCUGCCUUGGUCCAGUUAAUAAGGUGGUUAAUUAUAUAUCAUUAUUAUGCUAUGAAGCACGGACAUUCCUUGGAUUCCUUGGAUUAGGUCUGUCUUGAUGUCAUACAUGUGUCCUGUCCGACACCGGCACGACAAUGACACUUAUAAUUACAGUAAAAUAUGUGAUUUUUUUAAAUUAUCAACGGUGUCGGCGUGUCUGUGUUUGUGUUGUGUCCGGUGUCUGUAUCCGUACUUCAUAGGUAGCUGUAAAUAUCAUAGUCAACUGAUUUUAACUCAAUAAGACAACAUGUGAUGAUAAAUUAGAUGAAAAAUGACUCUAAAACAGGUACUAAACAUGGUUUGUUGUUGGUUGGAGAACCCAAAUUCUGAGGCAUUUAAGUGUCACAUUUUAAGAAUCAAAGACUAUCUAUGGUUGGCUGAGGAUGGAAUGAAAAUGCAAGGAUACAAUGGUUCUCAAUGUUGGGAUGUUGCUUUAUCUGUUCAAGCUAUCUUGGCUACCAAUCUUGAUGAUGAAUAUGGUUCAAUGCUUAAGAAAGCUAACAAUUUCAUAAAACUCUCACAGGUAAUAAAUAUUUUGACUGGAAGUUACAUAAUUAUGAAACAUUAAUGCCACGGAAGAAAGUAAUUAAGAUCUAUGAAGGACACUUCUCAGAUUAGACGUGUCCCAGUGUCGGACACACGUCGAUAUCUGACACCAACACAUAUGAUUCCAUUGAGUUAUGUGAUUUUCUCAAAUUAUUACCAGGUCGGCGUGUCAGUGUGGUGUCUGUAUCCGUGUUCAUAGAUUAAGAUAAAUAUUUACAACUUCUUCAAAAAAAAAGAUAAAUAUUUACAGUCAGAAGUAUUGAAUAUGAUAAACACUAUUGUAUUUUGGUUUUGAAGGUUACAAUGAACAGUUCUGGUAAUACUAGUUGCUGGUAUCGCCACAUUUCUAAAGGCGGUUGGCCUUUCUCGACUCAAGACAAUGGUUGGCCUGUUUCUGAUUGCACUGCAGAAGGCUUGAAGGUCAUUAAUUUUACCAAAACACUGAUUUGGAUCAGCUAAACAAAUUAUAUUUUCUUAAUCUGUUUGACUAUUUUCAGGCAGCCAUUUUGUUAUCAAACUUGCCAAUUGAGAGUGUUGGAAAAGCAGUGGAAACAGAACAACUAUGCAAUGCAGUUAAUUUGAUUUUAUCCCUGCAGGUACUCUAAACUGAUCUUUCACUCAAAUACAAGUUAAUGCCACUAGACUACUAGUAGACGCAGUCGUUUAUAAAGUUCGAAGAAGUAAACAAAAAUGGACGAGAACUAUUUUAUUUUUGCGUUUUCUUUAAGUACUCACGAUUCAAGAAUAAAAAGAUGAUUUUGUUCAAAUUUAAUUAGAUAUAACUUCAACCACGCGGUAACCAAUUUUCUCUUCCACAUUAAAUACUACAGAAUAGAAAUGGUGGGUUUGCAUCCUAUGAGCUCACAAGAUCUUAUACAUGGUUGGAGGUAAACCUUUUUUUCUUCAAUUAAAUGAGGAAUGUAGAUUCAAUUAUUAAAUCUUUUAACACCGAAUUUGUUUAUGUUACAGAAAAUAAAUCCAACUGAAACAUUUGAAGAUAUCACCAUUGAUUAUCAGUAUGUACCUGACAUCGACAUUGUUGUGAAUCCCCGGACCUCCAAGACCCGGAUCGAACCACACCAAUACAAAGAAUAAUGAUGUGUGGAGCGACGGAGAGUGGUAACCACCAAACAAAGCUUAUUGUGCAAGCAAGAAACAACAAAACACCACCUAGAUCUAAUCUAGGAACCAAGUGUGAAACAAAGCAACUAAACACAAGAUAAACAAAGGAGAGGGAAGAAGAAAACAAUAAACACAAAGAGAUUGGUCACCCAGUUCGGUCCAAACUUGACCUACUCUGGAGGAGAGUUUGUACUCUCCAAUCCACUAUCAAAUGAGUUCUUUACAAAAGGAGUACAAGAGGUUACAAGAAAUUAGCUUGACAAUGUUCACUAUGAACAAACCCUAAUUUCUACCCCUUUCCCAAUCUCACCAAGACACUCAAUGAUUCUCUCUACAAGGUGUUUCCCAUGUUUUCAACCCAAGAGAUACUCUAAUCAAAGAACCCUAAACCCUAGAGCUUCCCCUUUGAUUUCCCAAGUCUCUCUCUUCCAAAUUCUCUCUUCAAAUCUGCACAAGAACACUUAAGUACUAGUCUUCCUCUGUUCCAAUCGUGUCACGAUUUGCCCAAUCGUGUCACGAUUUGCGUCCGUCCCAAGGAACGACCAGUCCUUAUCAAGGAUACUUAACGAGCAAGUUUCUUGAUCGUGUCACGAUUUCCCAGAAAUCGUGCCACGAUUUGCACCCCUGCAACCCUAGCUCACGGCAUCCGAAAUCGCGUCGCGAUCCCAAAAUCGUGUCACGAUUUCCAUGUUCUUCCAAACCACAAAUUUGAAGACAAUCUCAACAGACAUGUUUCCUUGUAAUUAUUUUUAUGUCGUCUAUCAUUUGAAUUUAUGAAAAAUGAGUCCAUUAUCUAUAGGUAUGUGGAAUGCACAUCAGCAGCGAUACAAGGUCUCGCAUUAUUCACUCAACAAAAUCCGCGGCACAGGAAGAUGGAAAUAGAUAUUUGCAUUGUUAAGACUGCAAACUAUAUCGAAAGCAUACAAUGGGCAGAUGGUUCAUGGUUUGCUUUAUUACUAGUCGAUAAACUUAAUUAUUGGCCAAAAGAGGUUUCAAAAAUGAUAUUAAUUAAUUUCUUAAUAUGAGUUUAAAGAAUUAUAAUUACUUAACCAAAUAGGUAUGGAUCAUGGGGAAUCUGCUUUACAUAUGGGACAUGGUUUGGAAUAAAAGGGUUGAUAGCUGCAGGUAAGAGCUACAAAGAUAGUGUAAGCAUAAGAAAGGGAUGUGAGUUUUUACUUUCAAAACAGCACAAGCUUUCAGGUGGGUGGGGUGAGAGCUAUCUCUCAUGCCAACACAAGGUAUAUAUAUAGUAUGAACUUUAAAAGUUCUAUUCUAUCCCUUUAAGCAUCUAUCAAGCACAGACACGGACACUAAUAAUAACUUGUAAUAAAUUAACAGGUAUACACAAACCUGGAAGGAAACAAAUCUCAUGUAGUGAACACUGCAUGGGCUAUGCUGGCACUCAUUGAAGCAGGACAGGUAUAAUGUAGCAUAUUAUGACAAGUUAAACAAACUAAGCUCAACGCCAAUUAUAUAUAGAACUAGAACAUAAUAUAUAAUAAAUAAACUCGAUAUUCAUUAUUUUACGGUAUAGGCCGAAAGAGAUCCAACUCCAUUGCAUCAUGCCGCCAAGGUUUUGAUAAAUUCACAAAUGGAAAACGGGGAGUUUCCUCAACAGGUAACAAUUGUUAUGCAGAUGACAGAUGAAAAACUCUUUUGGUACGUUAAACAAGCUCUUUUUAACAAAAAGGAGUACCUAAUAUAUAGGAAAUGAUAGGAGUCUUCAACAAGAAUUGCACUAUCAAUUACUCAGCAUGCAGAAACAUUUUUCCCAUAUGGGCUCUUGGUGAUCAAUAUCGAAGUCGAGUACUCCUUUAAUUUAUCCCGACAAAGAGUCCAGAGAAAUUGCAUCAUAAUCAGGUUAUAAACAAAUGUCUAUAUUAAUUGUUUUCCUUGUCAUAAAGUAAUUCACUUGAAUCCUCUUAUAUUUAACUAAUCUCAUACCUUUUCAGCUACAAAACUGCCAGCAAAUGGAGCAGGAGGCAAAACAAAGUGCACUAAGUUUCAAACUUUAUGUUGAAUACAUGUGACAUGUCAAUUGCAAUUUAAAUGAUACAAAAAAUUGGACCCUACUACAAGAAUUCCUCAAACAUUUAAUCAAUUUGCUGUUGUCAUUUCUCCAUCAAUCAAUCAAUUCAAUAAAUGGCUACAACUUUCACGCAAAACAAAAGUAAUCCUCGUUGGUUAUUUCAGUUAGCCUAGUUACUUGUAUUUUUUUUUUGGUAAAAUGACAAAAGAAAAAGAAAAAAAAAAAACCCUAAAAACAGGGUUCAGCCUGGGGCAUCAAGCCUCAAGACUGACUUCAACUCCGAUGGGGGAGCAUGCCAAAAUGUCACACUUAAUCUUGAAGAGCGUCCGAACUUGACCAAGAAAUAUGCGCAAUAGUUGCCCUCUCGAAGCACAUGUUAGAAAGAAAUGUUACGAAUAUACUCCUUUAACCCAAAAAUCUUCACCAACAAAGAGGCGUACACAUACAUAUGAGAGUGAUCUGGCUCUUGAAGAAGACGGAAUGCUUCUAAAGAAUGUUUCACAAAUAACUCGUUGAAUAGAGUCGUUGAUUACCAACAUCAAACCAUGGUAAACCCCAAAUAGCCCAGAAAAAAGCGCAUCUCUUGCCCAUCAUUAGAAGAGAAUCCAACUAUCCAAUUUCCCUUGUUAUCACGAAUUAAACCUCCAUAACCAAUAUCGCCAGAAGCACCACAACUUCCAUCAAUAUUCAACUUAACACAUCCAUCUGAAGGUGGGGUCCAAUUAACCAUGUGACAAUUAAUGCCGUGCUCAGCAGGGGUAGCCCUGAGGGCGGCAGCCCAAGGCACCAUUUAAUUAGGGGCACCAAAAUUAUUAUUUUUACUUAGUAGUUAUAUAUAUAUAUAUAUAUAUAUAUAUAUAUAUAUAUAUAUAUAUAUAUUGUAAUUCGCUUUGAUUAAUUCUAUUGAAAAUAUAUUUUUAGAUAACUUUGAUUAUAAAUGAAUAUUUUGCAACAAAAAAUGCUAGAAGAAAAAUAUUUGAAUAAUUAAAAGGGCAUAAUUUAUUGUUUCGUCCAGGGCACCAAAAAUCUUAGGGCUGACCCUGGUGCUUAGAGGAGUGAAUAUUGAUAGAAGUUAGGUCGGUAAACAUAAUGUCUAUAAAAUGAAUGAAAUUUUGGAUUUUCCAUUGCUUGUCGCCAAGAAUAUGAUUAUUCCUGAAGCGCCAGAUCCACCAAAUAGUUAUUACAAACUAUGUCACCAAAUAGACAUAGUUUGUAACCAUGUUUUCCAAGAUGUUAAGCUGAAUAAAUAUUGAUGAUUAACACUAGAUAUUAGCUGCCAAACUUCGUAAAAGGAUCACGAUUCUUAAAACCUAAAAGCAACAACUAUUUCUUUAGGAGUUCGUCGCUACUCUACUUGGGGAUCGAUCCUUAUGCACCGUGCAUAAAUCCCAACAUAAUUGCUUCUACACCUCCAAAGGAAAUCAAACAAAACAAAAAGAACCAAAUGCGGAAACAAACUGAAUCAUCACCGUCGUUCAUCAUCAUCAUCAUUGGUAUCUUCAAUCUCAUUAUCAACACUGUCGUUCAUCAUCAUCGUCGUACCGGAAUGCCAAAACCAUUUAUCUGUGGAAAUGGUUUCUGUGAGUUGUACUCCAAACCCAUUUUGCUGUGGAAAUGGUUUCCAUAAUCUUCAAUCUCAUCAUCAACACCGUCGUUCAUCAUCAUCACCGUACCGGAAUGCCAAAACCAUUUUGUUGUGGAAAACCAUUAGAUGUACUUAAUGGUUUCCGGCAGUUUGCCAGUCAUAAAUCCCUUUAACAUCACAAAGAUUUCGAAUUUAGUAACAAAUUCAGAUCUGAAACCGUAAACCUCAUGAACACUAAACCACAGAAAAUCACAUAAACAUCAUUUACCACUCUCAAAGUCAUCAAUGAAUCCAGAAGAACAUCCAGAAUCGGUUUAGAAGAGAUAGAGGGAGAGUUCAACACAACAACAAGAUUCGAACCGGAUCGGAACAACACUUCAACACAACAACAAAUCCGAACCGGAUCGGAGAAGAAGACCAAAACGCGAAACGGAUCCGUGAAGAACAAGAGGUAGUUUCAUUUUCUCUUUUUGUUAUGUUUUUUUACUUGUAGAUCUACGCUCAUGUGAGUUUUUUUUUUGAGAAAUCUAAGGCGAUAUUUGGAAUCGACACAAAAAAGGAUGUCUAAACCCGUGAUUUUUUUUUAUUUGGACAGAGUUUUGAACUCUAGCGCGGUGGUGCCACUAUCGGCCACCACGCCGGAAUCAUCAUGUGUGGCCGAAAGAGAUGAAGACUCAUCUGAAUUGUAGAGAGAGAGGGAGAACUUUAUGUUUUAGUGAGAGAAAUGUUUGAAGCAAACGAAGUUUGAUUUGACGUAGUUUGAGAAGCCUAUAAUUAUUACACGUGUACACUAGAUUUGAUGGUUGUGAAGUGUUUAUGCACGGUGCAUAAGGAUUUCCUUAUGCACCAUAACUUUUGCCCUCUACUUGUAUGCAUUGCAAAAUAUUUGUUCUAAAAACAAGGCUAAAUUUCAUUUUGGAUCCUUUAACUAUUUAGGUAGUAUCGCUUUGGUCCCUUAAUUAAAAUUCGAUUUAUUUUGGUCCCUUAACUUCUCUCCGUUACACAUUUUGAUCCUUUCCGUUAAUUUUAAUUCAAAAACGUUAGGUUCUCUUCAUCUUUUUCAUCUUCAUAUCAUUUCCAUCAACCUUCAACAACAAGAAUCCCAUAAAAAUUUCAUAAGAAAAUGAAGAAAACCUAACAUUUUUAUAUUAAAAUUAACGAAAAUAAUAGUUAAGUAUGUAUAUUAAGCUGGAAGCAAAUAUAUUAUUUUGAAAGAUUAUAUUAGCUAGAAGCAAAUAUUUAUAAAUAUAGAAAUUUGAGCAACUCAAUUUUAUUGUAUAGGUUCGAAAGUUUUUUUUGGUGGUAGAAGAUUCAAAAGUUUUUGAAGUACCUUAUUGCAUUAUGUGAAAAACGAAAAAGUAUAUGAUUAAAUUAACCUAAUUAUGAAUAUAUAUAUGUCAAGUUUUUUUCUAUUAUCAUAUGAGAAUGGGUAUCUUAUGUGAGAAUGAUGAGAACAAUUAUAGACCGUUAGAUUAAAAUAAAUGGAUCAGAUUAAAACCUUUAUUUUAUUGACUCGUGUGCUAGAUGUUUCCCCAAUUUCAUUAAGUUCUGGACUAUUCAUAUUCCCUCGUCUCAUCUUCAUCCUCUAAAAUCAAUAUCACGGUAUCUAAUUUCCCAAACCCCUUCGCACACUAACAAAACAAAGAUUUAUAGUCAUUGAUAUUUUUGCUAUCAACCGAAAUAGCAUUUCUCAUGCAUCAAAUUGUGAAGAAGCCACACACUAAAUUUUAAAGAAAUGACAUGUGAAUUGAGUGUGUCACCUAAUUUUCUUAUGGUUUCUAUACUUUUUUAGAAUUUUAUGGUGAAAAAUUGAUUUCAAGGUUGUUCUUGAUUUUGGAUCUGAGUAUUGAUUUUAAAAAUUAGCUUUUUUAUAUAGUAAUUUGUGGUUAUAAAAACGAAGGAGAACCGGAAAUAAAAGAAAUUUGAAUCUGCUGAUGAAACAAGUGUGAAUGGAAUAGCAAACUGGUUUUAAGUGGAAGUUGGAAGAAGGAAGAUGACGAGAAAGUUGGGAGUGGAUAGAAUAAGGAGAGUCACAUGGUUAGUUAGAAUAGAGCUUUUAAUCCGAUCUCUUUAUUUUAAUCUUACUGUCUAUAAUUGUUCUCAUCAUUCUCACAUAAGAUACUCAUUCUCAUGUGAUAUGCCCUGUGUGUGUCCAGUUUUUUCUAUUAUCUUUUAAAAGUUAUAACAAACUAUAUGAAUAUAUUUAUACCUUUAAAUCUGACCAAAUAUAUAUAUAUAUUUAUACCCUUAAACAACUUCAUCACAAAAUACCAUUUGACUAUCCUUUUAGUUUCGAAAAGGCAAAAUAUUGUUUGCAGAGGCCGUGAGUUUUCAUUGCCUUGAAUUCGUGUGAAAAGUGGCGAAUGAUACUUCCUCCGUCACUUAAUACAUGACACAGUUGACCCAAUUACGCAUAUUAAUGCAUAAUUUUGAGUUUAAAUAUCUUGGAUAAUACAAAAAUUAAAUAAAUGAGACCCACAAGCUAACAAAUAAUUCAUCAUAACUUUGGGACUUCCAAGGGAUCCUAUCUUGAGUUUUAUCACCACAUUAGACCAAGAGAAAAUACACAAGUGAAAUUGAUAUCCUUCCAUCUCACUUAUAUGUUGUUCAAAAUUUAUCAUUCCAUCCAAUAUAAAUAUUUAACUCAUACUUGACACAUUAAUACCUCUUAUUCAAAUUUGCAACUCUCAUGUUCAUAAUUACGUGAUAUAGUCAAAUAAGAUCGAAGGAAGAUACAAUAUGUUUAAAAAAGUUUGUUGGUGAUGGUUUCAUUACAAGUGGUUUAUGUUCCUUUCGUACAUGGGAAGGGGGGAAAAAUAGAAGGAAAAACAAAGAUACCAAAAAGAAAUUUGAAUAUGAGAGAAGCUAAAUGAAAAAGAAAAUAUAAGUAUUGUGUGUUUUGUUUGUGAAAGUAUAAGAAAGAUUGUGAGUUGUUGAUAAAUCUAUGAGUUUUUUGAAGGAGUUGAAGAUUUUUAGAUAAUCAUUUUACCAAAAAAAUUAGAUUCAAUUAAAAAACGCCACGUAAUUUUAAAUAUGUAAUAAACAUGUAUUUAUCAACCCAACAUAACACAUCUUCAAUUUUCUAUUAUCAUUUCCCACCAUUAACCAAAAGAAUAUAUAUAUUUUUUUUAACUGAUGAGCCUAUCACGGCCUCAUCCAAAAUAUAUUGAAAUCAAAAGUGAGGUACAAAAAGGAGGGGGGACCAAACCAAGCCCUCAAAGUAAAAUUAGAGAACUUAUAAUAGGGGAGACCAAGUCUAUUAUUGACAAGGUCUGCUCUAAUAUUAACAGGGGGUGAAGACCACCAAGUGAAACCAUCAACGGUUAACCCUAUGCUGGCUAGCUUAUCAGCACAAUGAUUUCCUUCGCUAUACAUGUGUGUGAUCAUACAGGUCAAACCAGUCAUCAAAUGCAAACAGUUUAGCCAUCUAUUCUUUAUCUGCCAAGGAACUAUAUUAGAUGACUUGACUGCCAAGUUAGCCAAUUUUGAAUCGCUUUCAAUCCAGAGAUGAGUCCAUCUUUUCUUAAUAGCACAUUCAACAACAAAAAUCACUCCCAUGAGCUCAGCAUAAAAAUCAUUUUCAAUCCCUAAAUUAGCUGCAAAACAGCCAAGGCUUUCUCCAUUUCGGUUUCUGAAAAUACCUGCACAAGCUGCUUGAUCGGUGGUGCCAAGAGCUGCUCCAUCAGUGUUGCACUUGAUCCAGUGCAAUAUUGGGGGGCUCCAUAUGACUUCAGUGAUCUUAGGUGCAUUAGGAUAAUGUGUAUUCACUUUGAAAGCCUUUAACACAGUGAAAUCUCUAAUUGUAGAACCAGUAGCUAACUUGGUAAGGUUGCCAGCUAUAGAUACAUUUGCUAUAAUCUGCGUUAUUGUUGAUUUCAUAAUUUGGUUGUUCACCUUUGAAUCUAAAAGAGUUCUAGCAAGACCAGAUAGCAUUGAGAAUAUAGAUGAUUGCUGAGAUGAUGGUAAGCUUGCAUUUUGAACUCCAACCUCUCUCACAAACAUCAAACAGAGAGAGAAUGGAGUUGCAAUUGAUGGAGUAAUGGAUCAGAGGCUGAAACCAUUUCCAGAGAUUAGUAGCAAAAUGACAGGUAAGGAACAAAUGAUCAGCAAUUUCAGAUUUUAUAAAUUCUCAAGAAAGAGAAUAACAGAGGUUAAAUGAAAAAAAAUCACAAAAAAAAGAAUAGCAUCAAAAAACUAAAAUUUAAAAUUCAAAAAUUAAAGACUUAAUUGCAGUUUUAGUCCCUUAUUUUUAGUAAAUCGUGAAAUUGGUCCGUUCAUUUUAAGAUCACUCAGUUUUGAUCUCUUUAUCUUAUUUUAAGACUGAAAAACAAUGAUGGACAUAUUUUAAAUAACAUGACAUACAAUCCAAUGAUGUAAAAUGAUCAAUACCAACAUAAUUAUUUGAAAACUUUGAUUAAGUUUUAAUUUAAACAUGACAUAUCACCAUCUUUAAGUUUAUAAAAUCUAAAAGAGGGACCAAAACUAUGUGAUUUUGAAAUGGAGGGACAAAUUAUAUGAGUGAGUGCAAAUAUGAUGACCAAAACUGUAAUUAAGCCAAAGUUAAACAAAUAACUUCCAAAAACUAAAAAAACAGUACAUCAUAAUGUUGUGAGUUUCGGAGGAUCAUAUAUUGAGUUUGAUCAUCACGUUAGAUUAAAAGAAACCACACAAGUGAGUUUGAAACCACAUCUCCAUCUUAAACCUUAAGUCAUUAAUAUAUGAGUCAUAUCACUUAUAUAUUGUUCAACAUUUACUAUUGCAUUCAAUGUGGAACUUUAAAUAACACUUGACACAUUGACCUCUUUAUCUCAAGUAUGAGACUUUCUGCAUAUGUAAUCUACCACCAAGAACAACAAUUGUUUCCCCCACAAAGUUGAAUCGGCAUAUGGUAUUGUCGUUGGACCGUACAGGAGAGCCAACACUGGUGUUGAUUGACUCAUUGAACACAAAGCGACCACACAGAUGUGCAUGAUACCAUAUCUUCACCCAAUAUAUUAAAUUUGACGAAAGUCUAGCCCGUGCUUGGCACGGGUUUCCAUGCUAGUAGCACAUAAUUUACAAUAUUCGAAAUAUUCAACUUUGCCCUAUGAUGCAUAGGUACGGGUACAUUGAUAUAAAACACUAUAAAAAAAUAAAAAGAUUUUUCAAGUAAAUUACUAUACUUUUAAUUCUAUCAUCAUGUUGCCUGUAUUUUUCAAGUACAUUGAUAUAGUUUUACUUUUAUGUGCACCCCCUCUACUAUUUUUAUUAAAAGCAAGAGUGAGAAUUAAAAUACAAUAUAAAAGCAAAAUAAUUUUGGUUAUUUUUCCACCGUCCAUGCGUUUGUUGCACCAACUAAGAUGAAACAUCUAAGUAAAUAUAAGUACAGUUCGGUAUGUAAGUUAGGAGUACCAUACGCGUACCUGGUACCAAUACUUCUUCAUGUUUGGAGUACCCAUGCUUUCUCUCUGCCAUCAUCUGAAAUAGAUCAAUGAUUAAUGAUUAUUAUCCUUUACAAUAGUAGUAACAAAUGUCAAGAAUUAAUGAAACAAACAAUUCAAACCUUAAAGAAACUUGUAGUUGAAAAAUGCAUCAACUAAUAAUUUCAAAACAUAAACGAAUUACACAAAAUUCAGUCCUCAAGUAAAUUCAAUACUACAGAUCAGUAAAAUGUGUCCGCGCCUAAUCAACAUUUGGUUAUUAUGAAGAACAAGAUUUCUGUUUUCAAAAAUUGAUCUCACUCCGCAGCAUACUUCUUCCUAUGAAAAUGCAAAGACAAAUACUUGUCUUGAAAGCGUUGUAAGCUAUGCCGGUAUGGCUGUUUCUUUUUGAACUAUUUUUCCGAGAGUGAACCGAACAAAACGCCGCGCUUUAAUGUUCUCUCCAAUACCAGCUAUACUUUGCCUCACCAAGUCUUUCACUACAACACUGUCGUCCUUAAUAAAGGAUGCCCUAGAAGAGCAAGCUCUCCUAAUGUCACCUUCAUUUUAGCAGUCCAUCAUUCCAGCUCCUGCCACGUUGGCAUCUGUUUGUUGGAAUAAAAUGUGUUUAGCAAUAAUAAUCCUCAAGAAUUUUGAUGAUAACAAAGUAUUAAAAAUUGUCAAUUGGAUAGGCUAAUAUUUGUUCAAGUGUACAGGACUAUAGAUAAAAAUUUGACAUCUUAAAGUGGUCUUGGAAGAACAAAUAGAGAGCAAGUACAUCAACAAAAAGGGAAGCUUAAAGCGUCUGAAGAAAACUGCUCCUGAAGACAAAGUGCUCUUGAAGUGAUGAUGUCAUCAGAAGCAAGUUCAUCAGAAGCUGUGAAUCACCAGAAACUGCAUUUCAUCGGGAGAUGCAACUUAAAGCCUCAAAAGCUGUUUCAAGGAUUCACACUCGUCUAAGAGUGCAGAAGACUGGAAAAGUAUAGCAAGGCUAUUUUGAAAGGAUUGAAAAACAUUGGAUGUUUAUUCUUCAAGAGCGUUGACAUAGUACGUUUGUACGAAGUGUACAAUCACUAUCUCCACUACUCUGUUUUUGUCUCUGCUACAAGACAAGAAAAACAGCUCUGUCUGCAACAAUGUUUCUUCACAUUGGGAACGCAUUUGAAAUUGAUCCUUCAUAGGACAAUAACCAUAUCAAGCAAAGGAUCAUUGGUGAUUGAUCAAAAGCUUCAAACGACUCUAUUUUGAAUGUGUUGGCAAUUCAACGUCUCUUUCACACCUCUAUAUGAAGGAGUGAAGACUCAGAGUUUCAUAAGAACAAUACGACGCAUUAGCUAAGCCAAAACUCUGUUGAAAUUGUUCUCCACUUCAAAGUUCACUUAGAAUUUCUUAACAAAGCUUAUAGGGUUAAUGGUGCUUUACCCCCCCUGUAAUAUAUGUCAUUUUUUGUUUUCCCCCCUGUAAAAUAUAUUUUUUGAUUUACCCCCCAGGGAAAUAUUUUUUUUUGGAAUACCCCCCUAUAGGUCAUAAAAAAAUGACUUUAUUAUUUUUUUUUAGAAUUUUUUCGUUUUUUUAUGACCUAUUAGGGGGGUAUUCAAAAAAAAAAAAAAUUUACAAGGGGGUAAAUCAAAAAAAAUAUUUUACAGGGGGAAAACAAAAAAUGACCUAUAUUACAGGGGGUAAAGCACCAUUAACCCAAGCUUAUAUCUUAGGAAUUCUAGAGUCUUUAGAGUCUGUAUCUGAUUUAUAUUGUGAACACCACUGAUUGUAUAUCGAGUGUUCAACUUCAAACAAUUUUCUUUGUAAUUCUGUUUGAAUUCAGAAGUCUCUUGCAGUUGUGCUUGAGCAAUAGAAGUCUCUUGAUUGUGUUCAGGAGCAUAGGAAGUCUCUUGCAGUUGUGCUUGAGCAUUUGAAGUCUCUUACUAAGUUUAGUAGUGAGCAUUUGUAAUCAGAUUUUACAUAGUGAACUCUCCUUGGAAGUGCAAGGGGGAUAUGACUGACUUCCGGUUUGUGGAAGGAACCUAUAUAAAUUGCUUGUGUCUUUCUUCUCUCUCUCUCUCUCUCUCUCUCUCUCUCUCUCUCUCUGUUUUAUCCGCUGCAAUUAGUUCUGAAUAUCUCUUCAGAAGUAGAACUCUAUCUGCUUCUGAACUGCAUUUUCAGUUACAAGAAAAAGAAGAAAAAGAAAACACAAUUCAACCCCCUUCCUGUGUUUUUCUCACCUUCACUGUUGACUCUGUUAUGCAUAAUUCCAUUUCUAAUGCAUGGGAGAAUUUUAACUUGACAGUGAUAAUGUCUCAAUAGUUAGUGAUUUUACGGUCGUUUUUAAAUAGUUUUCAGUUAAGUUGAGUCAAUAAAGGGUGUUUUUAUAGUCAAACUAAGCAAAAAAGAGGAUUUUGAAAAUUUCAAGUUGUAUUGGUUAUUCUUGUUGCUACAAACUCUUGGAGUUUUUGCUCUCUCUCCAAUUUCAGAUUGACAAAUUGAACGCAAUGAAGUGAAAUACUACCAUCAAAGUUGCGAAGAUUUUGUGCAUUACCUAAUGAUGGAGAAUUACAAAUAAUAUUUCUUUGACACUACUUUUUAUAUAUUUAUCAUUGUUAGUGGUCUUUGAAGGAAACUAAAAGUGUAGCCUAACAAACACUUAUGCUGAUGGGUUCAAGUAAUAAGAAAGGAAAUUGGAUUUUGUGUGGGGUAGGCCACGUGAAAGGAAAUAAAAAGGAAAUAGAAGGUUGUGCUGAUGUGUAAAAAAAGAAGAAGAGGGGAAUUAGGUUUCACUUGGUUUUGAAAUAUAAAAGGAGUGCAGCUACAGCAAAAGUGGGAGUCUGACUUUUGGGAGCCGCACAACACAGGAAAGGAGGAGACAGCGACAAGGAAAUUGGAAGGAGUCUUUGGGAGAACGACAAUGCGGGGUGACGUCGGCAGCGUCGGAAAUUUCUUCCGGUUUAUUCUCUUUUCUUUGUUUAUUUGUCUUAUCAUGAGUAGCUAAACUCCAAGUUAUUGGGGAUGAGUAUACCUAGAUGAAUACUUUUGUCAUGUGAUUUGAUUAUGUUUAUUGAUGAAACUUAUUGAAUUAUUUUUCUUAUCUCCAUGCUUAAUGCUUUUAUUGAUUGAUCACCUUUAAAUUGAUUUACGGUUUAUAUUGUGAAACGGGGGUGGAAUUUAUAAACGCUUUGAGAUAAGAAAUUCUUGCCUUUGUAAUCUAGGAAUAGAUGCAAACCCUUGAAACCACUUGAGAAUUCUUGUUCAUUUAUGCUUAAUUCUAAUCUUAAAUUCACUAAGGAAUUAAGAGUUGUUUUAGAAUUAAUGGUUUUGUCACUAAGGAAUUAGGGCAAGAAUAAAUUAGAGAAUUCGGUAAUAAUUCGAUAAGUUGAUUCAAUAGUUAUAUUCGAGUUACUAACUUAAGAUAGUCAUCUAGCAAACCUCAUCCUCAACAAUUUUCUUAUUAUAAAGUUAAAACAAAUUUUCUUCUGAUUAAUUUACAUUAUUGCUAUCAAACAUAUCUCGUACCUUUUUGUUCAAUUAAGUAACAAAUAUUAUUUGACAGUAUAACGCGAUCCUCGAGUUCGACACUCGGUCUUACCGUUUUAAUUUUAUUACUUGCACGAUUUCGUACACUUGCGAAAAUCGCUAUCAGACAGCAAAGCACAAGUUUUACUACCAAACAGUGUUUCUUAUAAAAUUGCGAAAUUUCUUUUAAGUAACAUAAUAUUGUAAGAAAAUGUUCAUGAAAAAAAAAAUAGGUGAUAAAGCUCUUCUCUAUGUUGAAAACAGAACACACUGAAAUCACUAAAGAAAAAUCAAUUAUACCUUUGCGCACUAGGGCCACUCUUGAAGCAAGGAUGAUAACUUUUGAUGGCACAUAAUUCCUGCAAUUGUACUUCUCCAAACAUAAUUCCUUGAGGUUCCUUUGCUAACUAUUUCCUAAUGGGAUGCAUGUCAUCAUGUAUGAAUAGCUGCAGAGCUCCUAAGAAUAGAUUUACGCCUUCAUACCAACACUGAAAGGAUCGUCAAAUAGAUUUACGCCUUCAUACCAACACUGUAAGAAUAGCUGCAGAGCUCCUAAGAAAGUGAAGUCAAGGAACCUUGCAAAGCUAUCAGUAUUAGGGAAAAGAAAUUGAAGUACAAUGCAAGAUUGAAUUCUGCAUUAUUUAUGGAAAUAAUCUUUAUAUGCAGAGGAUAAUGUCUCCCGUGAAGAAUAUUAAUUAAGGAAAAAAUGUUCUUCUGUAGUAAACAACUAGCUUAACACUCUGUUAACACCAGCAUUAUUUGCUCAAAGUAACACACUUACAUCAGUAUUCUAACCACAUACAACCAGCUAAAAAAAUAUAGAUAAACCGGGGGGAAAAAAUUGAACGGAACUAGCAUUUUUAUGAAAUAACACAUGUUGUCAUAAUCCAUUCAGUACAAACUUACAAUCCAAAAUCAAAUUAGAAUGACAAGAUUGUCACAAUCACAUGAAAAUUACAAUCAGAAUCAAGCUUACAUUUAACAAUAUGAAGCAAAUAAGAUGAAAUUGCAACCUUUGCUCCGGCUUUCAUAAUAUGUUUUUACUACAGACCGCACAGGACCAUCCUUUGCAUCUGGGAGCAACAUCUGCUUGAUCUUUGAAACCUGCCAAAUAAAUUGAAGCAUAAGUUUGAAAGUUGUGUCAAGAAAGAGGAAUACAUUUAGUCUAAAUGAUAAGCAGCACCUCAAAUAGUUUUAUUGAUGUAUCUGCACUUCUAGUGGCAACAAAUCUUCCAUCAGGACUAAACCUAGCACACCUGGUAAUUUUCUAGAAAUUAAGCCAAUCAGUCCAAAAAUCAAUUAGUAAAAAAAAGCAUGUGCUCAAUGGUAGGGGAUGUUGUACUUGUAUGGUAUUUUGAAAUUAUAAUGCAGGAUAUCAUGAAGCUAUGAAUGCAUAUUGCUUACCUUGGGAAACUUUUUGACGAAACUUUUAUAUCUGGCAAAGAGAUGUUACACGAAAAAACAAUUAUCAAUGGUUGUUUCCCUAUCUUAUUUGCUAUAUGAAAAUGAAGGAACUUAAAAGCAUUAUUUAUAAUUAGCAUGAGACCAAAAUAAAAGAUAACAAAUUGUGCAAGAAAAUGAAUAUGAAAUAUCAAUUUGGAAAGCUUUGAUAAUCAAAAGAUGUGUUCAAAUUAAUAUGUAGUCCUGCUUUCCUUAGAUCAUUCUUUUCUACAACCAAAAAUUAAAAGCAGGUAAAUGAAAUACACCAACAAGUAAGACCUACAUAUAAUAUGCAAUGGCGUAUCCGGGUAACCUACAAACAUGCAUGCUAACUUUUUACUUUAUUCAUUUCCAAUUAAAGGAAAUGUAGUUAGCCUUGGUUAAACUCUUGCAUAGCUGAAAAUAGACAAGUCUUCACUGUUUUUUCCUCACAAGUUUUAAUAAAGAUAAAGAACAAAAAAAUAAUGAGCUAAACUAAAAGUCAUAAUUCUCCACAAUAGCUAUGGAACAAAAUGUUAUUCAAUGCCAAAAAAUUCUGUAACAAUAAUGAAACACCAUGAUAUCAAGCAUUUCUCUGAACAAUAAAUUAAAAACUGUUCCAUUGACUUCAAAUGCAAAAGAAAAGCAGCCAAAACAGGAGAACGAGUGUAAAAAAAUUGCCUGAAAUCAAUGGUUGUUGCACCGGGACGAGGCAAGGGCAAUGAUGCACCCAAAUCUUGAAAAGGAGAAGAUGAUUCCCUCUUGGCAAAUCAUCCUUUUCCGCUGCAAGACCCUGUUAUUUCUUUAGAACAAAAUCCUUCCUCAUGCUCACAUUAAAGGGAAAGUUUAGAUUACACAAAAGAAAGGAGUAAACUCCCAGCUUAAUUUUUUAUAAAUUCCACCACAACACUCAUUAGUCUUCAAGAAUGCAAAAAAAAAAAAAAAAAUGAACUUUAAUCCCUAAGCACCCCAAAUAUAAGUCAUUACUAGUCUUUCAUAGGGGUAAGCCAUCCAAUGUAGAGUGACGGUGCCCAAGAUACAUGGUACGACACAGAAACGAGAAAAAUUGUAAAUUCAUGAUAUGAUACGGCCUGGAUACUUGUGAUUGAAACGAAAAUAUAGAGUUUCUACCUAUAACAUAAUAUAUUCAAACUCGAAUGUUACGAUAACAACAAAAGUAUUUUUAGAAAAACUAAAACAUUGAGUAUAAAUCGUCUAUGCCCGAGGAGUAUCAGGAAGUAGCCAUAAUAAAAUAAAGAUACUUUAGGAACACAUAUCUGUUAGUAUCGAUACAAGUACGACAGUGGACACCCACACAUUUCGUAUUUUGAAGUAUCGAGGCUCCAUACAUAGUAUUUCAGUUGAUGGACGUUUGAGUAUUUAAAGAACUAGACUACAGUUUUUGCAUUCUCAGGGACAAAUAUAUUAUAUCCACCACAAUACUCAAUAAAUGAAGAAGGGUUAAAUAAGUUUUUGGUCCCUCCCUAAAAAACGAAUUUAAACCAUACAUAAACGAAAUGUUUCAUGUUUAGUUUGUACCUUAUUAGCAACCAAUUGAAGAAUCUUGUUGGGUGGAGCUUGUACAUUGAAUGGUGUCAUAGUUGCUGAAGCAACAGCAGUUGCAGCCUGAAAUGAAAAAACAAUAAAUCAAUUGAAUAAUUGAAUUGAGAGGAAAAGAUGUAUAUAAUAAGUAAUAACUAACCUGAGUGAGAUUGUUGUGACGAAGAUGAGAGACGAUAAGAGAAUUAAGAUGUCUAUACAGUUUCCCAUCUUCAACUGUCUGCUCCGACCUACAACUACUACUGUUUUCCAUUUUUGGCUGUUGUCGGCUUCACUACACUAGUUUUAGAGUGUCAGGGACCAAAUUUGUCCUUAACAUUGUACCACAUCUAAAUCUUCUUCAGAAACCAAACUAAAGUAAUCAAACAAGCACAAACAAUGAAUCGACCAAUGAUAUGGAGGUUCGAGAUUUUUUCUGUGGAGAUUCAGUAGAAACUUCAUCUGCAACAGGUGAAUCUGGUACCUCCACGGAUUCUUCUGUUUCUUUGGCUGAUAUGGAGGUUUGAGAUAUUUUUCUGUGGAUGAUAUGAAAGCAUAUUUCAGUGAUAGUGUUCCUUAAAAUGAUACACAGACACUGAAACGGCACGGAUACAUUAUAGGAAAAACCCCGCAAAUUAUAAAAUUCAGUCUAAAAUGCAAAGCAGAAAAAGUAAGUCGCACUUCUGCCAACAAAAUCAUUGAAAAAAAAUUAAUAAUAUAAAGUUAACAAGAUUCUUUUGAAUUACCUUUGAUUGUGGUUGACAGCGGAGAUUGUUAUUGCGGUUGACUUUCUUCUCUGUGAAGUAAUUAUGACUUGUGAGAUGAAUGAUUCUUGUUCUAGUUGCGGUUGCGGUUGCGGUUGCGUCUAAUCUUCAAUUGCCAAAAUCUUGCAUUUCCCAGUUAAGAGAUUUUCGUGAUUCAUCAUUGUGAAGUUGAACUCUUGUAGGUCUUGUUUAAAACCCAACGAUACUCACAACUCUUCACCUCGACCAAAUCUUUACCAUUAAAAAUGUUAACAUGCAUUCUAUCCAUAGAAUGAUACAAGAGUGACCUACUGUGGAAGUAGAUUAUCCACAGGUGACUUGAUUUGGGCGUAAUAAGACCUCCAUUGAGAAUUACUGGAACACUCAUUUUCCUCAAAAUACUAUUGGAAUCUGUAGUUAAAGUCAGUUCCAUAAGGGACCACGGUGGAAAAUACCCAUGCUGAGGUGUCAUGGAAAAUACUGCACAACAUACAAAACCAAUGACAUUAUUGUUAUUGUCAUGCCUAAUAGGAGAUCCAACUUAGCAUUUCACUUCCUGGAGUAACUAUUUGAAUGCUAUGAAAAUAGUCAGGGUAGGAUGGUGGGUUUGCCAGAAUGAAUGAAUUGUUUCAUCCAUGAAAGUGUCAUGCUACUGCAACGUUCCCUCUCCUAUAAUCUGGUAAUAUUUGUUGUUCUCAUCUUGUUCCCACCCAAUAGUGGUAGGAAAAGGAAGUUGAGGCAAAGAUUCCAACAACUUGCAAUGUUCCAAAUUUAAAUAUACAAGUUUAGAAAGCUUCCUCAGGCUAGGUAGUGUCACAAAAUCGUUUCCCCCUAAAUUUAAUAUUUCUAGCCAAUGUAAACAUUCAAUUGCAUCGGGAACUUGACUUAGAUGGCAAAAACUAAAGGCAACAACACGCAAACAAUAUGUUGGAUAGUCAAACACUUUGGAACAACCGCACAUAUUUUGAUCUUCAAGAGAGCUAAGACCAAAUAUGUUGUUGGGUAUGCUUACUAGAUUUUUGUAAUCUUUUAAGUUCAAGUAAACAAGCUUUUUUAGAAGUCCAAGAGAUGGAUCCAACUCCACAAGUUUUACACAUCCUUUCAAAUUUAGCUUUUCAAGAUUCGGGAACUCCAAAAUCUGUUAUCUUUUCUAGCUCUUUGGAGUUACUUAGAUCCAAUGUUCUCAAAUUGGGAAGAUACUGUGACAUGAAAACCAACAAAACUAGAGCAUUGCUUUGAUUAAAAGAUAAUUAUUUUCAAUUGGUUUAUAUUUCUAAAAUAAACAUUAAUAAUAAGAGAAUUUAUAUUACCUUCUUGUUUUUCCAUAGUUGUUUAAUGCUGCUUUUCUUCAAGAUCAAUUCUACAAGUUCAUUGGAGUUAAAACUUGUUGGCAAAUACUGGCAAGGAUAUGCCUCCCACUGAAUAAAUCUUAAUGCGUUUGAAAGACUCGUUGGGCUUCUUGAGAUAUAUGCAUUGAUGAUGAGCACUCUAAGAUUACUCAUUUUUGACAAGUGUUCAAAGUCCACCAUCUUUUCAUGAAUCAAAACUAUGGCUUCAACAUGUUUUUCCUAAAGUAUUGCAAAAAAAUAAAAAUAAAGAAAAAAUAAAUUACUUUCAAUAUUUAUAGUUUUUAUAAAAAUGAAAAUAUGUUUUUUUUCUUUUCUAUAUUUCUAAACAGCUACUUUACCAUAUUCUCCUUCAUAACAUUGCAAAUUUGUUUAUGGGACCACAACCUGAAUCAAAAGGGCUCUUUCAUGACAUAGCCUCCUUUGUAUCAAAGUAGUUGCAUGGUAACAAUCGCAUAUUUUAUUGUGUUCUAUGCUGAGAGUUUGAAAUAGGAUUUUCUUUUGUGCAUCGAGUGGAUUAUCAUGUAGUCUGUAAAUUUUAGUUACAUCAUCAAUAAAAAAAGAUGCACUAAAUUGGUGAGAGAUUUGGCCAUAUAAAGUCGUAGCAAGGGUUGUUUUCCCAAUUCCUCCAAUUCCACAAAUUCCUAUAGCACGAACACCAUCAACCGAGUUCAAAAGCAAAUGAUUUUGUAAUGCUUGUAUAGGAGAAUCAAUCUCAACUAAAUCUUUUGAAACACAUGAAUAUUUGCAUUCCAAUAUAUUGAUUAUCUUUUGAACAACCUCUUUAAUUUCUCUAGCUAGUGGCCUGAAAGUUCAAAAAGUUGUUCAAUAACAUUAUAUCAUCAUGUAUAAAAAAAAAUUAGUUUGAACACCAAAUAUUUGUUCUAAAGGGAAAACAAAAAACAUACUCUUUGAAUUUAGGUUUAAAUGUGUCAUUGGUCCCUGCACUUUCAUCAGAUUUUGGCAUUGGUCCCUGCACUUUUUUUUGUUUGGUAUUGGUCCCUGCACUUUGUAAAAAUAUUGGUAUUGGUACCUCUGUUAACUUUCUGUUAAAAAAAAAAAAACACAAAACCAACGGAGUGCCACGUGGCCCAAUCAUUUCACGCCAAGUGGGACCAAUACCAAUAUUUUUACAAAGUGCAGGGACCAAUACCAAUAUUUUUACAAAGUGCAGGGACCAAUACCAAUAGUUUUGUGUUUUUUUUUAACAGAAAGUUAACAGAGGGAUCAAUACCAAUAUUUUUACAAAGUGUAGGGACCAAUUCCAAACAAAAAAAAGUGUAGGGACCAAUGUCAAAAUCUGAUGAAAGUGCAACGACUAAAGACAUAUUUAAACCUUGAAUUUAUAUCCUAGACUCGUGCAUCAUCUCUUCACAUUCACCUUAUAUUUUUUGCCAAAAAAAAAACUAUAAGUUACUUACUUAUCAUGUAGAUCCCAACCAGAGAUAUCCCCCACUUGCUCUAGAGCUUCCCUCCAUAUUGACACCUUCUUAGAGUCUUGUUGGAAUCUUUGUUCAUGUUUGACAAAAGCUUCACUAUAAAUCUCACUUUGCUUCCGCACCUCAGAAGGAUCAACAUCAUAGAAAACAGGAAGAACAUGUUUUCCUGAUCCCUUAAUGCAUUCACAUAUCUUUUCUAAUUCUUGCAAACACCAUGUUGAGGAAGCAUAGUUUCUUGAAAAGAAUGCAACAAAAACCUGAGAUCCUUCGAUUGCUCGAAUGAGCUCGGGUCCGAUGGAUUCACCUUUUGGAAGAUUAGUGUCAUCCAAAAAUACAAUAAUGCCUUUUGUUUGAAGGGCAUCAAAAAGAAAAUCAGUGAAAUUGUUGCGAGUGUCUUCACCUCUAAAGAUGACAAACACAUCAUAAUGAUUUUUCUUUGAAGAAGUCACAAGAGCUGAAGAUGAGUUGUUGCUGCUAGCCAUCUGAAUAUACAAGUGUUUAGAGGAUUUGAUAUGGCAACGUGAAUGAAUCUAUCACACUUAAAAAAAGGAUAUAUUAUUAUUAUUAUGAACAAUGAACUUUAAGCGUUUGAUUUCGUGGCACUUUCUUUACAAUAAUUUGCUUCUUUUCAAUAAUGGAGCUUCUAUUCAAUAAUGGAGAUUAGUUGCUUCUUGACAGCUUCUCCAUGGGCCAUAUAUGGUGUUUUAGUCACUUUUAAAAUCAUUUUCCAAAAAACUAAAAAAACAAAAGUUAAUAAGAUAUUACCAAUCCUUUUAAAAUUGUUUUCGAAUUUUUGUCUCCACUAGAAACAUUAUAAAAAAAAAAUAUGAUGAAUAAAUCUAUAAAUUUAUCCUCCAAAGAUAUAACCACUCCUUUUAAAAUUGUUUUCGAAUUUUUGUUUCCACUAGACACAUUAUAAAAAAAAAUAAUAACUUAUUUUGUCAAAAAAAAAAACUUAUGAAUAAAUCUAUAAAUUUAUCCUCCAAAGAUUAAGAUUAUAUUACCUUUUCUUGUCAAAAAAAAAAAGAUUCUAUUACCUUUUAUAUAGAAUUAUUUAUCUUAUCAAAUCAGUCCAUGCAUAACGAAAUAUUAUGUCUUCUAAACUAAAAAAAAAAAUUGAAAAAAAAUCCUUGAAUGUUUAUGAUUAAUAGAAUAAUUGCCUUGCCUCUUUCAUAUAUGAAAUAUGUAUAUACACAGAAGUGUUAAAUGCCUAUUCAAUACAAAAUUAAGGCCUAUUCAAUACAAAGGUUGACUAAGAAUAUUUCCUAUUCUAAUACACCCCCGUAGUCGAAACUGGAGGCUGACGAAUGUUGAGACUAUCUCGGAAGUCAUCAAACAGCUGCAGCGGAAGACCCUUAGUAAAAAUGUCAGCUAUCUGGUAGCGUGACGGAACAUGCAUUACGCGAACUUGACCGCGAGCAACCUUUUCUCGCACAAAAUGAAUAUCCAUCUCAAUGUGUUUUGUGCGUUGGUGUUGGAUGGGAUUACCUGAUAAAUAGACAGCACUAACAUUAUCGCAAUAUACCAGAGUGGCUUUCGUGACAGGACACUGAAGUUCUAAUAGAAGAUUUCGAAGCCAACAAGAUUAAGAAACAACAUUAGCAACACCACGAUACUCCGCUUCUGCAUGCACUAGAACGAGAGAGAGUUGGUUGUCGUUUAGCAGACCAUGAAACUAAAUUAUCUCCAAGAUAAACACAAUAACCGAACGUGGACCUGCGGGUGUCUGGACAUCCUCCCCAGUCAGCAUCUGUAUAUGUGGUGAGUUUGUCAAUUGUGGAGGGAUAGAGAUGGAGGCCGUGAGUGCUUGUGCCUUUAAUGUAUCUAAUGAUUCGCUUCAAAGCAGUCAUGUGUUGUGUUUUUGGAUCAUGCAUAAAAAGGCAUACCUGUUGAACGGCAUAAGAGAUGUCAGGUCGUGUGAAGGUAAGAUAUUGCAGUGCACCAGCAAGACUUCUAUAUUCAGAGGGAUCAUGAUAUGGGUUGCCUGAGGUUCCAUUAAGUUUCGCUUUUGUAUCUACUGGAGUAGAAACUGGUUUGCAGGAUGACAUGGCAGCUCUCUCAAUGAUUUCUUCGGCAUAUUUAUUGAGAAAGAAACAUACCACCUGAGUGUCUUGUAACUGAGAUACCGAGGAAGUAAUUGAGAGGACCCAAAUCUUUCAUAGCAAAUUCGGAAUUCAGUUUAGACAUGAUGGACUGGCGAAGAGUGUCGGAUGAUGCGGUGAGAAUGAUAUCAUCCACAUAAAGAAUAAUAUAGGCAGUGUCAUCGCCACGGUGGUAGAUGAAUAAGGAGUGAUCACAUACACUAUGAGAGAAACCCAAAGUAGCAACAAAAUCAGUGAAGCGUUGGUACCAAGCACGAGGCGCCUGUUUCAGACCAUAGAGAGACUUCUUCAGCAAACACACAUAAUCAAGGUGUUGAGGAUCACGAAAACCGGGAGGCUGGUACAUGUACACAGUUUCAUUAAGGUUCCCAUGUAGGAAUGCAUUUUUAACGUCUAAUUGAUGCAAACACCAUGAUUUUGAAAGAGCAAUACUUAGAACCGUCCUUAUAGUUGCAGGUUUAACUACUGGACUGAAAGUUUCAUCACAAUCGACACCAGUCUGCUGAUUGGAACCAUUUCCGACUAACCGACCCUUGUACCUCUCAAAAGAACCAUCAGCUUUCUUCUUAUGCCUGAAAAUCCAUAAACUUCGAAUAAUAUUAGCAUUAGAAGGACGUGGCACUAAAUCCCACGUCUUAUUAUCAAUAAGAGCAUCAUAUUCGUCUUUCAUGGCCAUUUUCCAAUUAUGAUCCUGUAAUGCAUUAAUAGGAUUGGUAGGCAAAGGAGAAAUUUGGUUUGAACUAGAGGUGUGGAGAUUAAGUAGUUAACGAGGCUUGAAGAUGCCGUGUUGUGCUCGAGUUGUCAUUUGAGGAGAGAGUUGAGGGUUGGCUAAAAGAGGAUUAGGUGGAGGUAUUUGAUGGGGAGAUGCCGUGUUAGGCGUAAUGGUGAGUUGUGGAGAAGUUUGUACUUGUGGAGAUGGAGCUACUGUUGGUUGGUGUGUGGUCGUGUUGAUGGAAUAUGGUGUGGUAAGUGGUGUUGCCGUGGUGGUGGGAGGCUGGUCGUGCGAGUUAGGUUCAUUUGUAGGAAGGAUUGAUGUAUGUUGAAAUAAAUGAUAAGGAAAUGGUGUAUCACUUGUAUCCAAAAAAUUAUAGCAUGUGGACUCGGGAAUAUUGGAAUUUGAGAAAGGAAAAGUGUUUUCGUCAAAGAUAACGUGUCUUGAAAUGAUGAUUUUACGACUUGACAACUCAAAACAUUUGUAACCUCUAUGAUUAGAUGGAUAUCUUAAAAAUACACAUGGUGUUGAUCUUGCUUGAAGUUUAUUUCUUGUAGUGGAAGGGAUGAGGGGAAAACAUAGACAACCAAAGACUUUAAGAUGAGAGUAGGAUGGAGAUUUUUGGUAGAGAAUUGUGGUUGGUGUUUGAAGAGCUAGUUUCUUGGUGGGUAGGAUGUUUAAGAGAUAAGUAGCCAUUUGAAGUGCGUGAUGCCAAAAAGAAGGUGGCAGUGACGCGUGAGCAAGGAGAGUGCGAAUGAUGUUAUUGAUAGUACGAAUUUUUCGCUCAGCUUUUCCAUUUUGAGGUGAUGUGUGAGGACAUGAAAAUCUGAAUAUCAUUCCAUUUUGCUUACAAAAUUGAUGAAAAUGAGAGUUGUCAUACUCCUUUCCGUUAUCACAUUGAAAACAUUUAAUAUCUUUUUCAAAUUGUGUUUUAAUGUGAUUACGAAAUUGGAGAAAAAUGGAGUGAGCUUGUGAUUUAUUUGUUAGAGGAAAAGUCUACAAAAAAUCCGUAAAAUCAUCAAGAAAUAAAAUAUAGUAGCGAUGACCACCGGAACUAAGAAUUGGUGAUGUCUGUUAUCAUGGUUUUUGGGUGCCAAGCCAUUAAUUGGACUUGAACCUUUUGACCGUUGAUAUUCUCUAUUUUUUCUUGGGAAGGGCAAAAUUGAGAAAAACCCUUAGAUUCUAAGUUCGGGGGUCGGAACUAAGUUCGGGGGAAGGUGUUAGGCACCCGGAGCGAUUAUGGUAUUCCAUAAGAACCGUUCUCCUAAGUUUAUUUCUACGCUUUAGUUUUAUUGCUUAUUCGUAUAAAAGGAAGUGUGAUUAGUUAAGAAUGGGGGGUGAGAAGAAGUAGAAUUUGAUUUUAUUUCGGCUUGGAUGAGUUUUGACUCAUUGCCUACGUACCCUUUUAAGGGAUCAAAACCGUUCGUAGUUCAUUCUCAAAAAUGGUUUUUGUUUUUGUUGGUUGAUUUUAAGUUUGAAAAGAAAUUUUGAAGAAAGGAGAUGAGAGGCCUCAAGGGCAUAAGAUUUGGAAAGUGUGAGGUGGAAUUAGUCAUUUUGCAAAAAUAAAGUCCAAGGAGGAUUAAGAUUUAUUGAAAAUUUUACUUAAGAAAAUAAAGGGGGAAACAAGGAGUUUUGACUCCAUUUUAUUUUCAAAAAGGUUUUCAAGUGUUAUUUGCAUGUUUUGGAAAAAAGUUGAUUUUUAUCUAAGUGUUUAAGCCUAAGCAUUCAUCUAACCAUACAAUCCUAUGCAUACAUCUAAGGUGAGUGUGUGCGUGCCGGUGCGUCAUAGUGUCCAUAGUCCAUAUUACAAAAAUUCCCUAAAUACAUUCUAUGGCCUCUUUGCCAAGCUACAAACCAAUGGUAACAAAUUACAUCACCAAAUGAAUUAAAACUUGCAAAAAAUAAAUGCUAGGCUUAAAGAAAGUGGAGAGUGGAGAGGGUGGUGGAAUGCUAUGAAAUGUAUGACACAUGAGAUGAAAUGGUUAGUAAUCAUAAAGCACAAAAUAGUAGGAAGUAAUUAAAAGGAAAUGCAUAAAAAUGGCAAAGAAAAGGUAAUAAAGUGGCAAUAAACCUAAAAACUUUGAUGUGAUACCUAAAGGUGCUUGUAACCCAUAAUCAUCACAUCAUGGCAAUUUUGAAAGAAAUUUUGUUUCAAGCCAUGACAUGAAAUUAAUGGAAACACAUGCAAGCAAGGUAUCACACCAAAUUCAUAGAGAAAUUUGACACUUUAUUCUCUAAAACAAACACUUGUUGCUCGUAAAACAAGAAAUCCAUAAAAUCAUAUUCAAAACAGCAAAAAGAAGCACAUGUCCAGAGGCAUAUUCAUCAUAAGAUAUGGUAUCAUUUAUUCAUAACACAUAUCAAAGUAUCAAGAACAAAAACAUAGCAAAAAGUAUACCAAAAGUGUAAAAACACAUGGAAAUUAGUUCAUGCCAUUUUAACAUUUUUUACAUGCAAGAAAACACCAUAAAAAUGCCAAAAAUAUACCAAGAAACAACUAAGAAUUUUUUAGGAAUUUUUAUAAAAAAUGUAGGCAAGUAACAGGUUCAGAUAGCAAGAAAAGCAGUGCAAAUAGCAAGAAAAUAACAAAAAAAACAUAAAAAGAACUAAGCCCAAACCAAAGCCCAAUCCUACAAGGAUCCGGAUGCACAGGGGACGUACGAUUGAUCCAGGGUUCUGAAACCCUAGAUCAAACGGCCAGGAACAAAAGGGACUGGACCGGUCCGGUUCACUAGCUUAUAUAAACAAGAGAGCACCGGUUUUUUCCAUUUUCCAAAUCCUUUCUCUCUCUUCUCUCAGAGCUUCUCUCUCUAAACUCUUCUCUCUUCUCUCACCUCCACCGGUUUCUGGCUAUGUCGCCGGAGAAGAUGAAGGUGACCGGAAACUUCAUCUUCUCCGAUGAACCUCCUAGGGUUCCGGCGAAGAGAUUUCCAGAAUUUCAAGAUUCUUACAUCUUUUGAUUCGUCUUAUUCUACUGGUUACGUUUCUGGUACUUGUUUUCACAUGCAAGGUCUGGAUCCUUAUGGAUCUAGGUUUGAACUGACGGUUUUGAUUUUUUUAAGUUUUGGAAAUUCUGGAUCUGUUCGUUUUUUACUUCACUGAUUCAUGCUUUUUCAAAGAAAGUGAUGAUGAAGUUGUUUACCUGUGGUUUCGGUUGGAAUUCUGAUGACGAUUUUCUUCGGAAAACUGUGAUCUGCUUGCUGCGUUCUUGAUGAUUUUUGUUGUUGAGCCACUGAAAAUAAAUCAGUAUUUUUGCACGCGAAUCUUCAUCUUCUUCACCGGUUUAAACCUAGCUUCUUCCCUCUUCUUUCUCUUCACUGUUUCCUCGUGAUCAGUGCUUGAGUUCGUCGCGUUUCAGUGAUGAACUCGCACUUUGAAUUGCGAGGAAAUUGGUUCUGUGAUGAUGAUUCCGUAUUGAAUCUCUGAGAAUCAAUGAGUAAUCAAAGAAACUUGGUUGAGUUCUGUUGAAUUUGGUGUUUUUGUGUUGAUUCGGUGGAAAUCAAUGGUGGAUUGAGGUGGUUAGGGUUUCUGCCAUUGAUGAAUCUUUGAAGCUCUUUGUUGAUACUGUUUUGAUCUAACAGAAAAGAGAGAGAAAGUUGGAUUCUGUUUUGGUGAGUUGGCGCUUGGUAAAUGGAAAACGUGUGAAAUUCAUUGCCACUGUGUUGCUUUUAUAGCUGACAAGUGUGUAUUGGAACCAAUAGGAAACUGACAUGUGGCAUUGGACUGGAAAAAAAAAGCGCUGCCCUGUAAUUUUAACUUGAAGGACCUGUUUGCAAAUUUGAAAAAUAUAUGGACUGGACUGAAAAAAAGAAAGUAAGGACUAAAAUGCAAUUAAAAAAAAUUUGGACAAAACAUGCAAUUUUGGGAUCUCAAUUUGAGGGACCAAAAUGCAAUCUAAAAAUAAAAUUGAAUAAAAAACGUAAUUUGACCAAACGUAAAGCGAAACAAAAAUAAAAUUGACAAAACGGACUAAAACGAACCAAUGGCCUAAAUGAGGUACUUCAAAGUAACCUCCCCAUGCCGAAAUUUUAUGUGAAAUGACCAAAAUGCCCCUAGGGCUAAAAAUGACCUAAACAGAUUCAAAUUGACUCGACACUGACUCAGAUGCAAGUUUGAAAUGAAUUUAACAAGGUUCACUAAUGAAAUGUUAAAAAUCAAUCUGAAAAGACUCAGAGACAGUCACAAGGAUGAAAAUGGGUCCCACUGCAUGAAAUGACCAAAAUACCCUUCUGUACGACUUUUUGCAAAUUUUGAAAUAAACUGUAGAAAAAGCAAUGUAAUGAUUCAGAGACACUUUUGAAUGACUUACAAGACAAGUAAAGACAUUUCGAAAGGUUUUAUGCAAGAAAAACACAGGUAAAAUUGUGAUUGAAAAUACUGCGAGGCAGAGACAAUUUGAACUGUGCAGUUGAAAUUUGAUAAUUGACAAAGUUUGAAAUGAAAUUGGGCCCAGUAUUUUUAGGUCCAAAAACAGGGUAUAACAGCUGCCCCUAUUUAAGUUUCUUUGUCUGGAGAGUCAAGAGACGGAGUCUUUGGCUUGACAGGACGAAGAUACUUAAAUAUUAGCAUUUGCACUGUGUUUGGACGUAAAAAUACGCCUACCCAUUUUCAAAUAAUAUGCAUGCCAUGCAUCAUUUGGAUUAUGAAUGCAAGACCUCAUGGGGAUUGGAAUUAACAAAAUAUGUCGUAUCCAUUGCGGGAUUGGUAGACAUUGACAAAGAUAGUGAAUAGCAGAGUAACGGGAAACUAGAAACAAGUUGGACAGGUACAAGCUGUUCUUGGAUUCAAACUAGCCACUUGACCGGGGAUGAAACAAACAGACAACUGCGAGUUGUUCUUAUGGAUUCGAACUGGUCACUUCACAGGGGAUAGAGGUUACUGGACAAACAUGAGUUGUUCUUAUGGAUUCGAACUGGUAACUCACUUGGGGACAUUGGAAAGUGCGAGUUGUUCUUAUGGAUUCGAACUGGUGACCCGACUGGGAAAAAGAGAAAAUUGGCAAGUACGAGUUGUUCUUACGGAUUCGAACUGGUGACUCGACUGGAAAAGGAGAAAAUUGACAAGUACGAGUUGUUCUUGUGGAUUCGAACUGGUGACUCGACUGAAAACAUGUAAAAUUGGCAGGUACGAGUUGUUCUUAAGGAUUCGAACUGGUUACUCGACUGAAAGCAAGGCAAAUAGACAGGUGCGAGCUUGUUCUUGGAUGCGAACUGGUUACUCCACCGGAGACAAAUACAAAAAUAGACAGGCGCAAGCUGCUCUUGGAUCGAGUUAGCCACUUGAGCGAACAGAAACAGAUAGACGGGUACAAGCUGUUCUUGGACUUGAACUAGCCACUUGACCCAAAAUCAUAGACACAUAGACAGGUACGAGCUGUUCUUGGAUUCGAACUGGUAACUCGAUCGGGGUCAUGGAAAAGUAGAUAGGUACGAGUUGUUCUUGGAUUCGAACUGGUCACUCGACCGAAAGCAAAGGCAAAUAAACAGGUGUGAGCUUGUUCUUGGAUGCGAACUGGUUACUCCACCGGACAGAAACAGAUAGACAGGUACAAGCUGCUCUUGGAUUGAGCUAGCCACUUGACCAAACGGAAACAUAUUGACAGGUACAAGCUGCUCUUGGAUUGAGCUGGGCACUCGACCGAUAACAUAAGCAAAUUGAUAUGUACAAGCUGUUCUUGGACUUGAACUAGCCACUUGACCAAACAGAAACAUAUUCACUGGGGAUUGGUUUUUUUUUUUUUGACAAAAUAUAGAUUGAGAUUGACUUGACGUCGAUUUGAAUUGAAAGGCAGAAAUUGACCGAUAUUAUUGGCUCACAAGGUUUUGACAGAGAACCUGACAUGAGUAUCGAAUUGAGACUGAUGUUGACAUUGGAAAUGCAAUAUGCACGGAUGAUAUAACAGUUUCAUUAAAUGCAUGGGCACGUAAUAUGCAUGAUUAUGCAUGUAUGAAUGCUUGUAAUGCAUGACUGUUGGCAGUUUGUAGGCACGACUUCACGGGGAAGACAAGACAUUAGAGUAUUGGGCACGUAGUGGCUCGUGCUAUAUUACACAUUCUUGGAAAUCCUCUUUGGAGAUGACGUCGUUGGGAGACGUAUCGGAACCAUGGCUGAGGGCAGGUAGGUAUGCAACUUGCUGGGGAUAGAAUCUCGGAAGACUCUACUGGGAAUAAUGCCGGAUGUAUCGUGGACGUCGCAUCUGUGGUCAAUGCUUUUUGCAUGUUAUUCUCUCAAUUUUCAUUCAUUCAUUUUUUUGCAUCCCAUUUUUGCCUGGAUCGCCCUUUCGGGUUUUCGAUCCACCGGGGAAAUAAAUUCUUUUCAGUGCCCCAUUUUUGCCUGAACUGCCCUUUCGGGUUGUCAAUCCAGCGGGGUGCUCAUUUUUGCCUAAGUCGCCCUUUCGGGUUUUCAACUUAGCGAGCCUAUUCAUUUUCAUGCAUUUUCAUUCUAUUUUUUCAUUCUUGCCAUUGACCACAGACUAUCCUGGAGGAGAGCCUGCUUGUAACAUAUAUUGAAAUAGACAUCAACAUACUCUCACUCAUGCAUGUUUCAUUUGAAUGUACCCUGUUGCUCAGGUUCGCUUUUCAAAAUAGACAAAAAAAUUUCAAUUUUCAAAAAUGUUUGUUUCAAGCAUUGUCAUUAUCAAAAGAGAAAGAAAAUGCUUUGUAUAUAGCUUUGAAAGUAGAAGAAAAUAGAGUUUUCAAACAAAAGCAAAGGCUCAACUUGAUGUAUAAGAGUGGUGGUCAGCCAAAGGCAUGACUCCACGGAUUCACAAAGCUUGGAAAAUGGUAAUUUUAUUGGUUGGUGGUACAUUGAACACGGUAACCACUACAGUUCUUAGAAACUUUGAAUUCACAAGUACAGAAGCUUUUGAUGAAGAUAGGCAUUAACAGCUGCAGAUGCCCCAAGGGGGACGGUGGUUGGCCAGAUAUAGUUACUUGCCUUUUGUUUCAAUCUCAUUUUUGCCUGAACCGCCCUUUCGGGUUUUCGGCUCAUCGAGACGCUCAUUCUUGCCUGAGUUGUGUAUAAUCUCAGCGAGCUUUUCAUAUUUGUUUUUUUGUCCCUUAUUUUGCCUGGACCGCCCUUUCGGGUUUUCGAUCCACCGGGAAGCGCAUUUUUGCCUAGGCCGCCCUUUCGGGUUUUCGACCUACCACGCUGUUCUUUUCAUAUUUCUAGGCAAAGUAUUUCUUGACUAUAUCGGCAUUCACUGGAUUUGGAAGUUCUACACCAUCCAUAUGUGUAAGGAUUAAAGCACCACCGGAGAAGGCCUUCUUGACAACAUAAGGACCUUCAUUGUUAGGCGUCCACUUGCCCCUUGGGUCGGGUUGCUGGCUUAUCCUCCUUUUCAAUACGAGUUCCCCUACCUUGAAUUCUCGAGGAUGGACUUUCUUGUCAAAAGUAGUCUUCAUUCUUGCUUGAUAUGACUGUCCACGAGCCAUGGCAUCCAUACGUUUUUCCUCAAUCAAAUUCAACUGAUCAUACCGGCUUUGGCACCAUUCAGCCUCGGAUAACUUUGCUUCCAUGAUCACACGGAGAGAUGGGAUCUCUACUUCCAAAGGGAGAACUGCUUCCAUACCAUAUACAAGAGAGAAAGGGGUUGCCCCGGUCGAACUGCGCACAGUAGUACGGUAGCCAUGCAGAGCAUAGGGUAACAUCUCAUGCCAGUCCUUGUAAGUGGUUACCAUCUUCUGGACAAUUCUCUUGAUAUUCUUGUUGGCGGCCUCAACUGCACCAUUCAUCUGAGGUCUAUAGGGAGAAGAGUUAUGAUGCUCAAUUUUGAAUUCCUUACAAAGAGCUUGCACCACAUUGUUGUUCAGGUUGGUACCAUUGUCGGUAAUAAUCUUGCUGGGAACACCAUAUCGACAGAUGAUGUUGUUCUUGAUGAACUUAGCUACCACUUGCUUGGUCACAUUGGUAUAAGAUGCUGCUUCAACCCAUUUGGUGAAGUAGUCAAUUGCCACUAAGAUGAAACGAUGACCAUUUGAAGCCUUCGGUUCGAUUCUUCCAAUCAUGUCGAUGCCCCACAUUGAGAACGGCCAUGGGGAUGACAUAACAUUGAGAGCAUGCGGAGGCACAUGAAUCUUAUCAGCAUAGAUUUGACAUUUGUGGCAUUUUCUGGCGUACUGGUAGCAGUCAUGCUCCAUGGCCAUCCAGUAGUAACCUGCCCGUAGCAACUUUCUUGACAUAGUAUGCCCUGUAGCAUGGGUCCCGAAGGUACCGUCGUGUACAUCAUGCAUUAACUGCUCUGCUUCAUGUUCAUCAACACAUCUUAACAAUACCAUGUCAUAGUUUCUCUUGUAUAGAAUAUCUCCAUCUAACAGGAAUCUACUGGCCAAUCUUCUCAAGGUCUUCUUGUCUUGUUUGGAAGCACCCGGCGGAUACUCACGGCUCAGCAAGAACUGUUUGAUGUCGUAGUACCAGGGUCUAUAGUCAACCACAUUUUCACCAGCCUGAUCGAUCACAUCCCCAAUAGCAAACACAUGGGAAGGUCUUUCAAGGCGUUGCACUUUGAUUACUGGCACAUCAUUCCAAUGGUUUACUCGAAACAUGGAGGAUAGAGUAGCAAGAGCAUCAGCCAUUUGGUUCUCAUCACGAGGAAUAUGGUGCAGCUCAACCUUUGUAAAAUAUGUCAGAAGACGUCUCGCAUAAUCACGAUAAGGAAUCAACUUAGCAUGGUGGGUCUCCCAUUCACCCUUUAUCUGAUUGAUGACGAGCGCAGAAUCUCCAUAGAUGUCGAGGUGUUUGAUUCUCAUGUCAAUUGCUUCCUCGAUCCCAAAGAUACAUGCUUCAUACUCAGCCAUAUUGUUGGUGCAUUCGAACAAAAUUCGGGCGGUAAAAGGAAUGUGAUGCCCCUGUGGGGAUACAAUGACUGCCCCAAUUCCUUUACCAUAAGCAUUGACAGCGCCAUCAAAGACUAAGCCCCACUUGCUAUUGGGAUCUGGACCUUCAUUAAUCAACGGUUCUUCGCAGUCUUUGGAUUUCAGAUACAUGAUCUCUUCAUCAGGGAAAUCGAAUUCAAUCGGCUGAUAAUCAUCAAGAGGUUGGUAAGCAAGAUGAUCUGCAAGAAUGCUACCUUUGAUUGCCUUUUGAGUUUUGAACACAAUAUCAUAUUCAGACAAAAGCAUCUGCCAGCGUGCAAUCUUCCCAGUAACAGCAGCUUUCUCAAAGAUGUACUUUAUCGGAUCCAUUCUGGAUAUCAACCAAGUUGUAUGAUUCACCAAAUAAUGACGCAGGCGUUUGGCAGCCCAAGCUAGAGCACAACAAGUCUUCUCAAGCAGUGUAUACCGAGUUUCGCAAUCGGUAAACUUCUUGCUUAGGUAGUAGAUAGCAUGUUCUUUCUUUCCAGUUUCAUCUUGUUGACCAAGUACACAUCCCAUGGAUUCAUCAAAUACUGCCAAAUACAUAAUCAAAGGCCUUCCUUCCACGGGUGGGACAAGGAUAGGUGGUUCCAGCAGGUAAUUCUUGAUGCUGUCAAAAGCUUCUUGGCAUUCAUCAUUCCAUACAACAGGCUGGUUCUUUCUGAGUAGCUUGAAGAUCUCAUAUGGUAUAUCAUCAUCCUCUUCAUCUUCAGCUUCACACACAGGGAAUUCAAAAUUUGGAGGAACCGUAGGAUUACUGUGUUCAACGGGUUUAUUAUGGUUCAAACUGCAUAAAAUGGUUGGAUGAUUUUAGAAAGAGGUUUUUUAUGCAGAUUUUUGAAAUUAAUAAGAAAAAUACAGAUUUUUUGGUUUUUUCUGGCAUUACCAUUAUUUCCAAGAAAAAAGGCACUAAAAAAAAAAGUAGUCGUGAAAGAAACGACAAUUUUUUAUUAACCAACGGCAAUGCCGAAACAAACAUGCCCUUACAGAAAAUAUCACUGUCGCUUCGGGCAGAGCGAGAGGAUUGUUAUUUUUGAAAAACAAAACACUUAAGCAACAAGACACAUUACUCGGAAACAUGCAUGAUUGAAGGAAUGAUGAUGGCAUCCCAAUUUCUCGCAAUGCCUCCUGGUAUAACAAACAUAGGCCUAGGAUCAAAUCCAGUCGUCUUUUCGGUAAUUGCAUUGGCAAACCCAGCACUUUAGAAGGUUCCUGUGGAGACUCCUGAAGUUGGGGAAUAUCCGAGACCCUCUUUAUGCUUAUUCUCAAGGAGUUGUAUUAACUUGCCCCAGCCAGCAGCUUGUCCUUCUUGGAUGUCAUUGACAGUCAGAUAAUUGUCGUUCAUCAGUCUCUGGAUGUCAUUCUGAACAACGUAGCAACCCCAAGGAUUAUGGAAGCAUUCUGGGCAACUGGCAUGAUCGUGGUCAAACAGAGAGGCUUGGCAUAACCCGAUGUGUAGUGGCACCAGAGGAGUUGCAACGUUACAAACGUCCGAUCUGGGAGCUUCCUCAUAUACCUCAAUCAUGUUCACAGCAGCGUGAUUUGGAAGAGGGUUGUCGAGGACAUGAGGGACGUUAUUCUCAAAAGUCAAUUUUCCUUGGUCUAUGAGUUUUUUUACAAUGUACCUCAACGCGUAGCAUCCUUCGACAUCAUGACCCAUAGCACCUUGAUGGAAAUCACACUUGAGGUCCGAACGGAACUUGGGAGGCGAUGGAUCAGGUGGAGGCUUGCCCUGUCUGGUUGUGCAGUGCCCUUUGAGAAGUAGAGUCGGGAGUAAUUCAGCAUAUAACAUUGGUAUCAGAGGAAAGGUAGGUCUAGCCUGUUGCUGCUGUCGUUGUUGAGCUGGAGGCUGUUGUUGCAUUCGCUGGACGACGGCAUUAACGGGUACCUGAGGUUGACCCGAUGGCAAAGGAUACUGAUGAUAGAAUGGUGGAAAGAAGGGAUGCUGAGAGUAUUGCGCAUACGUGUACGACGGAGGUAGCUGAGCAGCAUUGAUGUCCAUGACCUGGAACGUGAUCAGAAAGGUUUCGGGACAGAUAGUUAUUGGCAGAUCUAUCUCCCCAAGAAUGUUCUUACGGGAUCCGUCGAAGGCUUUAACCAGAAAGGUGCUCAUUCCCAAGGGAGUUCCCCGAUAGCUCAAUCGAUCCAGAGUGGCCGUUGUCUGAGGCAAGGUGGUAUUGACAGAGACAUGGUUCUUCCCAGGAAUCUGGCCAUUAUUGACAGUACCAGAAACGCCAGCUGCAGUACUGGGAGUGAAGAACGGUGGAAGCCCAUACGGAAACCCAGCUGUCAUAGCAAAGCGAGCGUCUGCAGAUGUGGUUGGGAGCACGCUUGUAGUCACCGGUGCAGCUGUGGCUAUAGGGAUAGCCGUAGCUGAUUGUUCUUGAGCGGCUAGCAGAGCAGUCAUGACAUCAUUAGCUUUAGCCAAUUCCUCCCUUAGAGUGGCUAACUCGGUACGGAGCUGAGCGUUCUCUUCUUCCAUAGCCUUUUUCCUUCUUCUGUACUCUCUGGUUCGAUCGAUUCUAUCAGGUUCGUAGACCUUCUGAGCACGAGCCACUUUUCAAACUGUGGCAGAGGAACCAGGAAGUAGUGAGCAAUUGGAAGCCUUUGUGACCGAUGUAUGAUGCAUAUGAUGCAUGAUAUGCAGAUGCAAAUGCAAAAACGACUCUUUUUAAUGUCAUCGAAGGACUUUUGAAACAAAUUCGAAACAUUGUAAACACUGUUAAACAAGCAAAAUAAGGUUUUACAAUGGUAAACUUAUGAAUACAAGUUCACACCUGCGGUGUCUUACAAUGUUUCGAUCUGUCUAAAAAAAUCUUCGAUGUAUGCGUGAAAAAAAACUUAUGCAUGAAUGCAUGUAUGCAUGGUUGUUUUGUUUAGUUACAAAGAACAAGGUGGGUUGAGAUUCAAAGUAACAGGGCCAUGGAUGGACACGGCGUCCGGUGAACUAAGGCUUUGGAUAGUAGUAACCAAGGUUCUAACACAGUUCCCAAACUGCAACCUCUCUCACAUAUAUCAUGGUAGUACAGGACGACACCCGUUCCAUGAUUAUUUGUGAGAAGGUCUAGUUUGAGUGUAGUAUCGCGUGACGACUAAAGUUUGAGACAACACUCAAUUUAGCCACCGCACUACGUCCUAAAAAGGCUAGGAUGGGUUUGGUAACUACGGUUCAUAGCUUCGUCGAACAAUUGAAAGUGAAGUGCCUAAGCAUGACAACACACGCCGACAAUAUCACCUUCAAAAUGCCUCAGCUAUGUGAGAUUGAUCGCAUAAUCCAAUACACGAGGCAACCCCCGGAUCGAAUUGUCGAUUAUAUCUCUACCUAAACAUAAGUUCACUCAGCCCGGGUAUAGGACUUUUGAUAUUCUCACCCCACACGUCAAAUGAAAAUAAACAAGUAUUCACAUAUGUAAGCAAUAAAACAAAGCGUAAAUAUAAACUAAGGAAAACUAGGCGCGACCCGCUAAAAAGAAUCCCCAGUGAAGUCGCCAUUUCUGUUAUCAUGGUUUUUGGGUGCCAAGCCAUUAAUUGGACUUGAACCUUUUGACCGUUGAUAUUCUCUAUUUUUUCUUGGGAAGGGCAAAAUUGAGAAAAACCCUUAGAUUCUAAGUUCGGGGGUCGUUUUCGCUACGGGAAGGUGUUAGGCACCCGGAGCGAUUAUGGUAUUCCAUAAGAACCGUUCUCCUAAGUUUAUUUCUACGCUUUAGUUUUAUUGCUUAUUCGUAUAAAAGGAAGUGUGAUUAGUUAAGAAUGGGGGGUGAGAAGAAGUAGAAUUUGAUUUUAUUUCGGCUUGGAUGAGUUUUGACUCAUUGCCUACGUACCCUUUUAAGGGAUCAAAACCGUUCGUAGUUCAUUCUCAAAAAUGGUUUUUGUUUUUGUUGGUUGAUUUUAAGUUUGAAAAGAAAUUUUGAAGAAAGGAGAUGAGAGGCCUCAAGGGCAUAAGAUUUGGAAAGUGUGAGGUGGAAUUAGUCAUUUUGCAAAAAUAAAGUCCAAGGAGGAUUAAGAUUUAUUGAAAAUUUUACUUAAGAAAAUAAAGGGGGAAACAAGGAGUUUUGACUCCAUUUUAUUUUCAAAAAGGUUUUCAAGUGUUAUUUGCAUGUUUUGGAAAAAAGUUGAUUUUUAUCUAAGUGUUUAAGCCUAAGCAUUCAUCUAACCAUACAAUCCUAUGCAUACAUCUAAGGUGAGUGUGUGCGUGCCGGUGCGUCAUAGUGUCCAUAGUCUAUAUUACAAAAAUUCCCUAAAUACAUUCUAUGGCCUCUUUGCCAAGCUACAAACCAAUGGUAACAAAUUACAUCACCAAAUGAAUUAAAACUUGCAAAAAAUAAAUGCUAGGCUUAAAGAAAGUGGAGAGUGGAGAGGGUGGUGGAAUGCUAUGAAAUGUAUGACACAUGAGAUGAAAUGGUUAGUAAUCAUAAAGCACAAAAUAGUAGGAAGUAAUUAAAAGGAAAUGCAUAAAAAUGGCAAAGAAAAGGUAAUAAAGUGGCAAUAAACCUAAAAACUUUGAUGUGAUACCUAAAGGUGCUUGUAACCCAUAAUCAUCACAUCAUGGCAAUUUUGAAAGAAAUUUUGUUUCAAGCCAUGACAUGAAAUUAAUGGAAACACAUGCAAGCAAGGUAUCACACCAAAUUCAUAGAGAAAUUUGACACUUUAUUCUCUAAAACAAACACUUGUUGCUCGUAAAACAAGAAAUCCAUAAAAUCAUAUUCAAAACAGCAAAAAGAAGCACAUGUCCAGAGGCAUAUUCAUCAUAAGAUAUGGUAUCAUUUAUUCAUAACACAUAUCAAAGUAUCAAGAACAAAAACAUAGCAAAAAGUAUACCAAAAGUGUAAAAACACAUGGAAAUUAGUUCAUGCCAUUUUAACAUUUUUUACAUGCAAGAAAACACCAUAAAAAUGCCAAAAAUAUACCAAGAAACAACUAAGAAUUUUUUAGGAAUUUUUAUAAAAAAUGUAGGCAAGGAACAGGUUCAGAUAGCAAGAAAAGCAGUGCAAAUAGCAAGAAAAUAACAAAAAAAACGUAAAAAGAACUAAGCCCAAACCAAAGCCCAAUCCUACAAGGAUCCGGAUGCACAGGGGACGUACGAUUGAUCCAGGGUUCUGAAACCCUAGAUCAAACGGCCAGGAACAAAAGGGACUGGACCGGUCUUGGACCGAUCCGGUUCACUAGCUUAUAUAAACAAGAGAGCACCGGUUUUUUCCAUUUUCCAAAUCCUUUCUCUCUCUUCUCUCAGAGCUUCUCUCUCUAAACUCUUCUCUCUUCUCUCACCUCCACCGGUUUCUGGCUAUGUCGCCGGAGAAGAUGAAGGUGACCGGAAACUUCAUCUUCUCCGAUGAACCUCCUAGGGUUCCGGCGAAGAGAUUUCCAGAAUUUCAAGAUUCUUACAUCUUUUGAUUCGUCUUAUUCUACUGGUUACGUUUCUGGUACUUGUUUUCACAUGCAAGGUCUGGAUCCUUAUGGAUCUAGGUUUGAACUGACGGUUUUGAUUUUUUUAAGUUUUGGAAAUUCUGGAUCUGUUCGUUUUUUACUUCACUGAUUCAUGCUUUUUCAAAGAAAGUGAUGAUGAAGUUGUUUACCUGUGGUUUCGGUUGGAAUUCUGAUGACGAUUUUCUUCGGAAAACUGUGAUCUGCUUGCUGCGUUCUUGAUGAUUUUUGUUGUUGAGCCACUGAAAAUAAAUCAGUAUUUUUGCACGCGAAUCUUCAUCUUCUUCACCGGUUUAAACCUAGCUUCUUCCCUCUUCUUUCUCUUCACUGUUUCCUCGUGAUCAGUGCUUGAGUUCGUCGCGUUUCAGUGAUGAACUCGCACUUUGAAUUGCGAGGAAAUUGGUUCUGUGAUGAUGAUUCCGUAUUGAAUCUCUGAGAAUCAAUGAGUAAUCAAAGAAACUUGGUUGAGUUCUGUUGAAUUUGGUGUUUUUGUGUUGAUUCGGUGGAAAUCAAUGGUGGAUUGAGGUGGUUAGGGUUUCUGCCAUUGAUGAAUCUUUGAAGCUCUUUGUUGAUACUGUUUUGAUCUAACAGAAAGAGAGAGAAAGUUGGAUUCUGUUUUGGUGAGUUGGCGCUUGGUAAAUGGAAAACGUGUGAAAUUCAUUGCCACUGUGUUGCUUUUAUAGCUGACAAGUGUGUAUUGGAACCAAUAGGAAACUGACAUGUGGCAUUGGACUGAAAAAAAAAAGCGCUGCCCUGUAAUUUUAACUUGAAGGACCUGUUUGCAAAUUUGAAAAAUAUAUGGACUGGACUGAAAAAAAGAAAGUAAGGACUAAAAUGCAAUUAAAAAAAAUUUGGACAAAACAUGCAAUUUUGGGAUCUCAAUUUGAGGGACCAAAAUGCAAUCUAAAAAUAAAAUUGAAUAAAAAACGUAAUUUGACCAAACGUAAAGCGAAACAAAAAUAAAAUUGACAAAACGGACUAAAACGAACCAAUGGCCUAAAUGAGGUACUUCAAAGUAACCUCCCCAUGCCGAAAUUUUAUGUGAAAUGACCAAAAUGCCCCUAGGGCUAAAAAUGACCUAAACAGAUUCAAAUUGACUCGACACUGACUCAGAUGCAAGUUUGAAAUGAAUUUAACAAGGUUCACUAAUGAAAUGUUAAAAAUCAAUCUGAAAAGACUCAGAGACAGUCACAAGGAUGAAAAUGGGUCCCACUGCAGGAAAUGACCAAAAUACCCUUCUGUACGACUUUUUGCAAAUUUUGAAAUAAACUGUAGAAAAAGCAAUGUAAUGAUUCAGAGACACUUUUGAAUGACUUACAAGACAAGUAAAGACAUUUCGAAAGGUUUUAUGCAAGAAAAACACAGGUAAAAUUGUGAUUGAAAAUACUGCGAGGCAGAGACAAUUUGAACUGUGCAGUUGAAAUUUGAUAAUUGACAAAGUUUGAAAUGAAAUUGGGCCCAGUAUUUUUAGGUCCAAAAACAGGGUAUAACAAUGUCCAUAUAUCACUAUGCACAAUAUCAAAAGGUAAUAAGCUAGACGACAAUGACUCAUAAAAUGGUAACUUUAUUUGUUUUCCAAGUUGACAAGACUGACAAAAGAAAUUGUUCCGAAACUUGUUACAUAAGAUAGAAUUGUUUCGGUGAAGAGAAUUCAAAAUAGAUACUCCCGGAUGUCCUAAACGAUUAUGCCAUAUUUCAUUGGAUAAAGCAGCAAAGGUAGAUGGUGUGGUGCUUGGAUAGUAUGGUCUUGUGGUUAGAGGAUAAAGCUCACCUGAGCUAUUACAUCUCAUUAAAGGCAUCCCUGUCUGAAAAUCCUUCACAGAAAAACCAAAAGGGUCAAAUUCAACAGAAACUUCAUUGUCAAUGGUAAAUUUUCUCACAGAAACAAGAUUUUUGAUCAGUUUGAGUGCAUGCAAGACAUUGUUUAAGGUUAAGGGAUAUAGAGGAUUCUGUACUAAUGCAUUACCACAACCAAUAACAGGAAUAUUAUGACCACUACCGACAGUAAUAUUGUUGCUAAUAUUGGAAUAAGACGUAAGAUUACCUCCAUUUGCUGUCAUGUGAGAUGUAGCUCCGGUGUCCAUGUACCACUGUUCGUCAGGAGGAGCAAGAGAAAGAGAGUGCAUAGCGGCUUGGAUGUCUGUUGGUGCAUAUGAUGACGGAGUGGCAGCAACAUGCGCUUGUUGUGGUUUUGCUCCAAGAAUACCAUCCUGACGAUUUGGAACUACCUGUCUUUGCCAAUUUCCGGUUGUAGGAUAAGGACAAUGAGGAGUGGCCCAUGGCUGCCACUGUGCAUUCCAAGAAGGAUACUGGUAAGGAGGAUAAGCCCACUGAUGUUGCGGUGCCUGUGGUUGCUGCCAUGAUCCUUGUUGAUAGUUAUGAGAUCGUCCGCCUCGACCUCCACCUCGUCCGCGACCGCGACCACCACGGUUAUUACCAGAACCGCCACGACCACCACGACUGCCAUUAUUGUUGUUAUUGUUGCGGUUGGGACGAUGAGAAGGUGAAUUACCUGAGUUGUUGUCUUCUUGAGCGGCUAAGAAAGUGGAAUUGGCAGUGGUAACAGCCGUUCGUUUUGCACGUGCUGUUUCUUCCAAGACAACCAUGGAACGAGCUUUGUAAAAAGGAGGAAGAGUAUCAGAAUGGCGGAUUUGAGAACCGACAGUGUCAUAAGCUUCAGAAAGACCGGAGACAAGUUGAAGCACCAUACGAUCAUUGGAAACAGGUGCACCAACAUUAGCGAGUUGAUCGGAGAGAGACUUGAUGUGUUGGCAGUAUGACGAGGCAUCAGAAAAUUGUUCCAUGGAAAUUUUGGAAAAUUCUUGCUCGAGGUAGAGAGCUCUUGAAUUUUUGUUAUAAAAAAAUAUAUCAAAAAGGCGAUCCCAGGCAAGUUGAGCUGUGGAAUUACGUUCAAGAAUGGUAUGAAGCAGAUCAGUAGAGAUGGUUCCAUAAAUCCAUUGUAAAACAAUGGCAUCUAGGCGUUUCCAUAAGGCUGGAUUGGUUUCUUUGAGAGAGGGUGAGGAAGUGGGAUCGGUUGGUGAAGGGGGGAUGAUGUGGUCGAGAACAUCAUAUGCUUCGGCAUGGAUUUUGAAUAAUUCAGACCAUGUAUUGUAUUGGAUUUUCUCAAUGUCAAGGGUGACUUUGAUGAAGUUUGUGAUGUUAGAAACAAUGAGUGCAGGGUGAAUUGGAGAUACUGUGGUUUGGACAGCAUGUUUGGAUGUUGAUUUGGGAGAGGGGGGAGGAGUAUUUUCGGCCAUGAUGAUUUGAGGAAUUAGGGCCGGCGGCAAUUUGGAAGGAGUUCAUUGAGAUUUUAAAUAUUAAUGUGGUGACAUUACAAUAUUUGGAAGACCAAGUUCAGAAUUUACUUUUUUUUUUCUUCUGAAAGAAGUUCAGAAAUUACUUAAAAAUUAACUAAAUUUAAUGAAAGGGGAUAUUUACAUAAGGAUGAGAAGUGAAAAUCAUAAUUAAACAACUCUGCAACUGAACUUUGAAUUAGUAUGACCUUUUACACUAAUCAGAAUAUUAACACAAAAGUUAAAAAAAUAAGUAAACCACUAUACCCCCUCCUCUUUAUAUUUUAAAGCAUCUCUCUCAUUUUUCAUAGAUAGUGGAGAUUUUAGUGAUGGAAAUUUGACAUGAGAUAAUCCAUCAUCAACAUACAAUAUGAAUGACUAUCCUUUAUAUUUUAAAGCAUCUCUCUCCCUUUGUGAUUAAGGAGAUUACUUAUGAGAUCAGCCAAAACGGAAGUUUUCAACUUGCAAGAAAAAUAAAACUAUUGAUUUUGAAAGAAGAAAUCAACACCAUAAAUUGUUGGAGGAAAACAAUAAUAAUGCUCAAACUGUUUUGAAUAUUAUUGUACAUAUGUUGAGUGACAAAGAUUCAGGCCAAUGUUUUGAUUUUGAUUUUGAUUUUAAUAAUUUCAUAAGUGCAUUAAAUUUAUAUAGUUUACAAGAAGCAAUCGUUACGUUAAGAUUGGCCGCUCCUAACUGAUACACAUUAUUCCUUUGUUAUUCAACAAAAUCUGCAGCUGGGUAUGGAUCUUAUUCAAUCUAAUAUCAUGGACUCGAGAUGGGGAAGUAUUUUCAAGUUUCAAUCUAACAUCAUUCCUUUAAUAGUAUGAUAUCUUCACAUUGUAACAAGUUUAUAAGGACAUUGAUUCCAUGUCAUAAGAUACCUGUUGACGGUCCUUGUUUCUUUUACGCUAUUAUUCACGAGUUAUUAUUCUUAUUUGUGUAAGGUGUUUGAAUGUUCUCUAUGUGUCGAAUUGGUUUGUGUUUUAACUCUUGCGAUUUUACAACACAUACCUGAAAUUACAUUGCAUUCAUUGAUGGGUGAAUUUUCAAACAAGUAGUUUAUUUUGGAAAUCAUUUUCAAUAACUGGUUUAUUUUUAAAAAAAAAAAAGUGAUUUUCAUUAUGGUAAACAAAUACAAAGUAGUUCCUACUUUUUUAAAGAAUCUCUAAAAUUUAAUCUCAAGAUUAUGUAUUGAGUAUCAUAAUCACUUUUUUAUAACUCUAACAAACAGAUCCUUAAUCUAUGUUGUUUUUCAACAUGAGUGAGUUUUUCCCUCAUAUGUGAUGUGACAAUACCAUAAGUUAAUUUUUAUAUGAUUGCAGCAUGUGAAAUGUGCAGCCUUAAGGGAUUUCAAUGCUAGAAGUGCUGAAGUCAUCUCAUAUCUGUGACGUGAGUGCAGUUGACUAUAUAGGAUAUUUCUGAGUCGCAUUGUAAAAGUUAAUAAAUUUGUUCAUGAAAUUAAAAAAAAAAGCGUAUUACUCAUUUCCUUGUUGCGAACACAUGGUUACUUUUCAUGUUCCGCUUUACUGUAAAGUAACCAUGGUGCAAUUCUGGACAUGUUCUCAUAUUGUUGAAAUCUGAUGUUGAGUUAAAACAGGUUUGAAUUAAAAACCAGAUUACAAUCCGGUUUUAAUAAAAAAAUUGAUUCAAAACUGAUUUUGGAAGAGAAUCCGGAUUUUAUGACAAACCGGAUUUGAACUGGAUCCAAACUGGUUUCAAACCAUAUCCGAACUUGUUUAGAUAAGAGGUUUCAAAAACCAAACUAAAACUAAAAUUUGGUUUGGAUUCAAACCAUGAACACCCCUACUUUGCAGGUUAAGUUUUAUGUAUCAAAAUUGCACAAAUUUCAAAAGAAUAAAGAGGUAGAUAUCACUGUAGACCUAUGGCAUUUUUUAUGUGCAAGUCACCAAAGCGAAAGAAUUUAGUACAGACAGAGAUUGUGUAAUAUUGCAAUAGAUGAUUAGAAUUGUGAAUGAUAGUUUACCAUUUUUUUUUUGUCCACAAAAGUUUAUGAAUAAAUCAUUAGUUUUAUCCUCCAGAGAUAAAGUAAUGACUUAUGUCACAUUGGUCCUUUAAAUAUAUAUGCCAUCAUAUUGGUCCCAUGAUUUCCAAAUUAAUUCUUCAAACAAUACUACUGCAAAAUUUAUCAUUGUUGUUACUUUAAACAACCAUUUUGAUGAAGUUCAUGACCAAUUAAUUUGAAAAAAAGAUCCACUGAAUGAUUAUUAUAGUGACACUUAAUGUUUUAAGGAACUAAUUUAGAGAUUAAAAAACUUAAAAGAUUAAUGUUUUUAUGAAAGUAAUAUGGACUUGUUAACUUGACAUCGCACAAAACCAACAUAUAGUUUGCCUAAUGCUUCCGUCAAAUGAGCUGUGCUGCUGUGGUCCAGGAUCUAUUGCCAAGGUUGUUUCACAGAGUGAACCGAACAAAACGCCCAGCUUUAAUGUUCUCGCCAAUGGCAGCUAUACUUUGCCUCACCAAGUCUUUCACUGAAACACUGUCAUCCUUAAUGAAAGGCUGCUUUAUAAGAGCGAGAUCUGGUAACCUCUUUGAGAUUCUUCCCUCAACAAUUUUCUCUGUUAUGUUCUCGGGUUUCAAAGCAAGGUCUUCUCUCUGCAACUCAAGUUCUUUUUCCUUCGUCACAAUGGUUUCAAGAAUAUCUUCAACAGAUACAAACUGAACCUCUGGACAAGCAAGCAGCCACUUGCAUUGCAAGAUCAUCAACCAACUCCUUAAUUUUCUCACUUCUGCCGACAAAGUCGGUUUGACAGUUCACUUCAAUUAGAACACCGAUGUGUGAAUAGUGAAUGAGAGACCCUUUUUUCAGCAAGAACUUUCUUACAGUCCAUCAUCUCUGCACCUGUUUCUUCUUGCAGUUGCUUAACCAAAGAGGCUGAGACCACUACCGUUGAUUUCCUGCAAAACAACAUUGAGCAAUUUAAUAUUUGCAUCAAAGACAUCCAUUUUUUUCUAAACUUUUCUUGAGUACAACCUACACAUGUGGCUACGUUCAGUUGUUGCAUUUUCUAAAAUUAUUACCAAUGUCGACAUGCCAGCGUUAGUAUCGUGUCAAAUGACCGUGUUUGUGUGGGAGCUUUCAUAGACUAACGGUCACAUGUCAUACACAUUCACUGAUUAGGUUAUGUUUUGUCUAUACCAAGAACAAUUCAGAUAAUGUUUAACAUAUAUAUAAGCAUGGAGGGAAGGUUCGGGUGAAAAUAUUCUAGAAGCUUAGCAUCCAGAUAAAGCUUGGCAUAAUUAUGGAAAUGUUAUAAUGGGAAAAACUACAACAUGUUCUUUAACUUAAUUUAAAUUUUAAACAGAUCCUUUUAUCUUUUCUUGGUGUCAAAUUAGUCUUCAAAAAUAUUUACAACACUGAACCAACUUUAUUCUUAGCCGACUUCUGUUACAGUUUUUAGUACACAAUCAAUCAAUGAUCAGUACAACAAGGUCACAGUUUUAGAUAAAAACAAAAAACUGUCGUAACCUUAGAUGAAACCUUGAUGAAUUGAAGAUGUAAUGUACCUUUUAAAAUGGUCAGCUAGACAUUUGGUAACAUACAUAAAAAAUGACGCUAUUGUAAACAAAACUACCAACUUGACAUGAAGAAAUGACUAAAUUAACACGAAAACAAUAUCAAGGACUUGUUUGAACCUUUAAAUUAAGUUAAAGGACCCCUGUUGUAGUUUGUUCUUUUAGAAUGUAGUUUUCCAGGAACUAAUUACCAAAAUUUCAUAAUUAAAUAACUCAAUAACAAGUAGGAAUUCAUAGAACCUAUCCUUCCUUUGGAACUUGUAAGAACCAUCCUUCCUUCGGCAGCUGCUUUGGAUGCUUUCUUGUCUGCACACUCUAAUUAAGCCCUUUUCCCUAAGGAGCUCCUGUGCUUUGAUAAUGUCACCUUCACUCCCUGAUAGAGCAUUUUUGCAGUCCAUCAUUCCAGCCCCCGUUUCAUUCCGAAGUUACUUCACAAGUGCUGGUGAUAUAGUUGCUGCAAUCCAAAGGGCGGCGGAACAGACAUUUAACGAUUAGAAAUCUUAUGUAAGAAUUCAAAGAUAGGUGAACAGGCUGGAAACCUAAGAUAAACAGCCUAAUGAAAACUUAUAAGAUAAGCACUUUACAUAUAAGUGCUGAUGUAUAAGCAAUUUUUAUAACAAAAGAUAAAAUGAAGUCAUACUUAUGCUAUAAGCUAUUUUCAUAAGCUUUUCUAGACAGUUUAUGGAAAAAAGCUGAAAACAACUUUUAUGGACAUGUCAUGAGCUGUUUCCAUAAACUCUUCCAAACAGUUUCACAAGUGCUUAUAUCAGUAGAUAAGUUCAAAUGCAUCCUUGUUUAUACAUCUUUCAGAAAUGAAAUAUGAAAUAAAUAAGAUGAAAUUGCAACCUUUGCUCAAGCCUUCAUCUGACGCUGUAAUUCCGGUUUGUCCAUUAGAGUUAGAUACGCUGUUGUUUGUUUUUUAAUGCAAUUGCAACUUCUUCACCUUCAACUUGUACUGCUACUGGUGUUUGUUCUGGCACUUCUUCAGUUGGAGGACUUUCAGGAGAGGGAACUUUAUUCUUUUCUUCAGUUACAUUUAUCCAUAGAAGAUUCAAAGUUAAAUAAAACUCCCUUCAUAACAAAAGAAAAAAAAAAUCAUCCAUCUGUUAAAUAAUCUAACUAUUAUGAUGUCAUUCAAUUGCUUUGGUUGCAUAAAGUUGAUUGAUUCGGAUCGUGUAGAAAUUGAACGGGGUACAAUAUCAUACAAUCUGUGGUUUAUACAUAACAAAUUCUGAAAACUUGUGUCAAUAGUGACGCUAUAGUGCUAUAGAGAGUGGAAUUUGAACAAAUUGCUAUUGUUCAAAAUUACGAUAUUUGGUUCAAAAUGUUGUGAAAUAGCCUCUAUAGUGGCGCUAUAAAACUAUUGUGUAGCGGUAACAAAUUGUUACUUUCGGCGAUACAAGAAUGACAACACUAAUUCAGUCAAGCAAGCAUGAUUUAAAAAUGAAUUGAGCCUUUAUUCAAGAUUUUCUCAGAAGACAAAUCACCGCUUUGUCCAGUCAAACUAGCAGCGAUCUCAUUGUUCUCUGGAACAGCUCCAGCAUUGUCACCUAUUUGAAAUGCAAAGGAAAUAUUAUUCGGUAAGUUAAUCGGAAAAACCAUGUAUAUGUGUGUUACUGCAAAAAAAUAUGAUUGAUUUUUGUCGUAAUUUCGAAAGAAACAAAAAAAUACAUACAAUCAGUAUUUCCAUAUGUAAAAUACUAAUGAGAUAAAUUAGCAGAAAAAGUGUGAGAUAGAAAACUAGAACCUUCUCCUUCUUGAGCAUCUGGUGCACUUGAGGUAUUCAAUAAUUGAAUUUACAGCAUCUAAGUCUUCUUCAGAAACCAAACUUUUGGCAUCUGAAUUUACAGUGUCCGUGUCGUAUCGGAUGUCCGUAUCCGUGCUACCUUGUUUGCAACAGUUGUCGAGGAACCGACCAACCAGUGAGUCAUUUUCGACAUUGCUUGUUGCAAUAUCUGUCUGAAUAGGUUCUUCAAUAAUUUAAAUUACAGCAUCUGAAUCUUCUUCAGAAACCAAACUUUCAGCAUCUGAAUUUACAGUGUCCAUGUCGUAUCUGAUGUUCGUAUCCGUGCUACCUUGUUGGCAAAAGUUGUUGAGGAACCGACCAAUGAAUCGACAAAUGAUAUGGAGGUUUGAGAUUUUUUUCUGUUGAGAUUCAGUAGAAACUUCAUCUGCAACAGGUGAAUCUGCUGCCUCCACGGAUACUUCUCUUUCUGUGGCUGAUAUGGAGGUUCGAGAUUUAUUUCUGUGGAUGACAUGAAUGCAGAUCUCAGUGAUAAAGUGUUCCUAAAAUUGUUGUUGUCUAUGAAACACAGACACAGAAAUCGAAAACGACACGGAGAUUACAACCUAACACAAAUUUAAAACCCCCACCAAACGGCACAUCCACACCGCAAAUUAUAAAAUUCAGUAUAAAUUGAAAAUCAAACAAACAUAGUCUCACUUCUGCCAACAAAAUCAAGGAAAAAAAAUGAAUGAUAUAAAGUUAGCAAGAUUCUUUUGAAUUAUCUUCAGUACCUCUGCUUGCGGUUGACAACAGAGAUUGUUUUUGCGGUUAACUUGUUAUCACUUGUUGAAUUUUUUGUGAUCCAUCUGUUGUUUCUUCUCGGUGUACUAGUUAUGACUUGUGACAUGAAUGAUUCUUGUUGUGGUUGUAGUUGUGUCCCAUCUUCAAUUGCCAAAAUCUUACACUUCGGAGCCAAGGAAUUUUCGUGAUUUAUCAUUGGUAAGUUGAAUUCUUGUAGGUCUUGUUUACAUACCCAACGAUACCCGCAACUCUUCACCUCCAUACCCAAAGCUUGCCCCUUAAAAAUGUCAAAACAGAUAUUUCCAAAUUCAUCCGAGGACUCUCGUGGGAAGUAGAUUAUCCAUAGGUGACUUGAUUUGGUCGUAACAAGACCUCCAUUGAGAAUGACUGGAACACUCAUUUUGAUAGGAUGAUUGAAACUCAGUUUCAUAUUGGCCCAUGAAAAGCACUCUGGAUGAGGUUCCAUUGUAAAUACUGCACAACAUAGAAAGCCAAUGAUAUUAUUGUUAUUGUCAUGCAUAAUAGGCAAUUUGUCUAUUAGUAUUGAAUCACCCAUGCUCUGAUUGUUGAUCCAACUCGGUAUUUCACUUCCUGUAGUAACAAUUUGAAUCGUAUCAAAAUAGGCAGGGUAGGUUUGUCGGUUUGCCUUAAUAAAUUGUGUCAUCCAUGAAAAUGUCAUGCUACUGCAACACUCCCUAUCACCCAGUUUUGGACAGUUGAAAACGAUCAAUCCUGUGAUCCACCCAAACUUAUGCUUGUUCUCACGAUGAUCCCGCCCAAUAGUGGUAAGAGAAGGAAGUUGAGGAAAAGAUUUCAAGAACUUGCAAUGCUCCAAAUUUAAAUAUACAAGUUUGGAAAGCUUCCUCAAGCUAGGUAGUGUCACAAAAUCGUUUCCCCCUAAAUUUAAUUUUUCUAGUGAGUGUAAACAUUCAAUUGAAUCGGGAACUUGAUUUAGAUGACAAAAGCUAAUGUCAACUUUACGCAAACAAUUUAAGCUAUGCACGGAUGGCAACAAAUAUGUGUUUCUCAUGGGAGUAGGCAACAUGAUGCUUGAACUGCUAAACGCUUUGGAACAACCACAUAUAUUUAGAUCUUCAAGAGAGCUAAGACCGGAUAUGUUGUUGGGUAUGCUUACUAGAUUUACGCAACCUUCCAAAUUCAAGUAAACAAGCUUUCUUAGAAGUCCAAUAGAUGGAUCUAACUCAACAAGGUUCGCACAUAAUUCCAAAUUUAACCACUCAAGAUUCGGGAACUCUCCAAAAUCUACUAUCUUUUCUAGAUUUCUGGAGUGUCUUAGAUCCAAUCUUCUCAAAUUGGGAAGAUACUGACAUGAAAAAACAACAAAAAUAGAACCAUUACAAAUUUGUUUAUAUUUCUAAGAUAAACAUUAAUAAUCAAAUGUAUAAUACCUUCUUGUUCUUCCAUAGUUGUUUGAUGUCGCUAUACAUCAAGAUCAACUCUACAAGAUCACUGGGGUGAAAACUUGAUGGCAAAUACUUGAAAGGAUAAUAAUUCCACUCAACAUAUCUUAAUGUGUUUGAAAGACUCGAUGGGCUACUUGGGAUAUUCGGACCCCACUUGAUGAUGAGUAAUCUAAGAUUACUCAUUUUUGACAACUGUUCAACGUCCACCUCUUCAACAUCAUCAUCAUUCAAAACUAUGGCUUCAACAUGCCUUUCCUAAAGCAUUGCAAAAAAUAAAAGUAAAAAUAAAUUACUUUCGAUAUUUGUAGUUUUUAUAAAAAUGGAAACAUUCUGUCAAUAAAAAAUUAAAAUUAAAAUAUGUUUCUUUAUUUCUAAAUGGUAAUUUUACCAUUUUCUCCAUCGUAACAUUGUAGAGUUGUUUUUGGGACCACACCCUGCUCCACUUUCUUUGCUCUUUGCUUGAAUUUUCUCGCACAAUUUUUCUGCCUAGCUCAACCAAUAAAGAAUGCAUUUCAAUCACUGAAUCACUAUUAAUGCUUAUAAGUGAUUUAUCAAUGAGAACUCUUAAUCCAAUAUCAGCAUGAAAUCCACAAUGAUUUAGAACGUUUUUUACAUAUUUCUCUGAUUCGCGGUUGAAAAAACAAGCAAUAUCAAGAAAUAUUUCUUUUUCCAUAUGAUUUAGACCAUCAAAACUUAACUGUAGCACAUCCAUGACAUCGUUAUCUGGCCUUUCUCUCAAUCUAGCCAAUGCACUCUUCCAUUCAGUCACAUUACGACCAAACAAAAAUGAGCCCAAUACUUUAAUUGCUAGUGGAAGACCAUUAGCAUAACUCAGUAUCUCAAAAUCCAAAUUUUGGUAACUACUCAUAAUAAUUUUCUCAUGUUUGAAAGCUUUUUGACAAAAUAACUUGUGAGAAUCGGUCCGAUUCAAAAGUGGAACUUUGUAAACUACGUCCACUCCAUACUCUUUCAAUAUAUGCUCAUCUCUAGAAAUGAUAAUUAUUCUACUACCUGCACCUAACCACUCACGAUGCACAGCUAUUUUUUCCGAUUGUUCACCUUGAUCCACAUUAUCAAGAAUCACUAGGGUCUUUUCACGACUUAGCCUACGUCGUAUCAAAUCAGUUGCAAUGUAACGAUUGCAUAUUUGAUGGUGUUUUAUGUCGAGAGUUUGAAAUAGAAUUUGCUUUUGUGCAUCCAAAGGACCAUCACAUAAUCUAUAUAUUUUGCUUACAUCAUCAAUAAAACAAUUUGCACUAAAUCGAUGAGAUAUUUGGUCAUAUAAAGUCAUGGCAAGGGUUGUCUUCCCUAUUCCUCCCAUUCCACAAAUUCCUAUAGCAUGAACACCAUCAACUGAGUCCAAAAGCAAAUGAUUUUGUAAUGCUUCUAUAGGAGAAUCAAUCCCUACUAAAUCUUUCGAAACACAUGAAGAAUUGCACUCCAAUAUAUUCAUUAUCCUUUGAACAAUCUUUUUAAUCUCACCAACUUGUGGCCUGAAAGUUCAAAAUGUUGUUCAAUAAAAUUAUACCAUCACGUACAAAAACCCAAAAAAAAUGUUUAAACUCCAAAUAUUUGAUUUUGAGACAAAAAAAAAAAAAAACUUUGAGUUUCUGUUCAGGACUCGUGCACCAUCUCUUCAACUUAUAUUUUCUACGGAAAAAAAAAAAAAAAAAAAACUAUAAAUUUCUUACUUAUCACAUAGAUCCCAACCAGAGAUACUCCCCACUUGUUUUAGAGCUUCUCUCCAUCUUGACACCAUCUGAGAGUUUUGUUGGAAUCUUUGUUCAUGUUUGACAAAAGCUUUAUCAUAAAUUCCACUUUGCUUUCGAACCUCAGAAGGAUCAACAUCAUAAAAAACAGGAAGAACAAGUUUUUCGGAUCCUUGGACACAUUCCCAAAUCUUCUCUAUUUCUUGCAAACACCAUGUUGAGAAAGCAUAGUUUCUUGAGAAAACCGCAACAUAAACCUGAGAUCCUUCGAUUGAUUGAAGAAGUUCAGGUCCUAUGGAUUCACCUUUUUGAAGAUUUCUGUUAUCCCGAAAUACAAGAAUGCCUUUUGUUUCCAGGGCAUCAAAAAGAAAAUCAAUGAAAUUGUUGCGAGUGUCUUCACCUCGGAAGGUGACAAACACAUCAUAAUAAUAUCUUUUUGAAGAAGUCACAAGAGCUGAAGAUGAGUUGCUAUUGCUAGCCAUCUGAAUAAGCUAAAUGUUUAGCUGAGUUAAUUGGACAACGUGAAUGGAUUGGAGUAUAAUCAAAACAAACAUAUAUUAUGAACAAACGAACUUUAUGCGUCCAUUUCGUGGCACCUUCUUUUCUUAAUUGAAUGAAUAUAACUUUAAGCGUUAAUUCCUCUCCUACUUUUCAUAAUCGCUGCUCUUUACUUUUCAUUUUUUAUUAUAAACGGUGCAUUCCAUUUAAACUUUAUUGGGUAGUAAAAAUAGCGCAUAAUUCAUAAGAUAGUUGAUAGUUUAUAGCUGAUGAUAGUUGAUAAGAUAAUUUAAAUUUCUUAAUAUAAUAUAUCAUUUAUAUUAUAUUAUUAAAUUAAUUUUUAUUCAACAAAAUUUAGUUUCAUAUUUAUUUCAUUUAGAAGUUUAUACUACAUUAUUUUUUUUAUAGAAAAUGUUAAUUAGUGCUCCGAAGAGACAGGUUAAAGAAACAAAAAUAGUUUGAAUUUUGUGGAACUUAUGUAAUUAAAUACUUAAAGUGUAAAAAAAAAAAUUGUUUUCAAUGCAAAAAUUACCUUUUUAUAAAAAAAAAAAAGCAAAACUUGUCAUUUUUGUUUCCCUAACUAAUGCCUCGGGGCACAGUUAUAGCAUGACCCACUCUUUUAUUUCUUUUAUUACAAUAGUACUGCAUUACUAGAAAGGCAAUUAACCAAAGUUUCUAGAUAUGUUUUUUUUGUUACAGCGUUUCUAUAUAUGUUUGAUUUCGAACAAUAUAUAGUUUACUACCUUUUAUAAAGAAAAAUGGUAUUUAGUUAUCAUCAAAGGCAUUUUAAAGGCAAUUACUAAAUGUCUAAAGAACAACUUUCAUAUUAAUAUUUUAAACGAUAAACUUGAGACUUUUGAGAUUUUGGGUGCUAAAGAUAAACUCCCAUGAUUUCAUGGCACCUUUUUUUCAUAGUGGAAUAUCUCUGGAAUUCACGGGUUGCCUAUUGACACACAGCUUUCCCUAUUGCCAUAUGGUCUUUUAUUUAUUUUCAGCGGGGUUUUGAUGCCCUAUUGACACAUUAUGAAAAAACUUUCUUUAUGAGAACAAAUUUGUUACAUUCAAACAAAGGUUUUCUGUAAGCAUUUUAUUUUCGGCUCAUACACACUACAGUAGAUGUUUGAUUAUUCUUAGUAAAGUAUGGCUGAGUUUAUUACUUGUUAAUUGUUAUGAAGCAACAAAUUAAUGUGAUGUUGGUGCAUGAUGAGAAUGUUUAAAAAUAUAUAUAAAUGAACAUUUUAAACAUUAAUAUUGAUCUAAUGACCGAAACAGAUAAUAAAUUUCAAUGUUCUUCGUACACAUCAAGAGUUUGAGUCUAAUCAAGAAUUAGGAUCCAAACUACAGAUAUCGAGAGUUAGGACUUAGGGCCGGAUAGGUUGGAUGGUAAGCUUUGAUUAUAUUUUUUGGGUCAUGUGCUAACAAGUGCUCUAAAAGUGUUGUUUAAGAAAGCUACAAAGGAAAAGUUUGUCUUCGAAAUAUAAGUAUCUAUGCAAAAGUUACUUCUUUUGAUUUUUUAAACGAGCCAUGCUAUAUCUUGCAAAGAGAGUUCUCAUGAAUUCCGUGAAUACGGCGUUUUAUACUUCUCUCUUAUAUGCUCUUAAAGUCCUCUAAUAUUUAUAGCUAAAAAGAAUAGAUGAUUAAUUGUAAGGACCAUAGGUAAUAGAAAAUCAAGAAUUUAUGCAAAUUUCCAUGGACACAUACACCAUCAAUAUUAAAGCUGAUUUUUUUUUAAAAAUAAUUAUAGUUCAAUUUGCUGAACAGCUUCAAACAUUUAAAUUAGUAAGAACCACUGAUUUCUUGGCAUGUUUAGAAGCUUCAAUUUCUUAUGGUUUUUGCAUAUAUUCCAUAGCCAACCAAUUCCACGAUCUUUAAAUUUCUAAGAACCAUUUAAAUUAGUAAGAACACAUUUUUUUUUAUGUUAACUCUAAUUUCUAGAGAAAACUCUGUCUGAUAGGGUUUAAAUGUCGACCAGAUAAUAAUGUGUGUGAUAAAAAUAGGGAGCUCGUAUUAAACGACUCUCUCCCAUCCACAUUGAUGUGGAUAAAAGAUAGAAGGGUGCUCCUAUACCUUUUGUUUUCCAAUUUAAUCCUCGUAAUAGACAAAAAUUAUACUCCUUUAAUUUUAUAUAUAAGAGAAAUUUGAGUCAAUAAAAGUUGAUGUAUCUAGUUUAAAAUUUUAAUCAAUUACAUCAACUUUUUUUACCCUAAUUUUCUUUUAUAUAUAAGCCCUGAGAAGUAUAAUAUAGAAUUGUAUAUUAUUUUAUAAGAAAGAAUAUUAUUGUCUAUUCAAAAUAUAAAACUAUGCUCUUUUUCUUUUUACUUGAAGUCACAAAUACACGCUCGUGAUAUUUCCCGAAGAAUAAUUCGGGACAUAUAUAGCAUUGCUCUGAUAGAUUUAUUCUAUUUCUUUCUUAUUUUUCUCAUUUACAAAUCUUUCUCACCUCUUUCUUUCUUUACAUCUUCUUCUUACAACAAAACACUAUAAUUAAACAUAAAAACGAAACCACGUGAUGAUGACUAAGCAUAUGUUUGUUUUCACGUUCAAAGACCACCCCACAUGCUACCAAUGUGAAUAUAAAUUUUGUUGCUUUCUUAUUUCCCAAACCAUCAAGUGGCCAUAGAGCAAGAAGCCAAAAGGAAACACUGGUAAAUGCACGUUUCACUUCUCCCCAAAAACAUAAAAAUAUAGUAAACAAACAACUAAACUCAUGUUAUUAAACAUAUCAAACAUAACAAAAGUUAUUAAACAUAACAAAAGGGGACCAUAAUGCAUGUUUCCGUGGCCAUAGAGUAAGAAGCCAAAAGGAAACACUUCUCCCAAAAAGCAAAGCACAUGCACGUUCCACCCAAAAAGCUUAAAAAAAAUAGUAACCAAACCACAAACAAACUAGAGUAGAACUUUUUUUGGUCGCGUAAUUUUUUGACCAUUCUCGUACUGUUGAAAUCUUUUAUAUUUUGGAUGCAAAUUUCAGUUUUCAUAAGAAGAAAGAGGUAGAUAUUUGAAAUUAGAAAUAUCAAAUACUCCUAUAUAGUAAAAUAAAACUAGCAAAAUAAAAUUAGAAAUAUUUAAAAUUAGAAAUAUUCACCUUCGCUUCUUGUGGUAUGCUUUUGUUAUGACCUAUGGCGUUUUGUACCUGUAAGUGAUCCAAGCAGAAUCAUUUGGUAAAGACAUUGUGUGAUAUUGUAAUUGUAUAAUAAUAGAUUAUGAUAGAUAGAAAAUCAAAUUAUUUUGGGUAAUUCCUCUUUGAUAAUUGCGCACAACUUAUGAAUUAAAUUAUCUUGUAUUAACAAAUAUUUGUUGUUAGUAUGUUAUGUUAGAAGUCAGGGUUUCAAGUUGGUGUCAAGGAUGUAUGACUAUGAAUCAUAGUGAUGUGUUGCCACUUUAUUUACUGAAGUGAUAUUUUUAUCAUCAAAUUACCCUUUUAUUCAUUGAUUGUCAACCUAUUAGUUUCUAUCACUGAUUUAGUCACAAAAUUUUUACCAAUUUUUAUCUCCCCAAAAGUUUAUGAAUAAAUAAUUAGUUUUAUGCUCCAAAGAUCAAGUUAUGACUUAUGUCUCCAUGAUUUCCGAAUUCAUUCUUCAAACAAUGCUACUACCAAAUUUAUCUUUUCUUGUUGUUACAAACCUCCAUUUGGAUGAACUUGAUGGCAAAUUGAUUCUAAAAAAAUCCACUGAAUGAUUUUUGUAGUGACACUUCAUGUUUUGAGGAACUAAUUUAGAGAUUAAAAAACUUAAAAGAUUAAUGUUUCUAUCAAAGUAAAAUUGACCUGUUAACUUGUGAUCGUACAAAACCCAACAUAUAGUUAGCAUGAGAAUGAAAAAGUGAACACAUUGGUUUAAUAUAUCCUUCGUUUACACUCUACCGUCAGAUUCACUUACACUCUUUGAGAUUCUUCCCCUCAACUAUUUUCUCUCUUAUGUUCCCGGGUUUCAAAGCAAGGUCUUCUCUCUACAUCUCGAGUUCUUUUUCCUUCGUCGCAAUGGUUUCAAGAAUACCUUCAAUAGAUACAAACUGAACCUGUGGACAAGCAGCCUAUUGCAUUGAAAGAUCAGCAACCAACUCCUUGAAUCUAUCACUUCUGUGCCAACAAAGUCGGUUUCACAGUUCACUUCAAUCAGAACAUAGAUGCGUGCAUCGUCAAUGUAUUUACCGAUUCUUCCUUCAGCUGCUAGCCUACCGGAUUUCUUGUCAGCUGAUGAGAGACCCUUUGUUCUAAGGUAUGAUUGGGCCUUUUCAAGAUCACCUUUAGUUUCGGCUAAGGCUUUCUUACAGUCCAUAAUCCCAGCACUUGUUUCUUGACUUAAUUGUUGAAAUAAUGAGGCCGAAACCACUACUGUUGAUUUCCUACAAAACAAUAUUGAAGAGUUUAAGACUUCUAAAAAUAUUUACAAUGUUGAACCAACUUUAUUCUUAGUCUACAUAUAUUACAAAUUUGUGUACAAAAAAUCAAUCAAUGAUAUACUAUAAAGAAUGUUUCAUCACUCAGUACCACAAUUGGACUUUUGUUAGACAGCGAGGUCACAAUCUUAGAUAAAAACUAUAAAAGAUCAUAUUAAUUCUGAUGUAAUUUAGAUGUAAUGUACCUUUUAACAUGGCCAGAUAUAAUUUUGGAAACAUACAUAGACGAAAAAUGAAGUUUGGUCCAACAUUGUUGAAGUUUUUAAACAUAAAGGACUAAUUUAAUAUGAAGAAAUGACUUAUUCGACACGAAAAAAAAUACUAUGGACCUGUUUGAAACUUUAAAUUAUGUUAAAGGACCCUUGGUGUAGUUUUGCCUUUUAGAAACUAAACACCAAAAUUUUAUAGUUCACUUUCAAUUAAGUCGGUUUCAUAGUUCAAUUCAACUAGAACACUAAUGCAUGAAUUGUGAAUUUAUGUACCGGUUUUUCCUUCGGCUGUUAGUCUUCUCGAUUUCUUAUCAGCAAUUGGAGAAUUUCAACAAAUUCUCCAAAGAAUGUAUUCCAUAUUUCUUCUAUAUAUCAGCCAACAGUAAGCAAACACAACAUUUUUAGUUCCAUAAUGUAUUCCCAUCCUUUCAUACUACUUUUCUGGAAAAAAAACUGCUAACAUAUCUUAUUCACUAAGAAAAAAAAUUACCACUACAAAUUUGAAUCAUCCAUAUUGCUAAAUCAAUAUAACCAAAACUAAGUUUUCGAUCCAAUUAUCCAAGUCAAUAUAAAUAUGUCAUAGCAUCUGAUUACUAGUUGCUUUCAAGAUUAAAAAAGAACAUUAAACCAACGACCAUACUGUUAGCGGCCAACACUAGGGUGGGAUUUAGUCCCACAUCGGAUAGAUAGGAUUCUUGAGAAGAGUUUAUAAAGAGGAGGCACUCCUCAUUGUAAAAGCUGGUUUUGUAAGGAUGAGUUAGGAGCUGAUUUUCGUUACAUGGUAUCAGAGCCUGUCGGGUCCAUCGUUGGGCUUCCUGCAUCUCCACGCUUUAGACCGGGCCUGAAGCGUGACGGGGUGUGUUAGCGGCCAACACUCGGGUGGGAUUUAGUCCACAUCGGAUAGAUAGGAUUUUUGAGAAGAGUUUAUAAAGAGGAGGCACUAAAAGCCGGUUUUGUAAGGAUGAGUUAGGAGCUGAUUUUCGUUACACAUACUACCAAAUGCCAAAAUAUAUGAGGAUAAAAGAUGUCAUUUUUUAAACAUUUCUCCUUGUAAUUACAAUAAAGAAUGAUCAAGUUAAAGUAAGGUAGAUAUUCCAUGAAUGAUAAAUUGCUAGUUCGGUGAGCAUUAUUUCAUACCUUAUGUGUUAUGCUAUCACUACUCUUCAAUUUCCAAAAUCUUGCACUUCUGAACCAAGGAAUUUUCAUGAUUCAUCAUUGUUAAGUUGAACUUUUGUAGGUCUUGUUUACAUACCCAACUAUACCUGCAGCUCUUCACCUCCAUACCCACAUCCUUAAUAAUUUCAACACAGGUAGGGACAAAAACAAGAUGAUCAUCGGGCGACUGAAAUUGAAACCUUCACUCGAGCCUUCUGUUUGUCCAUUAGAAUUAGAUAUCCGGUUUGUCUCGGAUGCAAUUGCAACCUCUUCAACUUGUACGGUGACAGGUAUUUGUUCUUCUUGCACUUCUUCAGUGGCAGGACUUUCAGGAGAGGGAACUUGUUCAGUUUCUUCUGUUACAUCUGUUAAUAAAGGAUCCAAAGUUAAAGAAAACUAUAAUGAUGUCUUUCAAUUUUGGUUGCAUAAAAUUGAUUGAUCCGGAUCGUGUAGAAAAUGAAAGGGGUACUAGAUCAUGCAAUAUGUGGUUUAUAUAUAACAAAUUCAGAAAACAUGCAAUCAAUUUCAAUUCAUUAACCAAAAUUCAUUGAGGCAAGCAUGACUUGAAAAUUAAUAAAGCAUAACCUUUAUUCACGCCUCCCUCAGGAGACAAAUCAUCACUUUGUCCACUCAAACUAGCAUCAAUCUCAUUGUUAUCUAGAACAUCUUCAACAUUGUCAUCUACUUGAAACGGAAAGGAAAUAUUAUUCGGAAUAUGACAUACAAUCAAUAGUUCCAUAUUUAAAUUAUGAAUGCCAUAAAUUAGCAGAAAAAGCGUGAGAUAAAAAAAGAAAAACCUUCUGAUUCUGUGAUAACAUGGCAAGGCUCAACUGCAUCACUGUCUGUCUGUGUUGCAGCGGAAUCAUCUUCCUUUCCAUUAUCGAUAUGUGAUUGUUGUUCAUAUUCGGCAACAAUUUGAUCAACUACAUUUUCUGUUACACUUUCAUCAGCCACUUCAACUGUAGAGGUUUGAGAUUUAUUUCUGUGGAUGACAUGAAUGCAGAUUUCAGUGAUAAAGUGUUCCUUAAAAUGUUGUCUAUGGACUAUGAGUCACAGACACCGGACACGGCACGGAUACAACCUAGCUAACACAAAUUUAAAACCCCCACCCC